GCUGCUUCCCGCUGAAGUAGCUGUCGGUGUGGUUCCUCUUGCUGUGAUUGGACACUUGAGUCAUCAUCAUCUUCCUCUCGGGCUACUGCUGCUGGCUAUGCGUCCGCCCCCUUUUUUCCUGCUGAAAACCAGGAGCGUUUCUGUAUGACUUCGGUCCGGAGUAAAAGCUGACUUUUACAACUGUACUCGUUGGUUCAGAGGUCGGUUUCAUGGAAAUCACCAUCCCUUAUUCUAUCCAGGUUUCAGUCUCAGACAAACAAAACCUAGCUUUAGUUUUUUUAUGAGCUCCUACUCAACUGCUACGCAAUUAACAGUAAUGGAACGGCAUGACAAGGGGCGGUCAAAGGUAUCAUGAGCGUCAAGAAUCCUUCUUUUCUCCGGCCGAAAGACAGAAACUUUUUGUUCUAUGGAAACUAAACAAUCCAAACUGUACCAGGGAAAAUGGAAUCUCUGGAUUGGUACUCAACUGCCCUCCAAAUUUUGGUACGAGUGCUGGCCUAGUAUUCCUUGGCUGCCAACUUGCAUUUCCCAAGCGGCCGCGUGCAAUCUUUCAUCAAUUGACAACUUUGUCCGCUUCUAAUGCCGCCAGUUGGGUACUUGUCCCUUAUCUGAAGCUUCUUCUUUGGCCCUUAUCUGAAGGUUUCUUCUUCGUCAGGCAGAAUGACCACUAAAUUGAGUUACAGAGGGGUAGGGCAAAGAAAAGUUGUACUCCUAUUCGCAGUCUAUACUUUAACCUUAUCACGAGAUUAAGAGGUCUUCUCUACCCAGUUGAGCUAACCAACGUUAUCAGGAAGCAGGCCGGGUCAAAGCUAAUUAAUAAUCUAGUUUCAUCCUUAUCUAUCAGCACCAGAUAACGUGCGGCGGUGCGGGUCCGAAACACUUGCAAGGACACUUGCAGGGAUAUCAUGAGCACUUGGUUACAGACGCAUGUGUACUGUGUUACGAAGAAUAUUAUGCACAUUACACAGUUAUAAUUACUCCCUCCGUCCCAUUAUAUAAGAACAUUUUUGAUAUUAGUGUAGUGUUAAAAACGCUCUUAUAUUAUGGAACGGAGGGAAUAUGUCUCAUGCAUGAAACUCAAUAUUAUGUUCAGUGGCAAGGACGCAGUGGUGUUACCUUGCAGAUCGGGGUUCUACUCCCGUCGAGAGGAAAUUAAAUUUCCGCGAUCUCACUGAGUUAAUUUCUUCUAUAAAAAUGUCUUCGGUGCUAGUGCCCAUGAAUCUCAUUUUUUUUAAUAUGAUGUUCAUCUUGAUAGAAAUAGUCCUAAGAACUGUUGGGUCCACCGUGUGUUAAAAAUGAACUGAAGCCCGAGUAUUAAUGGUAAACUAACGGUAAUUCAGGUCUGAGCCCAAGAUCAUCUACACCUGAUGAAUGGUAAAUAAAUAAGAUAAUAAAAAGACUAGUAUUUUUUUUUGCAUCGAUGAUGUGUGAGUGUGUAAGGAGCAUGCAAAUUUUCGGGGUGUGUGGACAUUCAAGGAGUUCAAGGAAAAAAUAAGACCGAAACGGGCCCAAACAAUGUAUAUUUUUGAAGUUCCUUUCACGACCAAAUUUUAUAUUUUGUUGCCACAACCACCUUGAAUGUUCAAACAUCACGAACUUUGCAAACACAUGAUGCAUUCGAGCAUCUUAAAAGCCAAAACAUUUCAUAUUUUUUUACUAUUUUAAAUGAUUCUGCAAUUCAUGCCUACUCGCCUAGACACAGAUGCACCUGCGCAGUGAAUCGUUGCAUUUUACCUAUAGUUUCUCAAUUUAUUUCAAUGUAACUACUCACUCCGUUCGGGUUUGUAAGACUCAUACAUAUAAAAACUUGACCAUUAUUUCAAUAAAUAAAAACUGGCUAUAUAUAUGUCCACAAAAAGUAUAGCUCUAAAACCAGAUUCGAAAUUAUAAUUUAUGACACUGAAUAUCAAAUUAGUGAUCAUUUUUAAGAAAGAAAUGUGUCUUAUAAACCCGAACAUAGGGAGUACCAAUGUACGCUCGCAAAAUAAUAAUUGUAAAACAUGUGUAUUACUCCCUCUGUUCCUAAAUAUAAGUCAUUUUAGAGUUUUCACUACCAGACCUCAUACGGAUGUAUAUAGACAUAAUUUUAAGUAUAGAUUAAUUUAUUUUGCUUCGUAUGUAUGUAGUCAUUUAGUGAAAUCUCUUAAAAGACUUGUAUUUAGGAACGGAGGGAGUACAUACUAUGAGAGCUUGCACUUUACAGCACAAUAUUUGUACAUGCACGGUAGGCAACGAACUUAAAUGAUCAAUCUCCAUCGAUCGAUCCGACGGUAGAAACAAAGGUGAUCGACGACGUCCUUGCGCGUGUGGCUGCCUCUGGCUGGUGACGAUCAACUAGCAUGAGCACCACCACAUAGGUGGCCAGCAUAGGAGUACACUCCGUCAUCACGUCCCGGCCGGCCAGUCCGGGGGCCCCAUCCUUCGGUUGGGAAGGAAGGAAGACAACAAGGUGCCAGCUAAUGUAUAGUUCAGGGUGGCCAGCGUGCAGUGACAUCGGUGUACCCCGCAGCUACCUUCCAUUUGUGCACCAUUCCGGGGAUGAUUCAAUCGGGCUACAGGCCCAUUGACUAAGUACAGGAGCAACGGGCUUUGUUUGGACCCUGUCAAAUUUAGCUGCUUGCUAGGGCGCCGCACCUGCAUGCCUUGAUCAUCCCAUUUGGAAAAGCAGCGAUGCAACUCUAGGAGUAGUGUAGUCCUACUGUUUACACUAGGGAAAUUACUUUGGUUUCUGUCAUUUCACCGGCUGGCUAGCUUUGGUUUCACUUUUUGCUGUAAAGAUGUUAUGGGCUUUUGUAUGGAUGCAUGCAUGGCUUGGUACACACUUUUUCUUUACUUGUGAGAGAUGAGAUGAGAUGAGAUGAGGAAAAGGGAGGAGCGAGCAGGUGGAUGAAGUGUGGAAGGAAGCUGGGAAAGAAGAAAGGACAAGGCGCUUUGUCCCGUCGAUGAUGCGAUGCUGGUAACAGAAACCAUGAUUGACGAAUUUGUCAACUAGCAUGGCAUGGCAUGGCAUGCACGCACGCGCUCGAGCGGUAGGGCUUUCCCUUCCCUCGUGUCUCCAUGCCAUGGUGUAGCACAGUACUGCACCCACUGUUGCCUUUUUCUUUUUCUUUCGGAAUUAGCAUUACUGCGUGUUUGUACUCCAUAAGAGUACGUUUUGUCACUGGUCUACCGGCCGGCCGUGAUGAAUGCUGCUGAGUGCUGAGUACGUACUUGCCUCGUCGCGACGCAAUCACGGGCCGGGGUGCUUGUUUAUGUUCGUGUGUGUGCGUAUAUAUCCGGCGCCUAAUCAACCACCCUGGCGCUUAAUUAAGGCCUCGUCUGGUCGGGGUCGGGGUCGGGUCGUGGCUAAUUAAUCCGGUCGCCGACGUAGCUAGAUGUCCACCCAGGAGCCAGCUGUAGGGAGAGCCCUCGCCCGCUCCCGCUGCGCCUGCUGACACGUACGUACGUACGUCUACGCGUCUGUACCUCGCGCCAUACACACGCCACCGCCUGCUCCUCCGUUUCCCCUCCCUCUCUCUCUCUCAAAGAACGGACGGUGACAAGACCGCCAUGGCUGGUGUGCAGCUAUGCUCUUAAAGUCUGCCGGCGCCAUACCAAGUUAAGCCAAGCAAGAGGAAGAAGAAGAUGUCUCCGUAAUCCGUAUGACUAGCUGUAUCAGCUAGCGAUCGUUCGGUAGCUAGCUAACUGGCACGGGGGGAGAAGUAAUUAACAGAUCGAGGCAAACGUAUAGCAAACUAAGAGACUAACUGCAUGCCUGCAUCAAGCGAAAGGGCUGGUCUUACCUGCAGAGGCAGUUUGAUAUAGGGAGACCCAGACUCGACUCGACUCCACCGGCGGAGUUGCGCCGCCACGGCAGCGAGCUCCGACGCCUCCUCGCCNNNNNNNNNNNNNNNNNNNNNNNNNNNNNNNNNNNNNNNNNNNNNNNNNNNNNNNNNNNNNNNNNNNNNNNNNNNNNNNNNNNNNNNNNNNNNNNNNNNNAGCCAGAGGCAAGGUCCGCGCCCCCAGCAAGGCCGCUCGUCGCCCAAAAAGAAGAAGAAGGAGUUGACGCCCGAGGAGCGGGCCAUGGAGUUGCCCAAGAGGAAGGGCGGGAGGCACGCACAUGAUGCAAGGGGCAAGGCAGCUGCCGCCGUCGCUGCGCAGCAGGAAGACACCAAUGCUCGGGUGAAGGCGACAAUGAUGGAGGCCUUGUUGUACCUAGGGGUAAACACUAGCCAGCACGAGCUUCUCAACGCCACCAUUGCCGUGGCCGCGGCCAGCAUGGGCUCGUCAGCACAUCCUCGGAUGAUGCUGCCGGAGUCGCCGCGCGCGUCUUGCACGUAGCCAAUUCCCGGCUUCCACGUAUACCCACAAGGCAGCCGCUUAUGUGGGGAAUGCUCGCCGGAGGUGAGCAUCGUGGCCCCUUCCACGCCCGCGUCGGUGACCAUCGACCUCAACGCCGCAUCGAUGGCAGCCGGAUCAUCGUCCGGAGGGAUGAGGAAACACGAGCACGAGAUGCCAGCCGACAUGCUCAUCGACGUCCGCAAUCUGUUCGACGGAAUGCCGGGGGCCGUCGAUGAUGACACGACCAACUGUUUCCUCGAGAACAUGAUCUUCGAAGGUGCGCUGGCGGCUGAUGCGUACGAUCCCGAUGAGACCCAAGGCCAGGACGGCCGAGCGCCAUUCACGCAAGCCACCAAUGAUCCACAUGACGCCUUCAUGCAAGAUCAGGUCGGCCUAGACGGCUUCUCGCUCGACCAUGAGUUCCCGGAGGACUACGACCUUGAGGAGGAGGACGAUGACAUGGACAUCGACGAGGAGUCUUUGUUCGAGGAGGAGCUCGCCAACCAAACUGCUGUCGGGGCGAAGCCGAAGCGCAAGAGCAAGUGGACGAAGGCAUACACGCCGGCUGAGGACAAGCUCCUUUGUGAGUGUUGGAGGGACAUUGGGCAAGACCCGAAGAUCGGCACCGAACAAAAGUGGGUAGCCUUAUGGACUCGUGUGCAUCGUGAGUUUCAUGAGCGCAAGAAGUUUCCCCCGUACCAAAUGCAAAGCAAACGUGGAUGGGCGUCACUUUCAAAGCGUUGAAGGGUGAUUCAACAAGAGUGCAACAAGUUUUGUGCCACCUAUGAGAGCAUCAAGGCAUGCCCCGUGAGCGGCCUCGGCAUGCAAGACAUGGUAUGCAUGUCCUCUCAUUCCCUUUUGGUGCCACGCUUUUUCCCGUGGAUUGCGUGUCCAUUUGCUCACAUAUGCUUGCUUGGUUUGAAUUGUAGGUGUUUCAAGCUUUGGAGGCAUUCAAGGUUCAGCACGACGGCAAAGCCUUCCAUCUCGCCCAUUGUUGGACUAUCAUCAACGGGGAGGAUAAGUUCAAGGCGCAAUAUGUCGCCCUCUUGGUGCAUACAGGGAAAGAAGCUGUGCAGGACCAUGGUGACGUCAAGAAGGCCCGGCCGCGGGGGAAGACCAACUCGAAGAAGGAGGACAUGCAGGACACGACGUCGAUCACCUUGCUUGAAAAGGUGGAGGGCAUGAUAAGCAAGAAGGACUAAAGGGAGGAGAAGCACCGGCAAGAAAAGAAAGAGCAAAUGCAUGCCUUCAUGGAAAUCCAAAGGAGGAGGCUCGAGAUGGACGCGGUGAGGCAAGCCAAGAUGCUUGAGUUGGAGGAGGCGAAGCAAGCCAAGAUGCUCGAGAUCGAGUCUACCAACGCCAGGACCAAGGUGAAAGAAGUGGCCUUCGCAAGCAUGAAGACGGGCGCGGAGGUCAUGAAGGUUAAUCUGAACACCGUGUCGUCGAUGAAGAGGCUUUGGUUCAAGAAGAUGUAGGCUGAAAUGCUCAAGUUUGACCAGCUGUGAUCUGCGACGAAGAUCACAGAACCUUUUUUGUAUGCCGGCAAGUGUGAUAACAUGACCACGGGCCGACCUGCCCUGGUCGAAUUCCCGCCCCUUUUGGCCUGCUGGCAAGUGUGCCAGCAUGAACUGCCUUGUGGUUUUAAUGUAGGUUGGCAAUGCAUGCCGGCCACUGGCAUGGUGCCGGCAUGAACUCUUGGGAAUUGGCAUGCUGGCAUGUUUUAUCUAAAUGUGUGGACAUAAAAUGGGUUGCGUGCGUUGGUCGCGCAGCUGACCCAAAACGAAAAGCGGGCGGACGCCGUGCGGGCGGGCGACCAAAAUGGACUAAAAUCGGACAAAACCGUCGUCCGUUUGGGUCGACCGGUUGGAGUUUCUCUAAGAGAUGUUAAAAUUCUUGUUCAUCUAAAAAAUUAAAAAGGUAUGGUGAUGAUGUGUGAGCAUUUCUAUUCCUUGUUGAAAUCCUAUUAUUGUUUUGAGUUGGAGUCGCGCGAUGGUUAACUCUUACCAACCCUCUCCCUCGGGGCAUGCGAGUAGUACUUUGAUUUGUGAUAAAACUAAUAAAACUUUGCAAUAAGUAUAUGAGUUCUUUAUGACUAACGUGAAACCAUGGACAUACGCACUCUCAUAUCCUCAUAUUUGCUAGCCUCGAUCUUCGAUAUCGUGCAUAGCCCGUUGUCACCUUGAGGAUGAGCGCAACUUUCACCGAUGCAUCCAAACCGCAUGACAUGACACGCUUUGUUGCACAUAAACCUUUUUAUAUCCUCGUCAAAACAUCCACCAUACCUACCUAUCAUGCCAUUUCCAUAGGGGAAAGUUGAUUUUAUACCCUUAGUUGUGUCCCCUCGGCAGGUUUGCCCUUAGUUUUGGAAAACCCUCGUUCUUGCCCAACUUACUUCAGUUUUCUUAUGCUUUUGCCCUUUCAACACGGCUCCGUCCAGUCAGCGCCGUUUGACCGCUACCGUCGCCAGAUUUUGGACAUUUUUGCCCAUGUCGUUGGCUCGCUGCUAACCCAAUACCCCUUUGUCAUGAGCUAGCUCACGGGAAAAACAGAGGUCAGGAAGGAGCAUAAAAAUAGGAGGGAAAAGCGGGCGGCGGGAGAGAAAGUUGUGGGUGCGCGCGGCGAGCUCGGGCUCAUCCAACUUCCGAGUGGUCACCCGAGAAGUAAGUAAUGUGCUGGAUUUCGUGAUCCUCCACCCCCGCCCUUUCAAUCUAGUUUUCUAGGGUUUGUGACAUUUAGGGGAAUUUUUAACCUUUUGUUUUAGGCCGAUGGGGUCGGGAUUGUGCAGCAUUCCUCGGAGUUUUAUCUUCCCAACGAUUCCUAUUCUGGAUUGGAGUUCUUGUCAAAGCAUCGCUGCCCAGGUCAUGGCCUUGUUCCUGCCCAUCGUGUAUCAUGGGGAGGUGCUAGCAGUGGCUGCCACUUUUUAGGUUGUCCAUUAGAUGCAACUUUUUUUGAAUUUGAGUCAUAUAUAGUUUUUGGUUAUGCCUACUUUCUAAUAUUGUUUGUUUGAUCUGCAUUUAGUUACCCAAAGAGUGUCAAUGGGUGGUUUGGGUUGACCCAGCUCUUCCAUUGCGCGUAGCCCUUACUUUUCAAGAUUUGCAUACAAAGGUUGAAUAUAGCUGGAUCAAAUGGCACCAUUUGAAGAAGCAAAACAUCGAGCUGGCAAGGAAGAACAUGACUUUGAAGAAGAAACUUAGGGGGAGAGAUGAGAUGCUGCUAUUAUGGGCAUGAUGACGAGUUGGUGAAUAUACUUCUCGCUCCUCAUUGGUUACCCCAAGUGGAAGGUGGAGAUGUAGUCAGCAGCAAGCUUUCCCUUACACGAAGACUGUAAGGUUUAUCGAACCAGGAGGACUCCUAGGAUCAACAAGUAGGUGUCCCCUGCCCUGGCACAAGCAGAAGACGUGGACCUGCACACACAAAAAAACUUUACUCCCAACGAGUAUAUAGAGGUUGCCAAUAUCCCCGGCCUUGUAGUUUGCAAAGGAUCAAAACACAAGCGGGAAUGGUGAUAGUGAUUGCAACGGAAAAGUAAAUGAAAUCAAUAAAUGAUGGAUGUGUAAGCAAUGGUGGUGAUAUGGACCGGAGUCACAUGAUGUUCACUACUGAUGUCUCUCUCCCAAAAGACGAUAAACAACUAUGCUUGGGUAAACAAAUUACAGCUCGGCAAUUGACAGAAUUAUGAACGCACCGCAAUGCUAAUUAUGCUACUUGAAAGUUAGAGGCUCAAUAGUAAUGUGCAGUACGCCAAGACAGGUAGACCGUUUAUUCAUCAGCACUACUUACUAAUCAUCCACCUUGAGAUAUCUAUCCAGAACAUCUUGUUGGUAUUAAGUUGCGAGCCCCACCCAAAGUGUAAACUCAAAGCAACGUACAACUGCAUUAACGAACUAUGAGUAAGGUAAACAAUCCUUGCAACAGUGGUCACAAGCACCGUUGUUUUCUCCCUGGUGGCAACAACACAUCCCCUAGUCUCAUGUUUCAGUCACUCAAGCUAGACAUUAGGGGGCAUGAACCCGCAAUCAUGCAUAACGCUCCCUCUUGGAGUUACAAUCUACUACUCGGUCAAAGCAACACAAAGCAACGGAGAACAUGCAUGAAUCACUAAAGAACAUAAUAUAAAAGGAUAAUCAAAUAUAUAACUCAUAACAAUCUGAACAUAAUCUCAUAAUCCAUGGAGCCCAACAAACCGAGUAUAGCAACAGUAGGAAAAUUACAUAGAUGCCUUGAUCAUGUAGGGCAGCUCACAAGGGCUAACCAUGGAAGCACAAGAUUGGAGAGAAGACAUCACAUAGCCACUGGUCACGGAAUCAUGGUCCAAGGAGGACUACUCACGGCACGUCCGGGAAGCGUUCAUGGCGAUGGAGAAGCUCCCGGAGGUCAAUCCUCCCUCCGACAGGGUGCCGGGAAGAGGUCUCCUGACGCUCCCGAUCUUGGAAGUGCUGCGGCGGCGGAAUGAUGGAGAAAUGCGCGAUUCUGGAUAUGAUGGAAGGGUUUCCUGUUGGAGGAGUAAAUAUAUGCCAAAAGAGGGCGUCAGAAGAGGUGGGCCCCACCCAGGCGGCAUGUGGGCGCGACCAGGGGCCAGGCCGCGCUGGGAGGUCACCUGGGCAGCCCGUGGCCCCCUCUGGCCCAUCUUCGGUGAUGUGGAAGCUUUCGUUACGCUGAUUUUUAUAUAUUUUUCUCGGGAUUUUUGGGGCUCCGGAAAAAGGGUAAAAGCCCAUGCAAAAAAGACAUCAGCAAAACAUAUAACAAUGUCCAAAUAUGUGUAAAAAUAAACUGACAUUGGGUGCACUGAGUUAGUAGGUUAGUCCAAAUAUGUGUAAAAAGAUAUAAAAGUGUAGCAAAACAUAUAACAGUGUCACCCAAAAGAUCAUGGAACAAGCAGAAAUUAUAGAAGCGUUUAGGACGUAUAAUGGCACUGUUGUUUAUGGGACUUAUUAUGUUAGCUGUAUCGGUACGGUAGAUGUACUGGUAUGUGCACUUAACAGUGUCAACGACAAAUCUUAUGUGAUGAUGUUAUCAUGUGCACUUGAAUGUGUUGAAGACAAAUAAAUCUUAUGUGACAACACAUUGAAUAAUAUCAAACAUUAAAGUUCAUAGCAACAUCAAUUGCAUAACAUACUACAACACCAAGUUCAUAGCAACAUCAAGUGCAUUACAGAACAUACUACAACACCAAGUGCAUAAAGCACUCAGAAGUUCAACAACAAACUCCAUAGCCAUUUGAUACGUCUCAAACGUAUCUAUAAUUUUUGAUGGUUUCACACUGUUAUCUUGUCAACUUUGGAUGUUUUAUAUACCUUUUAUAUCUUUUUUGGGACUAACUUAUUAAUUCAGUGCCAAGUGCGAGUUCCUGUUUUCUGUGUUUUUGACUCUUUUCAGAUCUGUUUUUGGAAUGGAGUCCAAACGGAAUAAAAUCCCCGAAAUAAAAUUUUCCAGAACAAAAGAAGAUCGAGGGACUUGAAGGCCAAGGCAGGGGGCCCACAGGGAGCCCACAAGCCCUGUUGCCGCGGCCAGGGGGGCCACGGUAACCAAGCUUGUGGCCUCCCUAGCGCUCCCCUGCCCUAGCUCUUUGGCCUAUAAAUUCCCUAAAAUCGCAGAAAAAAUCAGGGCAUCCACGAAAACACUUUUCCACCGCCGCAAGCUUCCAUUUCCUCGAGAUCUCAUCUGGAGACCCUUCCCGGUGCCCUGCCGGAGAGGACUUUGGAGUUGGAGGGCUUCUACAUCAACAUCAUCGCCUCUCCAAUGACUCGUGAGUAGUCCACUUCAGACCUACGGGUCCGUAGUUAGUAGCUAGAUGGCUUCUUCUCUCUCUUGGAUCUUCAAUACUAGAUGGCUUCUUCUCUCUCAUGGAGAUCUAUCCGAUGUAAUCCUCUUUGGUGGUGUGUUUGUCGAGAUCCGAUGAAUUGUGGAUUUGUGAUCAGAUUAUCUACGAUUUAUAUUUGAGUCUUUGCUGAUUUCUUAUAUGCAUGAUUUGAUAUCCUUGUAAGUCUCUUCGAGUCUUGGGUUUUGUUUGGCCAACUAGAUCUAUGAUUCUUGCAAUGGGAGAAGUGCUUGGAUUUGGGUUCAUACCGUGCGGUGAUCUUUCCAAGUGACAGAAGGGGCAGGAAGGCACGCAUCAUGUUGUUGCCAUCAAGGGUAACAAGAUGGGCUUUCAUCAUAGAUUUGAGAUUGUUCAUCUACAUCAUGUCAUCUUGCUUAAGGCAUUACUCUGUUCUUAUGAACUCAAUAUACUAGAUGCAUGCUGGAUAGUGGUCGAUGUGUGGAGUAAUAGUAGUAGAUGCAGAAAGUAUCGAUCUACUUGUUUUGGACGUGAUGCCUAUAGAUAUGAUCAUUGCCAUAGAUAACGUCAGGACUUUGCGCGAUUCUAUCAAUUGCUCGUCAGUAAUUCGUUCACCCACCGUCUACUUGCUUUCAUGAGAGAAGCCACUAGUGAACACUACGGCUCCCGGGUCUAUUCCCAACUAUCGUCUCCACUUUUACUUUUACUUUGCUUUGUUUACUUUUUGCUUUCAGUUCUCACUUUGCAAACAAUCUAUAAGGGAUUGACAACCCCUUCAUAGCGUUGGGUGCAAGCUCUUUGACUCGAUCCUCCUACUAGAUUGAUACCUUGGUUCUCAAACUGAGGGAAAUACUUACCGCCGCUGUGCUACAUCACCCUUUCCUCUUCAAGGGAACACCAACGCAAGGCUCCAAGGCCGCGGGGGAAUCCUUUGCAUAUUUGCCAAGGAAGUCCCUAUAGGCGUAGCCCGCAGCAGAAGGAUUUCUGGCGCCGUUGCCACGAAAGGUCUAUUGUCGCAGUAGCAGUGUCUUGCUCACUUCCCCAAUGGGAGACAGCUUUUGCUAUGCCGUACAACUCUGCUUCCAACAGGGGGAGAAGGUCUCCAACAACACAGCGGAGUACGGGGGCCUCAUCGCCGACCUCAAGGCAGCGGCGGCCUUGGGGGUCCAGCGCCUCACCGUGAUGGGUGAAUCUCAGCUUCUCGUCAACUUCUCCAACAAGGAGUACACACCCAAGGACAAACAUAUGGAGGCGUAUCUGUAGGAGGUACGUAAGAUUGAGAAACUUUUUCAGGGCCUGGAGCUGCAGUACGUCCCGCGAAGCAAAAACGAUGCGGACGACGUCGCCAAAAGAGCUUCGCGUCGCGAGGCUCCGGAACCAGGCAUUUUUGAGGAGCGAUUCUUCAAGCCUUCCGCGACGCGAUCACCUGAGGACCCGGUACCGCGCGGAGAGGAGCUCCCCCCAGCACCGCCAUCGGGGGCUUCGGACUGUGGCCAGGCCUUGGGGGCUCGACUUCUCCUAGCCCUGGAGGCUCAAGACGAUUAUUGGAUGCAGGAACUCGGGGCAUAUUUACUCCACGACAAAUUGCCGGAGAAGGAAGAGGACGCAGAACGCGUAGUACGACACGCCUCAACUUACUGUGUGCGAGACGGCGCCUUGUACCGCAGGCGCCCGAACGACGUCACGCUGCGGUUCAUUUCCAGGGAGCAGGGGCGCGAGCUACUGGCCGACAUCCACGGAGGGGACUGCAGACAUCACUCCUCCUCGCGCACGCUCGCAGGUAAGUCGUUCAGGUCAGGUUAUUACUGGCCUACAGCUCUGGACGACGCCACCGAGCUGGUCAGAUCUUGCUAGGCCAGCCAGUUCCAUGCCAAGAAGAUCCACCAGCCCGCGCAGGGCCUCCACACCAUUCCGCUCUACUAGCCUUUUGCGGUGUGGGGGCUGGACAUAUUGGGGCCCUUCCCGCGGGCCGCGGGAGCUUUCCGCUACCUCUACGUCGCCAUCCACAAAUUCACCAAGUGGGCGAAGGUGGAGCCCAUGCGCACCAUCCCGGUCGGGUCUGUCGUCAAGUUCGUCAAGGGCCUCGUGAGCCGCUUCAGCGUCCCCAACUGCAUCAUCACUGAUAACGGUUUGCACUUCACCAGUCAACUCUCUAAGAUUUACUGUGCUAACCUCGGUACAGAGAUAUGCUACGCAUCUGCGACCCAUCCGCGGAGCAAUGGCCAGGCGGAGCGCGCCAACGCAGAGGUCCUGCGGAGUCUCAAAGUGAGGAGCUUCAAGAAGAAGCUCGGAGCUUGUGGCCGGGGUUGGGUCGAUGAGCUCCCAUCGGUAAUGUGGUCCAUCCGCACCACUGCAACCAAACCCACCGGUGAAACCCUGUUCUUCCUCGUCUACGGAGCACAGGCGGUCCUUCCCCACGAAAUCAAGCACCACUCCCCGCGGGUCUUGGCGUUCGAUGAGGAGCGUGAGGAGCCUGCGCAGGGGACGAACCUCAUACUUGGAGAGGAGGCGCGCCGUCGGGCCUCUCUCCGAGCCGCGAGGUACCAGCAGGCCUUGCGGCACUACCACUGCUGCAACAUCCGCUCCAGGACCCUCGAAGUCGGCGAUCUCGUCUUGAGGCGGGUCCAAUCCAGGGAAGGCUUGCAUAAGAUUUCGCCCAUGUGGGAGGGCCCAUUUAAGGUCGUCCCCGUCUCUAGGCCCGGCUCCAUGCAUCUGGAUACUCAAGAUGGAGUUCUCAUCCAGAACGCCUGGAACAUCCAACACCUCCGCAAGUUCUACCCAUCACGACUCUGCACCGCCCGUGCACUGCCUCCGCACCGCCUCUGCAUCCACCCUCGAUCGUCCCUCAAUUCUUCCGGAACCUACUCCAUCCCGUGACACUCUCACGUAAUAACGAGCCGAGGCUGUAUAUGCCUAGCCCCCCCCCCCCCCNNNNNNNNNNNNNNNNNNNNNNNNNNNNNNNNNNNNNNNNNNNNNNNNNNNNNNNNNNNNNNNNNNNNNNNNNNNNNNNNNNNNNNNNNNNNNNNNNNNNCAGGGAGAGAGGGAGAAUGUGGGAGAGCAAGUGAGGGCUCAGGGGAGAGGAGAUAGGAGAGGGAAGGGCCGAGAGAACUCAAGAGCUCUCUGGAGCUCUCGGUGCAUGGUCGCCACGCAUAGCUGAGGGGUCUUGGAGGCUAGUUGAUGGCGGGGGAUGGUUUGAACGGUCAAGGGGAGCCUUUGAGACACGCUGGGGCACACUGGCUCGGCUUGGUGUGGCCUGGAGGAAGGAGACAAGGCGCAGAGCGCCCAUACUGCAGGCCAGAGUGGUGGUCACCACGGCAUCCCGUGUCUACAUGGUCCCAAUGGCCAGUCCAACAUGUCUAGCACGUAAGACAUACCUGCAGCAAGGGAACUCUGGAGUUUGGCAACUAGCAGAGUCGGUUUGAACUAGUUUUGACUGCUGUGAACAUUUCAGCAGGAAACUAGGGGCUGAUACAAAUGGUUUUCACAGGCAUAGAGGGGAGGUGAAACCAUGUCCUAGAGCAUGUGGUAUGAAAGGACUUCACACCUGUCGAAAUUCAGCUCAAGAGAAGAAGUGUAGCUAGCUUGCUGUACAAAGCUACUUUUCAGCCAGAAAUGAACUUGGGGAGGUGCUGCUCAUUUUCUCCACAUGAGCAUGGCAUAUCUUGGUUCUAAAUGAAGCCUUGGCAUAGAUUAGAUGCUCUGGAAAGAGUUGGGGUUGAUAGCUUAAGCAGAAGAAUGGGAAGAAGGGUAAAACAGUGCCGCCAAGGGUGAAAAUGAGAGAAACUUACAAAGGGACCUUCUCCAAUAAUUGACCAGUGGCCAUGGGGAAGUUACUGGAGGUAAAAUAUGACUAUGUGAGGCUGUGGUAGAAAGUUGAGCUCAAGGGUAAAAGUAGAAGGGGCAAAUGAAACCAAAUUAGUGAGUGCACACAAGGUGUUUGAUCUGUGGUUGGGCUACCAGAUGAAUUCCAAUGGCUAUGAAACUUAACAGGAUCAAAUAAUAGAUGAAAAUAGGCUUGCACACCAAAUUUGGGAUUUGCUGGAGAAGUUUUCCAAUGUAUACUUGAAAAACCUAGAAAUGGGCAGAAAUGAGUUUUUGCUUAGAAUCCUAUUCAAAUAAAUUUCCAUAAAUCCAAUAUUUGGUGUAGGGGCAUUAUUUGAGCAUUAAGUCAUGCACAAAAAGUUUGAGGAUAAUUGGAGAAACUUUAUAAUGUAAAGUUUACCAAAGUCAGAAAUCAAUAGAGAGGGUUUUGAGGGUCUUAGGACAAGUUCCUCUAUUCUCCUUGGUGUACUACUUGGUGUGGAUGCGUCAUUGGAGUGUUGGAACAUGUCCACCAAAUUUGAGCACAAUUGGAGACACUUCACAAUUUAGAGUUGCUCAAAUUUGAUUCUGGACAGAUGGGGUUUUAGAGUGAUUAGGGCAGUCAAAUCAACUUGGAUUGAAAUGAAACUUGGCAAGAUCAUCAAGAAUAUCAUAGAUGACAUGCUAGAAUUUUACUAGAAUUUAUUGAGAAUAUUUCUUAUAGAAAUAUUCCAAAAGCUUGAAAUAGGCAGGAAUGGUUUUGGAGGGGUUUGCCCAAUAUUUUUAACAUGACCAUGUGUUGAAACUCAUAAAUAUGGAAUAAAUAUAUCCACUGAGUUUCCCCAAAUUUUCUUAAAUAUUUUGAAAGCAAUAAAAAUAUCUUUCCUUCAUAGGAGACCAUUUCUGGCCUCACAGAAAGGCUUUUAAAAAAAAAUAAAAGAACUUUUAAAAUAAUAAUAUGGUGGUUUUUGCAAGUCAUUUUGAUAAUGGUUUUAAAUAAAACAAUUGGUGCAAAAGAAACUCCCUAAUUUCAGGACUUGUAGUACAAACCUCAUCUGAGGGGUUUGAAAGUUCAAUUCAAAGAAAAGCUUUUUGGUGAAAAUAAUAUUUGGUAAAAAUAGAUAUUUGUUCUAAACACAUGGUAUGAUCAUUAGGAACGAGAUCAUGGAGUGAGGAGGUGAUUAGGAGGAUGGGAAGAAUUAAUGGGGAUCCAUCACAUGCAAUUAAACAAAGAGGCACACAAUAGUCACUCCAAGCAUCACAAGCAUUCACAAAAAUUUUAAUUGGUCCUUAAUUUUGAAAUAAGUUAAUUAGUCAGGGAAGCCAAAAACAGGGUGUGACAUUGCACCUAAGGGGAAACUGCCCCAUCGUGCCAUCUGCUGCUCGCCUGUCCUUUCCUGGCGUCACACGUGACUCGUGAGGUUGGGCCUUGCCUCGGAAUGUCCGCCACUCUAGAGGGGUCCUGAUUAGGCCCCUUGCGGGUCUUGAUGUCGUUCCUCCUCAUGAGGCAUGGCCCCUCACGAGGGCCUUGUCGAGCAUGCCGAUGCUUGGCCGAUGGAGUGGGCCAGACCUGGUCCGCAGACAGGCGAGUCUCGGUACCUCCGUUCCCAGAACGCCGAUAGUAGCCCUCGGGCCCACGACGCGCCUGGGCUGGCUUCCCGGCGAAGCCUUGGAGGCAGCCUAAAGCGUCGCAGGCCCUAAAUGUUUGCGGGUCAGGCUUCACAGGCGCCGUGCAGCCUAGUGGCAACACUCCAGUUCCCGAGGUGCCUUGGGACACGUCUGGUCAAAUUGAUGUGAUGCCUGGAUGCGGCGACAACAAUCAUUGCUCCUUGGGGGUGACGCAUUUACACACGCCACGCGGGCGCGUCCCCUCACGAACUACGCGGGCCAGGGGACGCGAAGGGGUCCCAACCUACUCUUGGUUGCCUAUUUAACCCGGCGGGGGUGAUAAGGCUUGCGUCGCCUCAGUCUUCUUCGCCUCCCACCUUGAGCCCCCCGCUCUCUUAGCAUGGCGCCGACGAGAAGAUUCUCUGCUCCGAUAAGGGGAAUCCCCUGGCGAAGGUCUUGCUGCUCCACUUACCAAGAGGGGACGAGGCCGCCCUAGGAAGUAUGCGGCGGCGCCGACAGCGGCCUCCGGCGGGCGCGGUCAUGGUUCCGCCCACCUGGGGUCUCCAUCAGCGGCAAUGGCGGGUGCCGGCUAGAGCGGGUGCCCUUAGCGGCCGGAGUGGGAGGUCGGUGAUGGCCACCCGGUCGCCUCGCCCGCGGUUCCACUCGGCCAAUACGGUGGUGGAGUUCAUGACGUGGGUGGAGAGGUCGAAAAUCGCUUUGCUCCAGCUUCCGAACUUCUUCGCGAAGACACUGCCGACCGGCGAGCCUCGUGGCCUCUUGUUGUAGGCCGACGGCUGCUGCAGCGGGGCAUCCUGGGUGGAGGUUGAGGUCACCCCCGACGGUUAUGUGUAUCUGAACCAUGGGUGGCACACCUUCGCCCGCUCCCGAGGCCUGAAGGGGAGGUGCUACCUCCUUUUCAAGUAUGACGGGGAGGUGACACUCUUCGUCAAGUUCUUUGGGGUCGAGGGCGAUCGCGUGGGUUGCUGCCCGGAAGACGCCGGCCAUGGCUGUCCCGUAGACGAUCCCGUCUUCGAUGGAGGGCGCCAACCCCCCAGCAUUGGCGAUACCUCCUCCGGAAGGAGCCCGAGAAACAACAGUUACGAUGAGCUGCCUUGCCGCCAUGCCCGAGCCUCGUGGAGGAGCCCCCAAGCGUUGCGCCGCCCGUCUGGUCCUACGGCGCCUUUGAAGGAGGAGGAGGACACGGACUGAGUGUCGGCGUGCGGGUGCCGGGUAUCAGCGGCGGCAACCGUCCUCCGGGAUCUCCAUCGCUAGUUGUCUCCUUCUUGCUUUUGACCCUGCAUUCAUAGAAACAAGGAUAGGCCCUUCGGGCAUGUAAUGGAUUUGGGUGGUUGCCUCCUUUUGUUAGUGAUGUUGCUUCUCUACUGAUUUAGAUACUUAGCUUGGUAUGCUUGUGGGGAACUCCUUUGUUGUGACGCAUGACUGUGGUGCAAGUGGGUCGAUGCUUGAUACGUCCAUUUUACAUCAUGCUUUUAUGUUGAUAUUUAUCGCUCUAUGGGUUGUUAUUACACUUUACGGUAAAUUGAAAAGGACGUGGAUGUCGCCUAGAGGGGGGGGGGUGAAUAGGCGCUUUAAAAUAGUUAAGGUUUAGGCUUGAACAAAUGCGGAAUAAAACUAACGUUUAAUAUGUCAAGCACAAAACCUACAAACAACUAGGCUCACCUAUGUGCACCAACAACUUAUGCUAAGGAAGAUAAACAACUAAGUGAUAGCAAGAUAUAUUACAAUAAACAAUAUGUCUAUCACAAAGUAAAGUGCAUAAGUAAAGGGUUCGGGUAAGAGAUAACCGAGGCACGGGGAGACGAUGAUGUAUCCCGAAGUUCACACCCUUGCGGAUGCUAAUCUCCGUUAGAGCUGUGUGGAGGCACAAUGCUCCCCAAGAUGCCACUAAGGCCACCGUAAUCUCCUCACGCCCUCGCACAAUGCAAGAUGCCGUGAUUCCACUAAGGGACCCUUGAGGGCGGUCACCGAACCCGUACAAAUGGCAACCCUUGGAGGCGAUCACCGAACCCGUACACGUGGCAACCCUUGGGGGCGGUUACCGGUACCCGUACAAAUUGCUCGGGGCAAUCUCCACAACCUAAUUGGAUACCCCGACGCUUCCCGGAGCUUCACACCACAAUGAUUGAGCUCCGAGACACCACCAAGCUUCUAGGACGCCAAAGCAUCCACGAAGAACAAUAUCAAGGGCACUAAGUACCAAAGGUAGUAAGCUUCUCAACUUCUCACUUCCACGUAUCACCGUGGAGAACUCAAACCGAUGCAACUAAUGCAAUGGCAAGAACACACGAAGUGGUCAAGUCCCUCACACUCAAAUCCCUCCACAACAACAAAAGCUAUGGAGAAAUAUGAGAGGAAGAACAAGGAGCUCACAAAGAACUCCAAGAUCAAGAUCCAAGGGGUUCCCCUCACAUAGAGGAGAAAGUGAUUGGUGGAGAUGUGGAUCUAGAUCUCCUCUCUCUUUUCCCUCAAGAACAAGCAAGAAUCAUUGGAGGGAUAGAGAGUAAUCAAGCUCUAAGAAUGUCAACAAUGGAGAUAGAACAAGAGCUCAACGGAUGGAUAAGACCAAGGGGGAAGAAGACCCCCUUUAUAUAGUGGGGGAAGGAAUCAGACCGUUACCCCCACUUUCUGCCCGAGCUCCAGCGGUACGACCGCUGGCACUCCAGCGGUACCACCGCUGGCACUCCAGCGGUACUACCGCCAGCUAGCGGUACUACCGCUGGCACUCCAGCGUUACUACCGCUGGCCCCAGCGGUACUACCGCUGGCCCCAGCGGUACUACCGCUGGGCCCAUGGUAGUGCAACGACACUACCACCGCCAAGAAAGUAUUCGCAAAAAGGUCCGUCCACGAACAACCGCUAGGCAGGCGGUACUAAGCUCCUGGAGCGGUACUAAGCCCAUGUAAACACACCUAACCCCCACAUAGAACUCUCACGAAGACCAUGGGUUAGUACACAAACACGUAAUGGACAAUGCUUACCAUACCAUGGGAUCACUUGAUCCCUCUCGGUACAUCUUGUACGCUUUGUGUGUUGAUCAUCUUGAUUUACUCUUUGUCUGAGAUCUUGAUCAACCAUGUGUCUCUAUGACCAUUCUUUGGAUAAUACCUUGAAUACCAUCUUGGUCAUCAUAUAAACUCCUUGAACCCAACUGAUGGACUUCAAGAAGUGCCUAUGGACAAAUCCAUACCAUGGGAUCACUUGAUCCCUCUCGGUACAUCUUGUACGCUUUGUGUGUUGAUCAUCUUGAUUUACUCUUUGUCUGAGAUCUUGAUCAACCAUGUGUCUCUAUGACCAUUCUUUGGAUAAUACCUUGAAUACCAUCUUGGUCAUCAUAUAAACUCCUUGAACCCAACAGAUGGACUUCAAGAAGUGCCUAUGGACAAAUCCUAUAAAUGUAACUUAAGGCAACCAUUAGUCCAUAGGAAUUGUCAUCAAGUACCAAAACCACAUAUGGAGAUAUAUGCUCCAACAGGUACAAUACUUAUGUCUUUUAUCUCUUAUUUUAUAAGGUUUACAUGAAGAGGGAGAAUGCCGGCAGCUGGAAUUCUGGUCUAGAAAAGGAGCAAGUUUGAGAUACCUAUUCUACGCAACUCCAAAAGUCGUGAAAAUCAACGAGGAAUUAUUUUGGAUUUUAUAAAAAAUACUGGGCGGAAGAAGUACCAGACGGGAGCCACCAGGAGGCCACAAGCCUGCGAGGCGCGGCCUACCCCCCUGGCCGCGCCUAGGUGGCUUGUGGGCCCCUUGUUGCCCCUCUGGCUCCCAUCUUUUGCUAUAAGGAGGGUUUCUUCCUAGAAAAAAUCAAGAGGAUGCUUUCGGGAGGAAUCGCCGCCGCCACGAGGCGGAACUUGAGCAGAACCAAUCUAGAGCUCUCGCAGGGCCAUCCUGCCGGGGAAACUUCCCUCCCGGAGGGGGAAACCGUCGCCAUCGUCAUCACCAACACUCCUCUCAUCGGAGGGGACUCAUCACCAUCAACAUAUUCAUCAGCACCAUCUCAUCUCCAAACCCUAGUUCAUCUCAUGUAACGAAUCUCCGUCUCACAACUCUGAUUGGUACUUGUAAGGUUGCUAGUAGUGUUAAUUACUCUUUGUAGUUGAUACUAGUUGGAUUACUCGGUGGAAGAUUAUAUGUUCAGAUCCUUAAUGCUAUUCCUUACCUCUCUGGUCAUGAACAUAAUUAUGCUUUGUGAGUAGUCACUUUUGUUCCUAAGUCUUGCUAUAAGUAGUCAUGUGAAUUUGGUAGUCGUUCGAUAUUUUGAUGCGAUGUAUGUUUUCUUUUCCUCUAGUGGUGUUAUGUGAACGUCGACUACAUGACACUUCACCAUUGUUUGGGCCUAGAGGAAGUCAUUGGGAAGUAAUAAGUAGAUGAUGGGUUGCUAGAGUGACAGAAGCUUAAACCCUAGUUUAUGCGUUGCUUCGUAAGGGGAUGAUUUGUUCCACUAGUUUAAUGCUAUGGUUAGACUUUGUCUUAAUUCUUCUUUCGCAGUUGGGGAUGCUUGUGAGAGGGGUUAAUCAGAAGUGGGAUGUUUUCCAAGUAAGGGCAGCACCCAAGCACCGGCCCACCCACAUAUCAGAACAUCAAAGUAGCGAACGUGAAUCAUAUGAACUUGGUGAAAACUAGCUUGACAGAAAUUCCCAUGUGUCCUCGAGAGCGCUUUAACUCUUAUAAGAGUUUGUCCAGGCUUGUCCCUUGCUACAAAAGGGAUUGGGCCAUCUUUAUGCACCUUUGUUACUAUUGUUACUUGCUACUCGCUACGAAUUAUCUUAUCACACAACUAUCUGUUACCGAUAAUUUCAGUGCCUGCAGAAAAUACAUUGCUGGAAACCACUUGUCAGUUCCUUCUGCUCCUCGUUGGGUUCGACACUCUUACUUAUCGAAAGGACAAUGAUAGAUCCCCUACACUUGUGGGUCAUCGAGACUCUUUUCUAGCGCCAUUGCCGGGGAGUGAAGCACCUUUGGUAAGUGGAAUUUGGUAAGGAAACAUUUAUAUAGUGUGCUGAAAUUUAUUGUCACUUGUCACUAUGGAAACUAAUCCAUUGAGGAGCUUGUUCGGGGUAUCUUUACCUCGAACGGAAGCACAAGGAUUUGCUCCUCAACCUGCUGGACCUACUGAAAAUAUUUUUUAUGAAAUUCCUUGAGGUAUGCUAGAGAAACUGUUGGCUAAUCCUUUUACAAGUGAUGGAACAUCACAUCCCGACUUGCAUAUAAUCUAUGUAGAUGAAGUUUGUGAUUUAUUUAAGCUUGCAGGUUUUCCCGAGGAUGAGGUCAAGAAGAAGGUCUUUCCCUUAUCUUUGAGGGAUAAAGCAUUGACAUGGUAUAGGCUAUGUGAUGAUACUGGAUCAUGGAACUACAACCGAUUGAAAUUGGAAUUUCAUCAAAAGUUUUAUCCUAUGCAUUUGGUACAUCGUGAUCGGAAUUAUAUUUAUAAUUUUUGGCCUCGUGAUAGAGAAAGUAUCGCUCAAGCUUGGCGGAGACUUAAGUCAAUGUUAUAUUCAUGCCCCAACCAUGAGCUCUCGAGAGAAAUUAUUAUUCAGAACUUCUAUGCUGGGCUUUCUCAUGAUAAUUGCACCAUGCUUGACACUUCUUGUACCGGUUCUUUUAUGAAGAGAGGUAUUGACUUCAAAUGGAAUUUAUUGGAAAGAAUUAAAUGCAACUCUCAAGAUUGGGAUUUUGAUGAAGGUAAGGAGUCAGGUAUGAAUCUUAAGUUCGAUUGCGUUAAAUCCUUUGUUCAAACAAAUACUUUUUGUGAUUUUAGCGCUAAACAUGGACUUGACUCUGAGAUAGUAGCCUCAUUAUGUGAAUCAUUUUCUGCUCAUAUUAAUCUCCCUAAAGAGAAGUGGUAUAAGUAUCAUCCUCCCAUAAAAGUCAAUGUAGUUAAACCCAAUCUAGUUGAAGAGAAUAUCAUUGUUAUAAUGAUCUCAUUUUUCCUAGUGCUUACAUUGAGAAACCACCUUUCCGUGUUAGAAUAAAGGAUCAUGCUAAAGCUACAACUGUGAUACGUAGGGGCUACAUUAGAACACCUACACCCCUUGAGCAAAAUAAAGUUGAACCUAGCAUUGCUAUUAUCAAAGAUCUCCUAUCCGACAAUGUUGAUGGGCAUGAUAUUCACUUCUGUGAAGAUACUGCUAGAAUUGCUAAACCUCAUGCUAGAGACAAACUUAGGCCUGUUGUUGGCAUGCCUGUUGUUUAUGUUAAUAUAGGAGAUCAUUGUUAUCAUGGUUUAUGUGACGUAGGUGCUAGUGUUAGUGCAAUACCUCAAUCUUUAUAUCAUGAAAUUAAAGACGAGAUUGCACCUGUCGAUAUGGAACCUAUUGAUGUUACUAUUAAGCUUGCCAAUAAAGACACUAUCUGCCCUUUGGGAAUUGUUAGAUAUGCUGAAGUCUUGUGUGGUAAAACUAAGUAUGCUGCUGAUUUUCUCGUUCUUACUACCACACAAGAUAGCUUUUGUCCCAUCAUAUUUGGCAGACCCUUCCUCAAUACUGUCAAUUCUCACAUUGACUGUGAAAAGCAAACUGUCAUUGUUGGCUUUGAAGGUGUGCCACAUGAAUUCAAUUUCUCCAAGUUUGGUAGACAACCUCAUGAAAAGGAAUUUUCUAGUAAGGAUGAAAUUAUUGCCCUAGCUUCUAUUGAUGUGCCUCCUACUGAUCCUUUAGAGCAAUACUUGCUUGAGCAUGAAAAUGAUAUGCAUUUGGAUGAAAGGAAUGAGAUAGACAGAGUUAUCUUUGAACAACAUCCUACCCUUAAGAAUAAUUGGCCUGUUGAAUUACUUGGAGAUCCAUCCCCACCAAAGGGUGAUCCCGUGUUUGAGCUUAAACAGUUACCUGAUACUCUUAAGUAUGCUUAUCUUGAUGAAAAAGAGAUAUAUCCUGUUAUUAUUAGUGCUAGCCUUUCAGAGCAUGAAGAAAAGAAGUUAUUGAAAACUCCGAGGAAGCACUGUGCCGCUAUCGGAUAUACUCUUGAUGAUCUUAAUGGCAUUAGUCCCCCUCUAUGCGAGCAUAAAAUUUAAACCGAUCCUGAUUCCAAACCAGUUGUCGAUCAUCAACGGAGGUUAAAUCCUAAAGCACCUGGAAGCAGGUAUUAUCUAUCAUGUUGCUCAUAGUGAUUGGGUAAGUCCGGUGCAUUGCGUCCCUAAGAAGGGAGGUAUUACCGUUGUCCCUAAUGAUAAAGAUGAAUUGAUCCCACAGAUGAUUAUUACUGGCUAUAGGAUGGUGAUUGAUUUUAGGAAAUUGAAUAAAGCCACUAGGAAAGAUCAUUACCUUUUGCCUUUUAUCGACCAAAUGCUAGAAAGAUUGUCUAAACACACACACUGUUGCUUUCUGGAUGGUUAUUCUGGUAUCUCCGAAAUACCUGUUACAUAAUAUGAUCAGGAGAAAACCACUUUUACCUGCCCUUUAGGUACCUUUGCUUACAAACGUAUGACUUUUGGCUUAUGUAAUGCACCUGCUACCUUUCAAAGAUGUAUGAUGGCUAUAUUCUCUGACUUCUGUGAAAAGAUUGUUGAGGUUUUUAUGGAUGACUUCUCCGUUUACGGGUCUUCUUUUGAUGGUUGCCUCAGCAACCUUGAUCGAGUUUUGCAGAGAUGUAAAGAUACCAACCUUGUCUUGAAUUGGGAGAAGUGCCACUUUAUGGUUAAUGAAGGCAUCGUCUUAGGACAUAAAUUUUUUGAAAGAGGUAUUGAAGUCAAUAAGGCUAAAGUUGAUGCGAUCGAUAAAAUGCCAUGCCCUACAGAUAUCAAAGGUAUAAGAAGUUUCCUUGGUCAUGUUGGUUUCUAUAGAAGGUUCAUUAAGGACUUUCCUAAGAUUUCUAGGCCUCUUACCAAUCUCUUGCAAAAGGAUAUUCCUUUUGUUUUUGACGAUGAUUGUGAGGAAGCCUUUGAAAUACUUAAGAAGGCCUUGAUAACUGCACCUAUUGUUCAACCACCUGAUUGGAACCUACCCUUUGAAAUUAUGUGUGAUGCUAGUGAUUAUGCUGGUGGCGCUGUUCUAGGACAAAGAGUUGAUAAGAAAAUGAAUAUUAUUCUAUAUGCUAGUAAAAAUCUAGACAGUGCCAUAGAAACUAUGCUACUACUGAAAACAAAUUUUUAGUAGGCGUGUUUGCAUGUGAAAAGUUCAGAUCUUAUAUUGUUGAUUCCAAGGUUACUAUUCACACUGAUCAUGCUGCUAUUAAGUAUCUCAUGGAAAAGAAAGAUGCUAAACCUAGACUUAUCAGAUGGGUUCUCUUGCUACAAGAAUUUGAUUUGCAUGUUGUUGAUAGGAAGGGUGCUGAGAACCCCGUAGCACAUAACUUGUCUAGGUUGGAGAAUAUUCUUGAUGACCCACAACCUAUUGAUGAUAGCUUUCCUUAUGAGUAAUUGAAUGUCAUCAAUGCUUCACGUAGUACACCUUGGUAUGCUGAUUAUGCAAAUUAUAUUGUUGCCAAAUAUAUACCACCUAGUUUCACAUACCAACAAAAGAAGAAAUUCUUCUUUGAUUUGAGACAUUACUUUUGGGAUGAUCUUCACAUUUAUAAAGAAGGAGUAGAUGGUGUUAUUAGACGUUGUGUACCUGAGCAUGAAGAGGGACAUAUCCUACAUAAGUGUCACUCCGAGGCUUACGGAGGACACCAUGUGGGAGAUAGAACUGCACUCAAGGUAUUGCAAUCCGGAUUUUAUUGACCUACUCUCUUCAAGGAUGCCCGUAAGUUUGUAUUGUCUUGUGAUGAAUGUCAAAGAAUAGGUAAUAUCAGUAAACGUCAGGAAAUGCCUAUGAAUUAUUCACUUGUCAUUGAACCAUUUGAUGUUUGGGGUUUUGAUUAUAUGGGACCUUUUCCAAAGUCCAACGGGUAUACUCAUAUCCUAGGUUCUGUUGAUUACGUUACUAAGUGGGUAGAAGCUAUCCCAACUAGUAGUGCUGAUCAUAACACCUCUAUCAGGAUGCUUAAAGAAGUUAUUUUCCCAAGAUUUAGAGUCCCUAGAUAUUUAAUGACUGAUGGUGGUUCACAUUUUAUUCAUGGUGUUUUCCGUAAAAAUCUUGCUAAGUAUGAUGUCAACCAUAGAAUUGCAUCUCCCUAUCAUCCUCAGUCCAGUGGUCAAGUAGAGCUAAGUAAUAGAGAGAUUAAACUAAUUCUGCAAAAGACUGUUAAUAGGUCUCGAAAGAAUUGGACUAUGAAGCUUGAUGAUGCACUGUGGGCUUAUAGAAUUGCUUAUAAGAAUCCCAUGGGCAUGUCUCCGUACAAAAUGUUUUACGGUAAAGCAUGUCAUUUACCUCUUGAGCUAGAGCAUAAGGCUUAUUGGGCAAUCGAAGAGCUCAACUUUGAUUUCAAAUUGCUGGUGAGAAGAGGUUAUUUGACAUUAGCUCACUUGAUGAAUGGAGAACUCAGGCAUAUGAAAAUGCCAAGUUGUUUAAAGAAAAAGUUAAGAGGUGGCAUGAUAAAAGCAUACAAAAUCGUGAGUUCAAUGUAGGUGAUUAUGUCUUGUUAUACAAUUCUCGUUUAAGAUUUUUUGUAGGCAAGCUUCUCUCUAAAUGGGAAGGUCCUUACAUUGUUGAGGAAGUAUAUCGUUCCGGUGCCAUAAAGAUCAACAACACGGAAGGGAAUUUUCCGAGAGUUGUAAAUGGGCAAAGAAUCAAGCAUUAUAUCUCACGUACUCCCAUAAAUGUUGAAAGCAAUAUUAGUAAUACCAUAACUCCGGAGGAGUACAUAAGGGAUAUUUAUCAGCCCGUUUCACACUACAAAAACGAAGAGGUAUGUGAUUCGGUAAGUAAAUCGACCUCAAAACUUUUCCAGUAGCAAUUUUUCUCCGUUUUGGAUUUUUUAGAAAAAUAGAAAAAAUUGAAGUAGUCCGGAAAGCGCACGAGGAGGCGACAAGCCUGCUAGGCACGACCUACCCCCCUGGCCAUGUCUGGGUGGCUUGUGGGCACCUCGUGUGCCUCCCAGACUCCGUUUUCUUGCGUAGUACUCCUUUUGGUCGGGAAAAAUUCAUUAUAUAUUCUCCCGAGAGGUGUGACCCUCGUAUCAUGCAAAUAUCCUGUGUUUUUGUUUCGAGCUACUGUGCAAGAAGAUCUAGAUCGCUAUGGCGUCCCCAAAAGUUCCGAAGGACAAGUUCUUCGAGAAGGUCAUCAAUCCCUACCUCGCGGGCGUGCUGCAACACCCUCAAUCUAUCGAGAUGCAUGAGGGGUUUCUGCACAUCCGUGAUGUUGAGGGGCCCAAGAAGACCGGAAGCAUGGAGAAGAGGCUCGAAGCAAUGGAGCAGCAAGUCUUCAAGUGGCAAGGGAUGGAGGAACGCGGACUCAACGCCAACCACAUGAUGAUCACGGAGUUCACCAAAAAGCACAAGAUCGAUGCCAAUGACAUCGGGAAGCACCUCUCCAGGCUCUAUGACAGAAUUGAUCACCUCCAAGCACAGAUCUAUGACCUGCAGAACCAAAACUAUGAGUAUGAUUAUAGAUUUAAAUCAAUACGGUUGGCUGCAGAUUUGAGGAUUUCGGAGACUCGAUCAUCUUUCCAUGAUGGAGCACCUAUGCCUUGGAAGACGGAGGAUCAAACCGAGGUUGCAAAAACUCCACCACCAUCACCUUCGAAGGAAGACAAUUAAGCACGGGCAUGGGCACUCCUCUUGGCUUGUGCCAAGCCUGGGGGAGUUGCCUCGGUAUCGUAUCACCAUCACAUCUUUUGCCUUUACCUUUUUCUUAGUUUGAUCCUUUUUGGUUUUAUCUUUCUCUAGUAGAAUAAAGUUCUUAGUAUGAUUUAGGCUUGAGUUUUGCGUUGUGUCUCCCCCAAUGUAAUUGUGUUCGUGAGUCAUAUAAUAAAGAGUGUUUUAGUUAAGGGCCUUGCUUAAUGCCAUGAUCUAAAGAAAAGAAUAAUAAAAGAACAAAAGCAUGAAAGAUCAUGUAAUGCUCUUAUGGAAAUUGAUGGCUUCACAUAUAAAAAGAAUGUUGAUUGAAAAUUGUUGUAGGUGAAAAAACGUAGACUUUGGUCAUUGUUGGAAUUAAUAGGAAGUAAUAAAGAAAGAGAAGUUCACAUAUAAAUAUAUUAUCUUUGACACCGUCUAUGAUUGUUAACACUCAUUAAACUAUUACAUGCUUAGAAGUAGAUGUUCGACAAGGAACACAACAUAAUGAAUUAUGUUUGCUUGGUUCCAAACAAUGUUAUAUGACUAGAGAUCCCUUAGCAUGUGACGCUAGCUUCCACCUCAUAUCAGCCAAAACUUCCGCACUAAGUAGAGAUACUACUUGUGCAUCCAUAAACCUUCAACCCAGUUUUGCCAUGAGAGUCCACCAUACCUACCUAUGGAUUGAACAAGAUCCCUCAAGUAAGUUGUCAUCGGUGCAAGCAAUAAAAAUUGAUCCCUAAAUAUGUAUGAUCUAUUAGUGUUUGGAAAAUAAUCUUUGUACGAACCUGUGAUGAGGAAGACAUAAAAGCAACAGACCGCAUAAUAAAGUUCUUUAUCACAGGAGGCAAUAUAAAGUGACGUUCCUUCACACUAAGAGGUCACACAUCCAAACCUCAAAAGCGCAUGACAACCUUUGCUUCCCUCUGCGAAGGGCCUAUCUUUUACCUUUACUUUUUAUCUGUAAAAGAGUCAUGGUGAUCGACACCAAUUCCUUAUUUCGCCAUUAUCUUGGCUAACGUCAUGUGCUAGGGAAAGAUCUAUAUUCAUAUGUGAACCUAGAAGUAAGUAUUCAUGAACUAUUAUUGUUGACAUUACCCUUGAGGUAAGUAGUUGGGAGGCGAAAGUAUAAGCCCCUAUCUUUCUCUGUGUCCGAUUGAAACUUUGAUCUCAUGUGUACCACGUGAUUUGUAGCAAUUGUAGAAGACGAAAGGAUGAUUGAUUAUGUGGAUUUUCUUUACAAGCUCUUACUUGACUCUUUCCGAUGUUAUGGUAAAUUGCAAUUGCUUCAAUGACUAAAGGCUAUUGUUUGUUAAUCCUCAAUAGGGUUCUUGAUUCUACUUUGUGAAGGAAUUGUCACUUUAUCAUAAGAGUUUAUAUCACGUUAUUGUUGUUCUAAUUAUGAUCAUGAUGCGUGCAUGUCCAUAUUUUGUUCUAUCGACACCUCUAUGUGUAAACAUGUGGGCAUAUUUAUUGAUCUCGGCUUCCGCUUGAGGACAAGAGAGGUCUAAGCUUGGGGGAGUUGAUACAUCCAUUUUGCAUCAUGCUUUUAUGUUCAUAUUUAUCGCUUUAUGGGCUGUUAUUACACUUUACGGUACAAUACUUAUGCAUUUUCUCUCUUAUUUUAUAAGGUUUACAUGAAGAGGGAGAAUGUCGGCAGCUGGAAUUCUGGUGUGGAAAAGGAUCAAGUUUGAGAUACCUAUUCUGCACAACUCCAAAAGCCGUGAAAAUCAACGAGGAAUUAUUUUGGAUUUUAGAAAAAAAAUACUUGGCGGAAGAAGUACCAGAGGGAGCCACCAGGAGGCCACAAGCCUGCCAGGCGCGGCCUACCCCCGUGGCCGCGCCUAGGUGGCUUGUGGGCCCCUUGUUGCCCCUCCGACUCCCAUCUUUUGCUAUAAGGAGGGUUUCGUCCCGGAAAAAAUCAAGAGGAGGCUUUCGGGAGGAAUCGCCGCCGCCACGAGGCGGAACUUGAGCAGAAGCAAUCUAGAGCUCCGGCAGGGCCGUCCUGCCGGGGAAACUACCCACCCGGAGGGAGAAAUCGUCGCCAUCGUCAUCUCCAACACUCUUCUCACUGGAGGGGACUCAUCACCAUCAACAUCUUCAUCAGCACCAUCUCAUCUCCAAACCCUAGUUCAUCUCUUGUAACCAAUCUCCGUCUCACGACUCCGAUUGGUACUUGUAAGGUUGCUAGUAGUGUUAAUUACUCUUUGUAGUUGUUGCUAGUUGCAUUACUCGGUGGAAGAUUAUAUGUUCAGAUCCUUAAUGAUAUUCAUUACCUCUCUGAUCAUGAACAUAAUUAUGCUUUGUGAGUAGUCACUUUUGUUCCUGAGGACAUGGGAUAAGUCUUGCUAUAAGUAGUCAUGUGAAUUUGGUAUUCGUUCGAUAUUUUGAUGUGAUGUAUGUUGUCUUUUCCUCUAGUGGUGUUAUGUGAAUGUCAACUACAUGAAACUUCACCAUUGUUUGGGCCUAGAGGAAGGCAUUGAGAAGUAAUAAGUAGAUGAUGGGUUGCUAGAGUGACAGAAGCUUAAACCCUAGUUUAUGCGUUACUUCGUAAGGGGCUGAUUUGGAUCCACUAGUAUAAUGCUAUGGUUAGAAUUUGUCUUAAUUCUUAUUUCGUAGUGGUGGAUGCUUGCGAGAGGAGUUAAUAAUAAGUGGGAUGUUUGUCCAAGUAAGGGCAGCACCCAAGCACCGGUCCACCCACAUAUAAAAACAUCAAAGUAGCGCACGCGAAUCAUAUGAACUUGAUGAAAACUAGCUUGACAGAAAUUCCCAUGUGUCCUCGGGAGCGCUUUACCUCUUAUAAGAGUUUGUCCAGGCUUGUCCCUUGCUACAAAAGGGAUUGGGCCAUCUUGCUGCACUUUUGUUACUAUUGUUACUUGCUACUCACUACGAAUUAUCUUAUCCCACAACUAUCUGUUACCGAUAAUUUCAGUGCCUGCAGAGAAUACCUUGCUGGAAACCACUUGUCAGUUCCUUCUGCUCCUUGUUGGGUUCGCACUCUUACUUAUCGAAAGUACUACGAUAGAUCCCCAACACUUGUGGGUCAUCAAUGCUCUAUGUCAGCUGGCUCGGUCCCGCACAUCUCCCUGCCGCCGUGGGGCGCGACCCGUUACCAAGGUCGUUCCUCACGGGGCAAAGCCGUGGCACCAGGGUGCCACGUGGCUUUGUGACCGGUAAGGCUCCUGAGGUUCUAUGCUCAGGAGCGCCCUUAGACAUGCAAGCGGCUCUACAUCGACAGGUCCCAGUCCCGCACAUUUCCCUACCGCGAGGCGUGACUUGUCAAGGUCGCCCCUCGCGGAACAAGGCCCUGGCACCCGGGUGCCAGGUGGCUUUGCGACCGGUAAUGUUCCUGAGGCGCGAUGCUUAGGAUCCCCCUUAGACGUUUGAUGACGAGAUGAUCUAUAUACUUCUCGCACCUCGUUGGUUACCCCAAGUGGAAGGUUGAGAUGUAGUCAGCAGCAAGUUUUCCCUCACACGGGAACUGUAAGGUUUAUCGAACCAGGAGGACUCCUAGGAUCAACAAGUAGGUGUCUUCCACCUGGCGCUAGCAGAAGACGUGGACCUGCACACACAACAAAUAACUUUGCUCCCAACGAGUAGAGAGAGGUUGUCAAUCUCUCCGGCCGUGUAGUUUGCAAAGGAUCAUAACAGAAGCGGGAAAGUAAUAGUGAUUGCAACGGAAAAGUAAAUGAAAAUGGUGAAUGAUGGAGGUGUAAACAAUGAUGAUGAUCUGGACCGGAGUCACAUGAUGUUCACUAGUGAUGUCUCUCUCCCAAAAGAUGAUAAACAACUAUGCUUUGGUAAACAAAUCACAGUUGGGCAAUUGAUAGUAUUAUGAACGCACCGCAAUGCUAAUUAUGCUACCUGAUAGUUAGAGGUUCAAUAGUAAUGGGCAGUACACCAAGACAAGUAGAUCAUUAAUUCAUCAGCAUCUACUUACUAAUCAUCCACCUUGAUAUAUCUAUCCAGAACAUCUUGCCGGUAUUAAGUUGCGAGCACCACCCAAAGUGUAAACUCAAAGCAACAUACAACUACAUUAACGAACUAUGCGUAAGGUAAACAAUCCUUGCAACCGUGGUCACAAGCACCGUUGUUUUCUCCCUGGUGGCAACAAGCACAUCCCCUAGUCUCAUGUUUCUGUCACUCAAGCUAGACAUCGAGGGGUAUGAACCUACAAUCAUGCAUAACGCUCCCUCUUGGAGUUACAAUCUACUACUCGGCCAAAGCAAUAAAUAACAACGGAGAACAUGCAUGAAUCACUAAGGAAGAUAAUAUAAAAGGAUAAUCAAAUAUAAAACUCAUAACAAUCUGAACAUAAUCUCAUAAUCCAUCGGAACCCAACAAACUAAGCAUAACAAUAGCAAGAGAAUUACAUAGAUGCCUUGAUCAUGUACGACAGCUCACAAGGACUAACAUUGAAGCACAAGAUUGGAGAGAAGACAUCACAUAGCUACCGGUCAUUGACUCAUGGUCCAAGGAGGACUACUCACGGCACGUCCGAGAAGUGUCCAUGGCGGUGCCGGGAAGAGGUCUCCUAACGCUCCCGAUCUCGGAAGCGCUGCGGUGGCGGAACGAUGGAGAAAUUCUCUAUUCUGGAUGUUGUUCAAGGGUUUCCUCUGGGGACCCUAAAUAUAGGCCAAAGGAGGGCACCAGAGGAGGUGGGACCCAGCCAGGCGGCCUCCUGGCGCGGCCUAGCCAACAGGUCGCCGUUGAGGCCCCUCGCCCCCCUUUGGCCCAUCUUCGGUGAUCCGGAAGCUUCUAUUUCGCUGAUUUUUUAUAUACUUUUUCUGGAAUUUUUUGGGCUUCGGAAAAUUGGGUAAAAGCCCUUGCAAAAUAGACACGAGAAGACAUAAAUUGGCACUGGGUGCACUGAGUUAGUAGGUUAGUCCAAAUAUGUGUAAAAUGAUAUAAAAGUGUAGAAACCAUAUAACAAUGUCACCCAAAAGAUCAUGGAACAAGCUGAAAUUAUAGAUACGUUUGGGACGUAUCAACGCUCAAGAGGCCCUUGCGAGUUCUGUUUUUGGAGGUCCCUAAUCUGCAUUCAGGACGCUCUGCGUCAGCAGGUCCCAGUCCCACACAUUUCCACGCCGUCGUGAGGCGCAACCUGUUACCAAGGUGGUUGCUCACGGGGCCAGGCCCUGGCACCGGGUGCGAGGUGGCUUUGUGACCGGUAAGGCUCCUCAGGCGUUAUGCUCAAGAGCCCCCUUAGGAGCUCAAGUUGUCCCAAGAUAAACAACUAUUGUGUGAAAAGACCAAAUGUUGUUUCCUCUCCAGGAUGGUGUGUCGAGCCGCGAAUAGUCCUCUUGAGCGAGCACUAGUUGGCAUGAGUCUAGCGACUCGUCAGUGAGUACCACGCAUGGAUUCGGGCACCAAGGCCUCGGCGAGGUGCCAACACCGUGCCCCCAGCCCCCGCUUGCGGGGUACGAGUAGGUGAGGACAGACGGAUGCUCGACUCAGAGGAAAAGAGUGGGCUACGAGGAGUUGCAGGGAAAAUAAGUUCUUGCAAAAAUCUUCAUUUGGAAAGGCCCCAAGUUUUGAUUUCAUAAAUACCAGUAAAUCCAAACCAAAAAAAGAAAAUGCAAGCCGCAUCUGGCGCCUAAUCUAUUCUCCGCCUCCAUCGCUCCCAGCGUUGAGCAUAGGGCUUCCACUAGGCAUGGUGUGGACCCCUUCCGCGUCCUCGGGGGGCCCUGGGCGUAUACAGCCUCGGCUCGUUAUUACGUGAGAGUGUCACGGUGAGGGUGUAUCUGGGAGGUCGAAAGGAUGCUUUGGCCUCGCGAGUGUCCCUACCCUCGAGUCAUUAGGCGCGUGAUUUCGGAAGUCAUUGGUGGACUGUGUUGAUUUCCUCUGUCUUCCCCACUAGGCAUGAGAUGGACCCCUUCCGCAUCCUCGGGGGGGGGGGGCUAGGCAUAUACAGCCUCGGCUCGUUAUUACGUGAGAGUGUCACGGGAUGGAGUAGGUUCCGGAAGAAUUGAGGGACGAUCGAGGGUGGAUGCAGAGGCGGUGCGGAGGCAGUGCACGGGCGGUGCAGAGUCGUGAUGGGUAGAACUUGCGGAGGUGUUGGAUGUUCCAGGCGUUCUGGAUGAGAACUCCAUCUUGAGUAUCCAGAUGCAUGGAGCCGGGCCUAGAGACGGGGACGACCUUAAAUGGGCCCUCCCACAUGGGCGAAAUCUUAUGCAAGCCUUCCCUGGAUUGGACCCGCCUCAAGACGAGAUCGCCGACUUCGAGGGUCCUGGAGCGGAUGUUGCAGCAGUGGUAGUGCCGCAAGGCCUGCUGGUACCUCGCGGCUCGGAGAGAGGCCCGACGGCGCGCCUCCUCUCCAAGUAUGAGGUUCGUCCCCUGCGCAGGCUCCUCACGCUCCUCAUCGAACGCCAAGACCCGCGGGGAGUGGUGCUUGAUUUCGUGGGGAAGGACCGCCUGUGCUCCGUAGACGAGGAAGAACAGGGUUUCACCGGUGGGUUUGGUUGCAGUGGUGCGGAUGGACCACAUUACCGAUGGGAGCUCAUCGACCCAACCCCGGCCACAAGCUCCGAGCUUCUUCUUGAAGCUCCUCACUUUGAGACUCCGCAGGACCUCUGCGUUGGCGCGCUCCGCCUGGCCAUUGCUCCGCGGAUGGGUCGCAGAUGCGUAGCAUAUCUCUGUACCGAGGUUAGCACAGUAAAUCUUAGAGAGUUGACUGGUGAAGUGCAAACCGUUAUCAGUGAUGAUGCAGUUGGGGACGCUGAAGCGGCUCACGAGGCCCUUGACGAACUUGACGACAGACCCGACCGGGAUGGUGCGCAUGGGCUCCACCUUCGCCCACUUGGUGAAUUUGUGGAUGGCGACGUAGAGGUAGCGGAAAGCUCCCGCGGCCCGCGGGAAGGGCCCCAAUAUGUCCAGCCCCCACACCGCAAAAGGCUAGUAGAGCGGAAUGGUGUGGAGGCCCUGCGCGGGCUGGUGGAUCUUCUUGGCAUGGAACUGGCUGGCCUAGCAAGAUCUGACCAGCUCGGUGGCGUCGUCCAGAGCUGUAGGCCAGUAAUAACCUGACCUGAACGACUUACCUGCGAGCGUGCGCGAGGAGGAGUGAUGUCUGCAGUCCCCUCCGUGGAUGUCGGCCAGUAGCUCGCGCCCCUGCUCCCUGGAAAUGAACCGCAGCGUGACGUCGUUCGGGCGCCUGCGGUACAAGGCGCCGUCUCGCACACAGUAAGUUGAGGCGUGUCGUACUACGCGUUCUGCGUCCUCUUCCUUCUCCGGCAAUUUGUCGUGGAGUAAAUAUGCCCCGAGUUCCUGCAUCCAAUAAUCGUCUUGAGCCUCCAGGGCUAGGAGAAGUCGAGCCCCCAAGGCCUGGCCACAGUCCGAAGCCCCCGAUGGCGGUGCUGGGGGGAGCUCCUCUCCGCGCGGUACCGGGUCCUCAGGUGAUCGCGUCGCGGAAGGCUUGAAGAAUCGCUCCUCAAAAAUGCCUGGUUCCGGAGCCUCGCGACGCGAAGCUCUUUUGGCGACGUCGUCCGCAUCGUUUUUGCUUCGCGGGACGUACUGCAGCUCCAGGCCCUGAAAAAGUUUCUCAAUCUUACGUACCUCCUACAGAUACGCCUCCAUAUGUUUGUCCUUGGGUGUGUACUCCUUGUUGGAGAAGUUGACGAGAAGCUGAGAUUCACCCAUCACGGUGAGGCGCUGGACCCCCAAGGCCGCCGCUGCCUUGAGGUCGGCGAUGAGGCCCCCGUACUCCGCUGUGUUGUUGGAGACCUUCUCCCCCUGUUGGAAGCAGAGUUGUACGGCAUAGCAAAAGCUGUCUCCCAUUGGGGAAGUGAGCAAGACACUGCUACUGCGACAAUAGACCUUUCGUGGCAACGGCGCCAGAAAUCCUUCUGCUGCGGGCUACGCCUAUAGGGACUUCCUUGGCAAAUAUGCAAAGGAUUCCCCCGCGGCCUUGGAGCCUUGCGUUGGUGUUCCCUUGAAGAGGAAAGGGUGAUGUAGCACAGCGGCGGUAAGUAUUUCCCUCAGUUUGAGAACCAAGGUAUCAAUCUAGUAGGAGGAUCGAGUCAAAGAGCUUGCACCCAACGCUAUGAAGGGGUUGUCAAUCCCUUAUAGAUUGUUUGCAAAGUGAGAACUGAAAGCAAAAAGUAAACAAAGCAAAGUAAAAGUAAAAGUGGAGACGAUAGUUGGGAAUAGACCCGGGAGCCGUAGUGUUCACUAGUGGCUUCUCUCAUGAAAGCAAGUAGACGGUGGGUGAACGAAUUACUGACGAGCAAUUGAUAGAAUCGCGCAAAGUCCUGACGUUAUCUAUGGCAAUGAUCAUAUCUAUAGGCAUCACGUCCAAAACAAGUAGAUCGAUACUUUCUGCAUCUACUACUAUUACUCCACACAUCGACCACUAUCCAGCAUGCAUCUAGUAUAUUGAGUUCAUAAGAACAGAGUAAUGCCUUAAGCAAGAUGACAUGAUGUAGAUGAACAAUCUCAAAUCUAUGAUGAAAGCCCAUCUUGUUACCCUUGAUGGCAACAACAUGAUGCGUGCCUUCCUGCCCCUUCUGUCACUUGGAAAGAUCACCGCACGGUAUGAACCCAAAUCCAAGCACUUCUCCCAUUGCAAGAAUCAUAGAUCUAGUUGGCCAAACAAAACCCAAGACUCGAAGAGACUUACAAGGAUAUCAAAUCAUGCAUAUAAGAAAUCAGCAAAGACUCAAAUAUAAAUCGUAGAUAAUCUGAUCACAAAUCCACAAUUCAUCGGAUCUCGACAAACACACCGCCAAAGAGGAUUACAUCGGAUAGAUCUCCAUGAAGAUCAUGGAGAACUUUGUAUUGAAGAUCCAAGGUACAGAAGAAGCCAUCUAGCUACUAACUACGGACCCGUAGGUCUGAAGUGGACUACUCACGAGUCAUUGGAGAGGCGAUGAUGUUGAUGUAGAAGCCCUCCAACUCCAAAGUCCCCUCAGGCAGGGCACCGAGAAGGGUCUCCAGAUGAGAUCUCGCAAAAACGGAAGCUUGCGGCGGCGGAAAAGUGGUUUCGUGGACGCCCUGAUUUUUUCUGGGAUUUUAGGGAAUAUAUAGGCCGAAGAGCUAGGGCUGGGGAACGCCAGGGAGGCCACAAGCCUGGUCGCCGCGGGCCCCCCUAGCCACGGCGUCAGGGCUUGUGGGCUCCCUCUGGGCCUCCUGCCUUGGCCCUCAAGGCCCCCGAUCUUCUUCUGUUCUGGAAAAAAUUCUUUCGGGGAUUUUAUUCCGUUUGGACUCCGUUCCAAAAUCAGAUCUGGAAAGAGUCAAAAACACAAAAAAAAGAGGAACUGGCACUUGGCACUGAAUUAAUAAGUUAGUCCCAAAGAAGAUAUAAAAGGUAUAUAAAACAUCCAAAGUUGACAAGAUAACAAAAUGAAACCAUCAAAAAUUAUAGAUACGUUUGAGACGUAUCAGACACCAGCCCCCGCUCCCAUUCAAGCGAAGGCUCCAUCGAAGUGCAUUGUCCAUCCCUCGGGCGCCUCUUCUCCGGGGGCAAGGGAUUGGUUCCCUUCCAUCCCCAGUCUGGUGCAUCCAUCCAUUCCGCCACGAAGUCAGCCAGGGUGGCUCCCUUGAUGACCCUGGUCGUGCUGAAUUCGAUGUUGAAGGCCUGAAGCUCGAUGUUCCACUCAGCAACUCUUCUUGCUGCGUUUGGGUUGUGCAGGAUGUUCUCCAAGGGGUAGGCGGAGACGACCUUGAUCGGGUGUCCUUGGAAGUAGUGAUGCAGCUUGUGCAAGGCGACGAGGAACGCCCGAAGGAGUUUCUUCUGCAUGGGGUAGCGCGAGCGUGCGUCCCGCGGUACCGUGCUAACGAAGUACAAUGGGUGCUCGAUGAGGAUGCGUCCGCCUGGGGCGCCGUGCUCCUUGGUGGCUUCAGGAGGUCGGGGUGUUUCGUCGUCCGGAGGAAAAGUUAGGGCCUUGGGAAGAAAAGGCUCUUCAUGACAGGAUUCACCAGUCUGGGCCUGAGGUCCCUCCGCUCGCGGGGGAGUUGGAACUUGUGAGUCGUGCGAGCCCUCAGGCGCAUCGGGCGAGGGCCCGCUGGGACUUCCCAAAGUAGCGCUCUUGCCGGUUUGCUCCUCCCUUAUUGCCACCAAUGCGGUGCUGGCGAAGUGGGGGUGGCAGCAAGGUAAAGUAGCAGGGGCUCCCGCGGGCGAGGCGCCACCAUGACCGGCGGACUCGUGAGGUAAUGCUUGAGCUCGUCGAAGGCAGCGUCGACCUCUGGGGUCCACUCGAAGGACCCCUUCCUUUUCAUGAUCUUGAAGAAGGGCAGGGCCCGCUCGCCAAGCUUGGAGAUGAAACGAGCCACGGAGGUAACCCACCCCGCCAGCUUCUGCAUUUCCUUGAGGGUUGUGGGCGCGCUCAUAUUGUUUAUGGCAUUUACCUUUACUGGUUAGCCUCGAUCCCCCGGUGCGACACCAGGAAACCGAGCAGCUUGCCUGAUGGGACCCCGAAGACGUACUUCUCGGGGUUGAGCUUCAGGUUCACCCCCACAGGCUGGCGAGGUCUCCUCCAGAUCCUCCACCAGGGUCUUUCUUGCCUUGACUUGACCACGAUGUCGUCGACGUAGGCCUCCGCGUUCCUCCCGAGCUACGGCCCAAGACAAUAUACAUCAGCUGCUGGAAGGUUGCCCCGGCGUUCUGCAUCCUGAAAGGCAUACACUCGUAGGAGUAUACCUCGCACGGAGAGACAAAGGCUGUCUUCUCGACGUCCUCUACUACCAUCUUGAUCUGGUGGUAGACCGAGAAUGCAUCCAAGAAGCACAGGAGGUCGCACUCCGCGGUGGAGUCCAUGAUCUGGUCGAUGCAUGGUAGGGGGAACGGGUCUUGAGGGCAAGCCUUGUUGAGGUUUGUGAAGUCGACACACAUGCGCUCCUUCCCACACUUAUUCGGGACAACCACCGGGUUGGCCACCCAUUCUGGGUAGCGCACCUCCCUUAUGACCCCUGCUUCCUUCAGCUUGUGCACCUCCUAAGCGAUGAACGCCUGCUUCUCCGGGGAUUGCCUCCUUGCCUUCUUCUUCACCAGACGCACGUUCGGGCACACCAUGAGGUGGUGCUCGAUGACGUCCCUCGGAAUCCCCACAAGGUCAGAGACGCUCCAGGCGAACGCGCCCUUGUUCGUCCCGAGGAAAUCCACGAAUGCCUUCUCUUGGUCUUGGGGGAGGUUCGCGCCGAUAGUGAAGGUGGGGGCCAGGCUUCCUUCGUCCAUUGGCACUUGCUUUGUCUUCGCCCGGUCCUGGGAAAACAACUGUUUCUUCUUCACGGGCGCGAUGUCGUGGACGUCUCCUAGGUCCUCCGCGGUGCGCACCUCGCCCCUGGAGGCGGCACGCACUGAGGCCGUGGCCUUAUGGGAUAACCCGAGUACCCGCGAGGCAUCCUUGAUGUCCCCCACGAUGGUAAGCACGCCGCCGCUCCCUAGCAUCUUGUCGAUGUUGUAGCCCGGGUGCGUCACCGCCAUGAACUACGCGAGGGCGGGGUAGUCGAGUAUUUCUUUGUAUGGAAGGUGGAUGUGAGCGACGUCGAAUUCGAUCUGCUCGGUGUGGAAGUUGGCGCGGGUGCCGAAUGUGACACAGAGGCGGAUCCAUCCGACGGGAAUGAUGGAUCCCGCCACAACCCCAGAAAAGGGCUUCGAGGGCACGAGCUGCUCUCGGGGUAACCGCAGCGUGUCGAAGGCCUCCAUUGAGAUAAUGUUGAGGCCCGCGCCGUAAUCGAUGAUGGUCUUGGAGAUAGCCAUGCCGGAGAUGGUCGGCGUGCACAGCAUGGGAAGCACCCCGGCAGCCGUCAUGGCUUUAGGGUGGUCAUCGGGGCCGAAGGUGAUGUUGACCUCUGGCCACACGCGGUGUUCUGGGGGCUUGGGACUUAGGUCGGACUGGGCAUUCGGUUCCCGUGAACCGAACAGUGCGGUUCUUUGGUCUCUGUGAGAAUUCGGUUUUAAGAAAUUGCUUACCGGUCAGUUAACUAAAAAAUGCCAAACCGAGCAUCCGGUGCACCGAGAAAUUGGUUCGGUCAUUGGUGUUACCGGACAACCACGAUUAAAUAAUAGAAAAGACUAGCAGUAGCAGGAAUCUCUGUGAGACUCUGACUGACAGGGCUGACAGUACAGUACUCAGUGCCUGUACCACUGCAUGCAUGCAUGUUAAAAGCUAGCCUGUACGUCAACUCACAUGCCCCUUUGUACACAAAAUUUUAAGAUAAGAAAAUGAUAGAAUAUGAUUAGGAGAAGGAAGCAAUGGAAGGUGAAGCAUCGACCAAUAAACUCCAUGCGAGAAGCGAGGAGGCGGUGAAUUAAAUCGCAGCGGUCAGACAGCAGCGGCUUGCUUGCUAGUCGCUACCUCGGUACUCCUCACGCAUGCAGCUGCAGGGCAGGGGAUUAGGGCAAGCUGGCAAGGCCUGUAGGCUGUAGUGAUGGGCCGGCCGGGCUGGGCCUCUUUUUUACUCGGUGUUUGGUCAAUUCGGUUGACCGAGGGCUAAACCCGAAUUUACCGAACUAAUUUCGGUUUUGCAGAUAUGUAGACUGAUCGUACUACCGAAGCUCUUGGUUUCAGUGUAUUCGGCUUCGGUUCCUGUUAUUUCGGUUCGGUACAUCGGUUUACGGGUUAUAUGCCCAGCUCUAGCCUUAGGCGAGUCAUCCCCCCGCACUGCAGGAAACACUUGACGUGGCGGGUGGAGGGUGGCGCGUGUGAUCUGUCGAGAAUACAAGCGACCGCAGGGACGACCAUGCUUUCUCGGCCGCCGUCCACCGCCGCAGACCGACGGUCGUCGGUGGUUGCACUUGCCAUGGUGCCGCCGAGUCGAGAUCUGGUUCCUGCUGUUGGCAUGGAGGCUCCGACACGCGCCCCUACCUGGCGCACCAAAUGUCGGAUUUCGGGCUCCGCAAAACCCCAAGGAUUCGAACAUAGGGGCGUGCGCGUAGGCCACUUAACAGAUUCGAGUCACCAGAUCUGCUACUCGGUGAGCAAGGCUAAGAACCCACAGGAUGGUGAGUAAGACAAGGGGCGCGACAGUUUACCCAGGUUUGGGCCGCUGCGAAGCGUAAAACCCUACUCCUGCUUUUGGUGGAUUGCCUCUCACGGAGGUGGUGGAUGAACUAGUACAGUGCUCUCGAGCCUCCGGAACCAACUGGCUAGGUGUAUUGCCCUAUGGUUGGAAUAAACUGCCCCUACCAAGUAUUCUACCCUCUCUAUUUAUAGCGGAGGCCCGGGUCCUCUUCCCUCAUAGCUUCGGCAUGAAGGUAUCCCACGACGGCCAAUUUUAAAGGCGAACAGGGGAACAUGCUCCCUUGCCCAAAGGUGGUCUUCGCCUGCAAAGUAACUGUCCGCGCUGUAGAGACGGGCCCGAGGAUGACGGUUUCCCUACUGGCAGGUGGCGGCGGCUUCAUUGCACCAGAAGGGAAACCUUUGUAAGAUGCCUUUUGAACCCCUUUACGCUCCCGCCUCCGUUGCACCAAAGAGGAAACUGCCCCAUCCUGCCAUCUUCUGCUCGCCUGUCCUUUCGUGGCAUCACCCUUGACUCCUGAGGCCGGGCCUUGCCUCGGAAUGUCCGCCGCUCCGGAGGGGUCCUGAGGAGGCCCCGUGCGGGUCUUGAUGCCAUUCCUCCUCGUGAGGCCUAGCCCCUCAGAAGGGCCUUAUCGAGCCUGCCGAUGCUUGGUCGAUGGAGUGUGCCAGCCGUGGGCCGCACACACGCGAGUCUGGGUACCCCCGUUCGCAUAACGCCGACAGCAGUAUACGCCCAGGCCCCCUCGAGGACGCGGAAGGGGUCCACACCACGCCUUGUGGAGAAGACGUAGGCAAUCAUCACAAUCCACCAAUGACUUCUGGAAUCAGACGCCUAAUGCCUCGGGGGUAGGGACACUCACGAGGCAAAAGCGUCCUCGCGACCUCCCAGAUACACCCCCACUAUGACACUCUCACGUAAUAACGAGUGAUGCUGUAUACGUCCAGGGCCCCCCGAGGACGCGGAAGGGGUCCACCCCACGCCUAGUGGAAGCCCUAUGCUCAGCGUUGGUGGAGACGGAGGCGAUGAAUAGCUAGGUUGUUUUCUCCUUCCUUCCUUGCGUUUUAUGUUGUGGCUUGAUACGUCUCCAACGUAUCUAUAAUUUUUUAUGGUUUCAUGCUAUUAUCUUGUCAAACUUUGGAUGUUUUGCAUGCCUUUUAUAUAUUUUUUGGGACUAUCUUAUUAACUCAGUGCCAAGUGCCAGUUCCUGUUUUUCCAUGUUUUUGACCCCUUUCAGGGGAGAAUUUGAAAUGGAGUCCAAACGGAAUAAAAUCCCCGAAAAGAUUUUUUCAGUAACAGAAGAAGAUCGGAAGACUUGAGAGCCAAGACAGGGGGUCCUCAGGGGCCCCACAAGCCCCCUAGCCGCCGCCAGGGGGGGAGGCCACGCCCCCCUGGGUGUGGGCCCCCUGGACCUCCUUUGCCCUAGGUCUUGCCCCUAUAUAUUCCCUAAAAAUCCAUAAAAAUCAGGAGAUCAACGAAAGUACUUUUCCGCCGCCGCAAGAUCCCAUCUGGGGCACGUUCUGGUGCCUUGCCGUAGGGGGGAUUUGGACAUGGAGGGCUUCUUCAUCAACACCAUGACCUCUCCGAUGAUGCGUGAGUAGUUCACCAUAGACCUACGGGUUCAUAGCUAGUAACUAGAUGGCUUCUUCUCUAUCUUGGAUCUUCAAUACAAAGUUCUCCAUGAUCUUCAUGGAUAUCUAUCCGAUGUAAUCUUCUUUUGCUGUGUGUUUGUCGAGAUCCGAUGAAUUGUGGAUUUAUGAUUAGAUUAUCUAUCAAUCUUAUUUGAGUUUCUUCUGAUCUCUCUUAUGCAUGAUUUCAUAUCCUUGUAAUUCUCUUCGAGUUGUGGGUUUUGUUUGGCCAACUAGAUCUCUGAUUCUUGCAAUGGGAGAAGUGCUUGGUUUUUGGUUCAUACUGUGCGGUGACCUCACCCAGUGACAGAAGGGGUAGCGAGGCACGCAUCGUGUUGUUGCCAUCAAGGGUAAAAAGAUGGGGUUUUGAUCAUUGCUUUGAGUUUAUCCCUCUACAUCAUGUCAUCUUGCUUAAGGCAUUACUCUGUUUGUCAUGAACUCAAUACACUUGAUGCAUGCUGGAUAGCGGUCGAUGUGUGGAGUAAUAGUAGUAGAUGCAGAAAGUAUCGGUCUUCUUGUCUCGGACGUGAUGCCUAUAUGUAUGAUCAUUGCCUUAGAUAUCAUCAUGACUUUGCGCGGUUCUAUCUAUUGCUCGACAGUAAUUUGUUCACCCAUCAUGAUAUUUGGUAUUUUGAGAGAAGCCUCUAGCGAACACUAUAGCCCCCGGGUCUACUCCACACCAUAUUUUCAGACUUACACUUUUUACUUCGUUGCACUUUCCGCCUUCAGAUCUCACUUUGCGAACAAUCUUGAAGGGAUUGACAACCCCUUUACAGCGUUGGCUGCAAGCUCGUUUGUGUUUGCGCAGGUACUCUGGACUUGAUGAGAUUCUCCUACUGGAUUGAUACCUUGGUUCUCAAACUGAGAAAAAAAACAUACUGCUCCUGUGCUGCAUCACCCUUUCCUCUUCAAGGGAAAAACCAACGAAAGCUCAAGUGACGACACAAGGAUCUCUGGCACCACUGCCGGGGAAGGACUUUUGUUGCCGUAGCAGAAGGAUUUCUGGCGCCGUUGCCGGGGAGGAUCAAGUCAAUAACUCAUCCAAGUAAGUGUCGCAGACUCAUCUCUUGCAUUUACUUUGUUUGCCAGUUUCCCCUCGUUUUCCUCUCCCCCACUUUACAAUUUGCCUUUUUCUUUUGCCUUUUUCGUUCGCCUUUCGUUCGCCCUUUUUCUCGCUUGCUGUUUGUUCGCUUGUGUGCUUGCUUGCUUGUUGGAGUCACCAUGAAUGAAAACACCAAACUUUGUGACUUCUCGAAUACUAAUAAUAAUGAUUUUAUUAGUACUCCGAUUGGUCCCGUCACUAGUGCGGAGUCAUACGAAAUCAAUGCCGCUUUGCUGAAUCUUGUUAUGAAAGAGCAAUUCUCCGGCCUUCCUAGUGAAGAUGUCGCAUCCCAUGUCAAUACCUUCAUUGAGCUUUGCGAUAUGCAAAAGAAGAAAGAUGUGGAUAAUGACGUGAUUAAAUUGAAGCUUUUUCCUUUCUCGUUGCGAGAUCGCGCAAAAACUUGGUUUUCUUCUUCGCCCAAAAAUAGUAUGGAUUCUUGGGAUAAGUGCAAAGAUGCCUAUAUAUCCAAGUAUUUUCCGCCGGCUAAGAUCAUCUCUCUCCAUAAUGAUAUCAAAAAUUUCAAUCAACUUGAUCAUGAACAUGUUGCACAAUCUUGGGAGAGAAUGAAGUUGAUGAUUAGAAAUUGUCCCGCUCAUAGCUUUAGUCUUUGGAUGAUUAUUCAAAUCUUUUACGCUGGCUUGAAUAUCGCUUCUAGAAAUAUCUUGGACUCCGCCUCAGGUGGAACGUUCAUGGAAAUCACGUUAGGGGAAGCCACAAAGCUCCUAGACAACAUCAUGACGAAUUACUCUCAGUGGCACACUGAAAGGUCACCUACUAAUAAGAAGGUACACGUUAUAGAAGAAAUUAACUCGUUGAGUGCUAAGAUGGACGAUUUAAUGAAUUUGGUUGCUAGUAGACGUGCUCCUUUAGAUCCUAUUCAUAUGCCCUUGUCUUCCUUGAUUGAGAGUAGGAACGCUAGCUUGGACGUUAAUUUUGUUGGUAGGAAUAAUUCUGGCAACAACAAUGCUUUUAGAGGAAACUAUGUUCCUUGGCCUUUUCCUAGUAACUCCAAAAAUAACUUUGGCAACUCCUACAACAAUACGCAUGGAAAUUAAAAUAGAUUACCCUCUGAUCUAGAGAGUAAUAUCAAAGAGUUCAUCAACUCUCAAAAGAUUUUCAAUGCGUCCAUAGAGGAAAAGCUACUCAAAAUUGACGAUUUGGCUAAGAGCGUUGAUAGAAUGUCUAGUGAUGUUGAUGCUUUGAAAGUUAGAUGUGCUCCUCCUAAGAUCAACAUGGAUGAAACUUUGAAAGCUAUCUGUGUUUCCAUGAUUGAGAGCAAAGAAAGAACCGCCCAAAUUCGUGCUAGACAUGAAUGGCUUAAAAAGGCGUGUUCUCGUGAUAAGAAUCAUGAAGAUCUUAAAGUGCUUGGUGUGACUCCCAUUGAAUCUUUGUUUUCUUGUGUCAAACCUAAUGAUUAUGGGGCUGGAUAUGAAUCCACUUUGGUCGAAAAGUUCCCCAAUGAUUCGGAGUCCAUCUAUCUUGAUGCUAAAAGCAUUGAAAGUGGAGUAGAAAUUAACACUUUGAGUAGUAAUGAAAUUACUACCAUGGUUUUCAAGGAAUUGAAUUAUGAUAGUUGCUCCUUGAUUUAAUGCAUUUCCUUGAUGCAAUCCAUGUUAAACUCUCCACACGCUUAUAGCCAAAACAAGGCCUUUACCGAUCAUAUCGUCGAAGCUAUGAUAAAGUCUCUUGAAGAGAAACUUGAAUUGGAAGUCUCUAUCCCUAGAAAGCUUCAUGAUGAGUGGGAACCUACCAUCAAAAUCAAAAUCAAAAACUAUGAAUGCAAUGCUUUGUGUGAUUUGGGUGCUAGUGUUUCCGCGAUUCCAAAGUCUUUAUGUGUUGUUCUGGGUUUUAAUGAGAUUGAAGAGUGUUCUCUUAAUUUGCAUCUUGUGGAUUCUACUGUCAAGAAACCCAUGGGAAGGAUCAAUGAUGUUCUUAUUAUUGCAAAUAGGAACUAUGUACCCGUGGAUUUCAUUGUGCUUGACAUUGAUUGCAAUCCUACAUGCCCUAUUAUUCUUGGUAGACAUUUCGUGAGGACUAUCGGUGCUAUCAUCGAUAUGAAGGAAGGGAAUAUUAGAUUUCAAUUUCCUUUAAGGAAGGGCAUGGAACACUUUCCUAUAAAGAAAAUAAUAUUGCCUUAUGAAUCCAUGAUGACGGCCACUUAUGGUUUGAGCACCAAAGACGACGAUACGUGAUUCUAUCGCUUUUAUGCCUAGCUAAGGGCGUUAAACAAUAGCGCUUGUUGGGAGGCAACCCAAUGAAUUUAUCUUUUUCUUUCUGUUUUGUUGCGUCCACACCAUCAUGAUUCUGUUGUGAUUGUGUUUUUUGUGUUUUUUUUGUGUUUGAGCCAAGCAAAACCUUUAUGACUAGUCUUGGUGAUGGUUGUUUGAUCCCGCUGGAAAAUGACAGAAACUUUUCGCUCACGAGAUGAUUUUUCAUUUUUAUUCAGAAAGAGGUUUUGAGUUGAUUCUUUUUGUUGAUAGUUGAUAUGCCUUUUUCCCAGACAGUCGUAAUUGUUCAGAAUUUUUGAGGUAUGAGAAGUAUACGAAGUAUACAGAUUGCUACAGACUGGUCUGUUUUUGACAGAUUCUAUUUUUGUUGAGUAAGUUGCUUCUUUUGAUGAAACUAUGGUUAGUAUCGGGGCCCCCCCCCCCGGGGGGUACUAGCCAUGGAAAAGUGAGAAUACAGUAUCCCAACACCAAUAUAGAUAGAAUUCAAGUUUUCUACAGUACCAAAAGAGGUGGUAGUUCGUUUUCUUGUGCUAUUGUUAUCACGAGUUUCUGUUUAAGUUUUGUGUUGUGAAGUUUUCAAGUUUUGGGUGAUGUUCUCAUGGACAAAGAGAUAAGGAGUGGAAAAAUCUAAAGCUUGGGGAUGCCCAAGGCACCCCAAUCCAUAUUCAAGGACACCAAAAAGCCUAAGCUUGGGGAUGCCCCGGGAAGGCAUCCCCUCUUUCGUCUUCAAUCCAUCGGUAACAUUACUUGGAGCUAUAUUUUUAUUCACCACAUGAUAUGUGUUUUGCUUGGAGUGUCUUGUAUCGUAGGAGUCUUUCCUUUUUGUUGUGUCACAAUCAUCCUUGAUGCACACCUUUUUGAGAGAGAGAGAGACAUGCACUCACCGUGAUUUUGCUAGAAUGCUCAUAGUGCUUCACUUAUAUCUUUUGAGCUAGAUAAUUUUGCUCUAUGUGCUUCACUAAGAUCUUUUAGAGCACGGCGGUGUGUAACUUGGUAGUUGGCUUGUGCUAUGAAUGUAGUCCCAAAGGUGAUAGGUACCCAAAGAGGAUACAAAAACCUCCAUCUUCAUGUGCAUUGAGUAGAAAGAGAAGUUUUGAUUCCUCUCAAUUAGUUUUGAGACGUGGAUUUGGUAAUAUUAAUAGUUAUGUUAGUAGGGUGUUGUGAAUCUAGAAAUACCUGUGUUGAAGUUAGUGAUUCCCGUAGCAUGCACGUAUUGUGAACCGCUAUGUUAGGAAGUCGGAGCAUAAUUGAUUUUUUGAUUGCCAUCCUUUGUGUUGAGGUCGGGAUUGCGCGAUGGUUAACACCUACCAACCCUUCCCCUAGGAGUAUGCGUUUAGCACUUUGUUUUGAUUACUAAUAAAAACUUUCGCAACAAGUAUGUGAGUUCUUCAUGACUAAUGUGAUUCCAUGGUAUAGAUGCACUUUCACCUUCCACCAUUGCUACCCUCUCUAGUGCCGCGCAAUUCUCGCCGGUGCACAAAUCCACCAUAUGCCUUCCUCAAAAAAGCCACCAUACCUACCUACUAUGGCAUUUUCAUAGCCAUUCCGAGAUAUAUUGCCAUGCAACUCCCACCGUUCCGUCUCAUGACUUGUGUCGUCACUCUCAUAUUGCCAUUGCAUGAUCGUAAGAUAGCAAGCGAGAUGUUUUCAACGUCAUGCGCCAUGCUAGAUCGUUGCACAUCCCGGUACACUGCCGGAGGCAUUUCCUAUAGAGUCAUCAUAGUUCUAAGCUUUGAGGUGUGAGUAAAUAAAAGUGUGAUGAUCAUCAUUAUUAGAGCAUUGUCACAUGUGAGGAAAUAAAAAAAGAGGCCAAAGAGCCCAAAUAAAAAAAACGAGAAAAGAUAAAAAAAGAGGCCCAAGUGCCCAAAUAAAGAUAAAUAAUAAUAAGAGAGAGAAAAAGAGAGAAGGGACAAUGCUACUAUCUUUUUCCACACUUGCGCUUCAUAAUAGCACCAUGUUCUUCAUGAUUGCGAGCUUCUUGCUUUGUCACUGCCAUAUGCUAGUGGGAAUCUUCAUUAUAUAACUUGGCUUGUAUAUUCCAAUGAUGGGCUUCCUCAAAAUUGCCCUAGGUCUUCAUGACCAAGAAAGUUGGAUGCACACCCACUAGUUUUCCUUUUGAGCUGUCACAUACUUAUAGCUCUAGUGCAUCCCUUGUAUGGCAAUCCCUACUCAUUCACAUUGAUAUCUAUUAAUGGGCAUCUCCAUAGCCCUUUGAUACGCCGAGUCAAUGUGACCAUCUUCUCCUUUUUGUCUCACAACCACCACACACUCUAUUCCACCUAUAGUGCUAUAUCCAUGGCUCGCGCUCAUGUAUUGCGUGAUAGUUACAAAAAGUUUGAGAAAGUAAGAGUGCGAAAACAAUUACUUGGCCAAUACCGGGGUUGUGCAUGAUUUACAUUAGUUGUGUGAGGAUGAUGGAGCAUAGCCAGACUAUAUGAUUUUGUAGGGCUAACUUUCCUUGGCCUUGUUAUUUUCAAAGUUCAUGAUUACUUUGCUAGUUUGCGUGAAAUAUUAUUUUUUUCAUGUCAAUAGAAAACUAUUGUUUUGAAUCUUACGGAUCUGAACAUUCAUGUCACGGGAAAGAAGUUGCAAAGGACAACUAUGCUAGGUAGCAUUCCACAUCAAAAAUUCAUUCUUUAUCACUUCCCUACUCGAGGACGAGAAGGAGUUAAGCUUGGGGAUGCUUGAUACGUCUCCAACGUAUCAAUAAUUUUUUAUGGUUUCAUGCUAUUAUCUUGUCAAACUUUGGAUGUUUUGCAUGCCUUUUAUAUAUUUUUUGGGACUAACUUAUUAACUCAGUGCCAAGUGCCAGUUCCUGUUUUUUCCAUGUUUUUGACCCCUUUCAGAGGAGAAUUUGAAACGGAGUCCAAACGGAAUAAAAUCCCCGAAAAGAUUUUUUCCGUAAUAGAAGAAGAUCGGGAGACUUGAGAGCCAAGGCAGGGGGUCCUCACGGGCCCCACAAGCCCCCUAGCCGCGGCCAGGGGGAGGCCGCGGCCCUGGCUUGUGGGCCCCCUGGACCUCCUUUUCCCUAGGUCUUGCGCCUAUAUAUUCCCUAAAAAUAAAUAAAAAAUCAGGAGAUCAACGAAAGUACUUUUCCGCUGCCACAAGCUUCUGUCUCCGGAAGAUCCCAUCUGGGGCACGUUCUGGUGUCGUGCCGGAGGGGGGAUUCGGACACGGAUGGCUUCUUCAUCAACACCAUGACCUCUCCGAUGAUGCGUGAGUAAUUCACCAUAGACCUGCGGGUCCAUAGCUAGUAACUAGAUGGCUUCUUCUCUCUCUUGGAUCUUCAAUACAAAGUUCUCCAUGAUCUUCUUGGAGAUCUAUCUGAUGUAAUCUUCUUUUGCGGUGUGUUUGUCGAGAUCCGAUGAAUUGUGGAUUUAUGAUCAGAUUAUCUAUGGAUCUUAUUUGAGUUUCUUCUGAUCUCUCUUAUGCAUGAUUUCAUAUCCUUGCAAUUCUCUUCGAGUUGUGGGUUUUGUUUGGCCAACUAGAUCUAUGAUUCUUGCAACCGGAGAAGUGCUUGGUUUUGGGUUCAUACCGUGCGGUGACCUCACCUAGUGACAGAAGGGGUAGCGAGGCACGCAUCGUGUUGUUGCCAUCAAGGGUAAAAAGAUGGGGUUUUGAUCAUUGGUUUGAGUUUAUCCCUCUACAUCAUGUCAUCUUGCUUAAGGCAUUACUCUGUUUGUCAUGAACUCAAUACACUAGAUGCAUGCUGGAUAGCGGUCGAUGUGUGGAGUAAUAGUAGUAGAUGCAGAAAGUAUCGGUCUACUUGUCUCGGACGUGAUGCCUAUAUGUAUGAUCAUUGCCUUAGAUAUCGUCAUGACUUUGCGUGGUUCUAUCAAUUGCUCGACAGUAAUUUGUUCACCCACCGUGAUAUUUGCUAUUUUGAGAGAAGCCUCGAGUGAACACUACGGCCCCCGGGUCUACUCCACACCAUAUUUUCAGCCUUACACUUUUUACUUCAUAGCACUUUCCGCCUUCAGAUCUCAAUUUGCAAACACUCUUGAAGGGAUUGACAACCCCUUUACAGCGUUGGCUGCAAGCUCGUUUGUGUUUGUGCAGGUACUCUGGACUUGACGAGAUUCUCCUACUGGAUUGAUACCUUGGUUCUCAAACUGAGGGAAAUAGUUACUGCUCCUGUGUUGCAUCACCCUUUCCUCUUCAAGGGAAAAAAACCAACGCAAGCUCAAGAGACGACAAAAGGAUCUCUGGCACCACUGCCGGGGAAUGACUUUUGUUGCCGUAGCAUGGCCCACCAGGGCCUCCCCUUUUUGUAUUUUGAGCUAUCGAAGGCUUGUAGGCUUCUUUCUUAAUGUUUUGAAAAGAAAAUAAGGGCGGGAAUUUCUUCUCUAUCUUCUCUCGUUUUACCGAACUCUCAUUCUCUUUCUCCCUUUAUUCUGAUUGGUGUUUCGCGGGAACCUCGGGAGACCCCCAGGCCUCCUGAGGCAACCGCAAAAAGGGGCGGAGUGGGGAAUCACUCGAGCGUCAAAGGGGGCUCCUGAGCAUCGAGUCUCAGGAGCCUUAUCGGUCAUAAGUCCACUCGCCACCCCUGGUAUCGACCUGGGGCUCAGGUCGAUGCCAGGAGCGAUGGGGCCCCGCCCUGUGAAGUGUGUCGAACCUAACGGCGGUGGGGAAUUGUGCGGGACCGGGACCUGUCGACGUAGAGCGGUUUGAGUGUCAAGGGGGACUCCUGAGCAACAUGCCUCCGGAGCCUUACCGGUCGCAAGGCCACUCGGCCACCCAGGUGCCACGCUUAUCAACACCCAGGGCGUCGGGGCCUUGCCCCGUGGGGGGCAACCUUGGUAACAGGUUGUGCCUCACAACGGCAAGGAAAUGUGCAGGACUGGGACCUGCAGACACAAAGUGCCAAAAGGGUCCUCAAACCGUCCCACAAGCACGGAGGAGGUGCCACGAACAAAGCCACACAUGUGGGCUAGACCAUCGGUGUUGCGACAACACGGGCUGGCAGCAUCCACGACCAGAAGGGAAGCAUCGUGCACACCUCGUCUUCAGAAAACGCGUUAAAAGGUACCCACCAGACACAUCAAGGUUGAUGUUAAACUUAAUACAUAACCCUACCACGAGAGCGAGGCGGCGGAUCAGGAGGACGCAUCGUCACCAGAGUCCACGCCGUGGUCUUCUCGAGCAAGUCUUGUCACCAGGUCCUCCACGUGAACCUCGACCCAUUCGGUCAGGGCGGCGCAGAUCGUGUCUGGCAUCGGAUCCAACACCAUAGCGAAGUCAAUGUCUGGGUCGAGGCGAAGGAGGUGGCUGAAGACGUCCGAGGCCGCUUGACCCAAGAGGUCACGGCUCUUCUCCUCCACCGGCGCGAGGGCCUUCUCGGCACCCGCCUCAAGACGCUCCACGACGCCAUAGAAGAAGCCCAAUUACCUGGCGUUGUCGGGGACCAGGGUACUGGAGACACUCUCGCCGCAGAUGUCUCUCAGAGCACAUGAGGCUCUCCUCUCGAGGGAUUGGAAAAUUUGCGAGCAUUCAAGUUGGAGGAUGCGGGCACGGACCGCUUCUUCGGAGGCCUCUCCAACGAGGGAAGACGCGCCUUUCACCUGUUUGCAAACAUGAAACAGUUUACGUUCGGCAGUAGCCUGGGCGUCCAGCGUGACCUGUCAACUUUUCACUUGCUAAUCCAACCUCCUCCGGAGGGCAUUGACCUCGUUUUGCUGGUGACCGCGGCGCUCAAGGAAGCGGGACUCCUGGAGCCUCAACUUUGCACGAGAGUCGAGAAGAAGGGAACGUUGAGCCUCCUCCAUCCCUUUGUCUAUCACCUCAUGAAGCUUCGCAUCACGAGAGGCAAGGGAUUCCUCAGCAAGCGACACCUGGCACUCCCUCAUCUCCUGACGCUCCUGCCCCACGCUCUGCUCCACCUUUACAAGCGCCAACGAAUUGGCGGACGCUUGAGAACCCGCGGUGGCGAGGAAGGAAUCCAUUGGCGAACCCCCUAGGUUGGCCCUUAGUGGGGCCUCCUCUUCAAGAUCAGCGAUUAGGGUGCAAAGCUCCCUCUGACGAUCUUCGGAGGCCCUGCGCCAACAAUCAGCCUCCUGAGCCUCGAAGAGAGCAUGCUCGCGGGCUUCUACUGCUACGGCAAGGGACGCCUCAAUUUCUAUGCGGGCGUGCUCCCGCUGUAGACGGCCAAGGUUCACGGCGACCUCAAGCUAGUGUUGUCCCGACGCAAGAUGCUGGCGCUCCCCUUCCCGGCGGGCUUCAUGACUGGCAAGCCCCGUCCCCAGACAUUGAAGCGCGUCCGCCGCAGUGCGGAGCAAUACCCACGGCACGGUAGGCGAACCCGCGACAGGCUCGAGAAGCCUGUAAGAGUUCUCACCUUGUGCACGGGAGGGCGCGCGAGGAAUAACCCGGCCCGAGUCCAUGCUCGGGGGCUGGGGGCUUGCGUGUGGGCGUUUCGUCAGCAGUAAGCGUCCCUUGAGGCCCCACAUCUCCAAGGAGAAGGGGUCCAGGAGGAAGACACAAACAGCCCUAGGAGGGGCCACAAGCGAGGGGAGUACACCCUUCCGGAGUACCGGAAGCCGCUACCGAGGAAGACUGAUACGUCCAUUUUGCAUCAUGCUUUCAUGUUGAUAUUUAUUGCUUUUGGGCUGUUAUAUUACUUGUGAUACCAUAUUUAUGCCUUUUCUCUCUUAUUUUGCAAGGAUUAUUUGAAGAGGGAGAAUUCAGGCAGCUGGAAUUCUCGACUGGAAAGGAGCAAAUCCUAGUCCACUAUUCUGCACAUCUCCAAAUGCACUAAAAAUUUACGUGGAAUUUUUCUGGAAUAUAUUAAAAAUACUGGGCGAAAGAACUACCGGAGGGGAUCCACCAGGGCUCCACAAGCUUGCCCACCGCCGCCACCCCCCUGGUGGCGCAGGGCAGGUUUGUGGGCUGCUUGAAGGCCCACUAGCCCCCCUCUUUUGCUAUAUGAAGCGUCCUGGUCUGGAAAAAAAAUCAACCAGGAGCUUUUUCGUGGUUUCGCCACCGCCAUGAGGCGGAACUUGAGCAAAUCCAAUAUAGAGCUCCGGCAGGACGAUCCUGUCGGGGAAACUUCCCUCCCGGAGGGGGAAAUCGUCGCCAUGUCAUCACCAACACUCCUCUCGUCGAAGGGGAGGCAUCUUCAUCAACAUCUUCAUCAGCACCAUCUCCUCUCCAAUCCCUAGUUCAUCUCUUGUAACCAAUCUUCGUCUCGCAACUCCGAUUGGUACUUGUAAAGUUGCUAGUAGUGUUGAUUACUCUUUGUAGUUAAUGCUAGUUGGAUUACUUGGUGGAAGAGUUUAUUUUUAGAUCCUUGAGGCUAUUCAUUACACCUUUGGUCAUGAUUAUGAUUAUGUCUUGUGGGUAGUUACUUUUGUUCCUAAGGACAUGGAAUAAGUCAUGCUGAUAAUAGUCAUGUGAAUUUGAUAUUUCUUCGGUAUUUUGAUAUGAUGUAUGUUGUUUCUCCUCUAGUGGUGUUAUGUGAACGUUGACUACAUAACACUUCACCAUAUUUGGGCCUAGAGGAAGGCAUUGGGAAGUAGUAAGUAGAUGAUGGGUUGCUGGAGUGACAGAAGCUUAGACCCCAGUCUAUGCGUUGCUUCGUGAGGGGCUGAUUUGGAUCCACUAGCUUAAUGCUAUGGUUAGACUUUGUCUUAAUUCUUCUUUUGUAGUUGCAGAUGCUUGCGAGAGAGGUUAAUCAUAAGUGGGAUGCUUGUCCAAGUAAGGGCAGUACCCAAGCGUCGGUCCACCCACAUAUCAAACUAUCAAAGUAACGAACGUGAAUCAUAUGAACAUGAUGAAACUAGCAUGACAGAAAUUACCGUGUGUCCUCGGGAGCGUUUUUCCUCCUAUAAGACUUUGUUCAGGCUUGUCCCUUGCUACAAAAGGGAUUGGGCCACUUGCUGCACCGUUGCUACUACUUGUUACUUGUUACUCUUUGCUUGCUACGUUUCACCUCGCUACACAAUCACUUGUUACCGCUACUUUCAGUGCUUGCAGUUAUUACCUUGCUGAAAUCCGUUUAUCAAAGCCUUCUGCUCCUCGUUGGGUUUGACACUCUUACUUAUCAAAAGGAAUACGAUUGAUCCCCUAUACUUGUGGGUCAUCAAAGACCACGGGGGGCUGACGCGCGUAGGACUUAGGAGGUUGAACCCCGCGGAGUGUGGGGAAAGAAACCGCAGGAUGCUCGGUGCACUACUAGAAAAAGGAUUAUAGAUAAUAUAGACACUAAUGGCACACCAGACAAGUGGUGCGCCACUACUAUAUAGCAGUGGCGCACCAUGUGCAGGUGCACCAUUAGUGUGAUGGACACUAAUGGCGCACCACACACACGGUGCGCCACUACUAACAAAUUUGUUUCCAAAAAUACUAAUGGUGCACCGGGGCAGAGUGCGCCAUUACUAGUUUAACUAGUAAUGGCGCACCACUCACCCAGUGGGCCACUACUAUUUUUUUUGCAAAACUAUUAAUGGUGCACUGCCAGCUGGUGCGCCAUUAGUAACCCUGGUUACUAAUGGCGCACCAGCUGGUGGUGCGCCAUUAGUAGUUUUGCAAAAAUAAUAUAUCCUUCCUCUCUGAAUCGAAUCGAUUCGAAACCCUAGCUGACCCAUCCCCCUCCACUCCAAGAAAUCUCAGAUGGUCGCCGCCGCCUCCUCGCCCCUACCACCCAUCUCAGCCACCAGCGGCGACCUCAGAUGGUCGGACAGGCGUGCCGCCCUACCCAUCACCGCCCUCGCCUCCGCCUCCGCCUCCGCCCCAGCCACUGCCACCUUCUCCUCCACCUCCUCCCGCUCCUGCUCCUCUUCCUCCUGCCGCAUGUCUCCGCCCUCCUCCGUCACGCCAACUCCCUGGGCCGUUGGUGCCUGCCCCCCGCUGCCGAGCGCAGUCCCCUCGCCGGCCAGCAACUCAGCUUCUCCAUCGUCACGCUCUCUGACGAGCGCCUGCCGGGCCAAGGCGUGCCGGGGCCGGUCCUUUCGAUUAAUUGAGUCCAAUUUCUUCGCCUAGCUGAGUCAGGUUAGCUUAGCAGAUCAGUAAUCUCUUGGAAUAACUUCCUGAUGAUACAGUCAAUUUUUCAUUCGGUUUGCUGACUCUGAAUGAAUUUUUUGAUCAAGGAUAACUUGCCUUCGGUGCUGUUUGCAAUGGCAGGGGGUCUAGUGCUCAGUAUUGGGAACCUUUCUACACAGUAUGCUUGGGCAUAUGUGGGUCUCUCGGUUACUGAGGUUAUAUGCGCGAGCAUGGUUGUUGUAAUUGGUAAGUUUGUAAACAUUCUUAUUAUUGUUUCUGAUGAUACAUGUGAUGUACAGCUCAUAAUCUUCUUUAUUAAGCAAAAUUACAGGAGGGGACUGAAUUACUAGGUUAGCACUAGUUGGUUUAAGCUAGAAUUUUGCGCAAUAACACUGGUUAUCUGACAGUUCUAGUUGCUUGAACAAAGUGUCUGUCGAUCGCAUGCAGAUCAUUUAUUAAAAGCAGCUCAAGAUAGGAACAGAUUUGAAGAUAUGAGUACAGAUGAUAUCUUUUUUUCCUCGAAUAUGCACGAGUGUGCGUAUCAUAUAUAUAUUAUAUAUAGAAGAAGGGCAAAGAAAGCCUCCACAAAAGUUAUCUGAAAAAUAACAUUUCCGGUUAACUAUAUCGAUCGAUGCACCAAAUUGCCUGUUGGCUCUGCUAUUAUCCUGUGUCCUCGAAGAAUUCACUCAUUUUUAACGCAUGUUGUAUUUUCAGGUACGACACUGAAUUAUUUCCUGGACAACCGCAUCAACCGGGCAGAUAUUCUUUUCACCGGAGUGGGUUGCUUCCUUGUUGUAGUCAUCCUUGGGACUGUUGUACACGCUUCCAAUGCAGCUGAUAAUGAAGAGAAACUAAGCGAAUCCUCAAAUGGCUACAACCUUGGGCGUCGAGGUAUCUUCUCUCACCCUCUCUCUCCAUACCUGCUAGUUUGGUGGAGUUGUUGCUGAGUUGCACACAGAAAACCACGGUGAUAUUCUUGCUGAAUGCAAGGAACAACACCAUUAUCAAGGAAUUUCGAUAGAAAAAACGUGUCAUGGAGUCUGUGUCUCGUGCCGAGUUUGCUCUACUUGAAAGACAAGAGAGGGAGGACUUGUCCCUGACAAAGAUCCAAACAUUUACAUGUGUUCUCCCUACUUUGCGGCUGCGUGGUGCUACUAUGGCCUUUGUCUUGCUCCACCUGAAAACACCGCGUGAACCAAAGCCGUUCAUGCCCAUGGAUGAAGUAAUCCUGCAAUGUGAUGCAAUUCAUCUGUGACGAUAUCCCUACAUUACCCAUGUUUUUCUCUGGUAUGUGGCUGCCAUAGUGCGCUAGUGCUUGUACCCAUAUUAUUAAAAUUGCUCUUCCUCGAGCAAUUUUUUCAUUCCGUUUUACUAGUGAUUUGCUUGGCUGUUCAACGAUUCUUUUCUGACCAAAGAAGAUGCAAGAACAUUUUUAGUUUUUUACCCCUUGCACAUGCACUGCUGACUUCCCCCUUGUUCUUCUGACAAAAGAACAUGCCACUUUAAGCAUAUUUUCCCUCCUUCUCCCACUCCCAGAUCUGUCUCCAGAACGGAUUCUAGAGCUUCCUGGUCCAUCUUGGAUGUUUUUUUCCUUUGCUGAUGUCUUGCAAGUGCUUGUUUAUACAUGUUGACUUGCUGAACUAUUCAAUCCAAGGCUCUUCUCUAGUUAAUAUCUUCAUUUUUCAAUGGUAACCGAGACUGGGUCUCAUGCGUAGACAGAUUCAGUUUUUUAAGGAAAGCCUUCAUCUUUCUUACCAGUACUGACUGUUGUUCACAAUUUCCUGAAGCUGCCGUCACAAAGAUCAGAUGUAUCUGGUGAAGGACAUCGGCAGAGACAUCGGGCUGAUGGUGGCGUCCUUGGUGCUCCUCGGCACCUGGCCGGUCGUCCUCACCGUGCUGGAGCACCGGGGACGCCUGCCGCAGCACACGUACCUCGACUACUACAUCACCAACUUCCUGGCCGCCGUGCUGAUCGCCCUCACAUUCAGCCAGAUCGGCGGCAACACGCCGGAGACGCCCAAUUUCCUCACUCAGCUCACCAAGCCGCAGGUAGCUCAAUUAUCACUGUCGACAUUCCUUCCUCGCAUCGCAUAGAAAGAAAGGGUCAACAUGUAUAUGCAAGACUGAAAUUCAGACAGCACCUGAAGUUGGCUUGGCUUUCAGCGUUUCUGAACUGAAGUUUAACUGACAUAAGUGAAGCCACAAGUUCAGUUGGUACAUCAGGCUUUGCUCAUUGUAUAUGAUGGUGCAAUUGUUCUAACUAUAUAUGUAUUGAACGAACAAUCCAGAACUACUGGUCGUCCAUCAUGUUUGCGCUGGCGGGCGGCGUGGUGAUCACCCUCGGCACCGUGGCCACGCAGUACGGCUGGGCAUACGUCGGGCUUUCGGUCACCGAGGUCAUGGCCUCAAGUCUCAAGGUUGUCAUAGGUAGGUAGUACAUGGAUGUUUCAAGCUGCAGCUGUUCCAGCAUCAUUAUCUGAAGAUAAGUGAAUGAUUGAAAUUACUAUUGUAGGGACGACACUGAACUAUUUUCUGGACGGCCGGAUCAACAGGGCGGAGGUACAAGGAUUUGAUGGCUGCUGGUAUUAUUGAUCCAUCCAAGGUAUGUGAUUGCGGAAGCAAUGUUCUCUUUGAUCACAUCAUAUAACCGAUACUCUCAUAUGAGCAUGGCACAUAAUACUAGACUCGAUUAUCUGUAAAUUUUAGUUCGUUUGCUAUUUCAAAGUUGGUCCAGGAAUCAAUUGAAUUGUAUGUCUAUUGACGAGAGAUUAAGCUCUGAUAAUAUCCAAGAUAGCCUCUGUUGCUCCGCGUCGAGUACGUACCUUUUUUGUUCUGCUCUUGAAAAGCCUCCCUCCUUGAUUGACAUCCUAAACUGAUCAUAUAUUCUGAGCAAGCAUGCGAAAAUCUGAAUUGAUCAUCUUGCUAGUGUGAUCAACUGGCGCCCAAACCAACCUUCUCUUCUUUUGCUUUGGUGCAGACCGCCCAUGGCGCAGACGGGACAUCGACGACGGCAGGAGGGCACCAGCCGGGAAUAGGGCCUUGUCCUGCUGGAGGAGGGACAGACCUAACUGGCUGCUCUGUCCUCCUCGAGGAGGAGGGGCACACCAAGGGGUCUGCUCCUCUGCUUCCAAGGCAACCAAGGGGUCCUGCACGAGGUCGACAAGUCGAGCCUGACCACGACAACACACCGCUCCCAGCAGGUAGCACCUCCCCCCCUCUGCUUAGUCACCUGCUGCUAAUCUCUCUGAACGGGCUGCUGCUAUGCUAAUCUUCCAUUGGUUGCCGUUUGUUAGCUAGUUAAGCGGCUUGCUUUUCUGCUAAUGGCCCAUUAUGUAGACGUGGUGGUGGCCAUGGCUUCGCUGCUUAAUCAUAUUUUUUUCUUCCUUUGGGUCAUUAGCUAGAUGUGCUAUGCAUGUGGUGGUUAAUUUGCAAGAAAGAAGUGUUUCCAUUUCCUUGCUCUAGUCAAAUUCAUCUUUUUCUAGAACUGAUACUUGGUAGAUUUUGAGUAUGUCACUGUUGCUAAAACAACAACAGCAACCACCAAUUACCGGACGAACAAGACCGUACUUGGUUUUGGUGAGUCCCUGGUCUCCUCUUUCUUCCCAUGCCUUGUAAUGCAUUUGACAACGAGCCAUGGCUGACUGUGAUGCCGGCCAUUGAGUUGAUGAUGCUGUUUUUAAAUCUUGUUAUUGCGGUCAUCUUUCUUUUCAAUGAACUAUGCCACAAUAUAUGUGGUUUGCAAGGUUCUGUGGUUACUAAGUUAUGUUAUUUGCAGCUCAUAGAUCCUUGUUGGUCUAUUAUACAAUCUAAAGAGCUAUGCCCUUUUUCACUUGUACAGUCAGCUCCUUUGUUUUGUUUUGUGCUCAUUAGAGAACAUAGGGCUCAUUAGAGAACAUUGAGUUGAUGAUUGGUCUAUUAUACAAUCUAAAUACCGCUCGCCCCGCGCACUCCGCCCUACACCCCUGCCCCGCCCGGCCAUAGGGCUCAUGAUUUAGUGUUAAAUUUGACAUGUUGAUGAUUUCAUCUUGUAGGUUGCCACGUGGAUGCUCUUUGGACUACGAUAUGGACAUGAAGGCAUUUGUUUUAGUGCCAAAUAUUACUUACUAAUGCCCGCAAGGUAUCUUUGAGAAUUAUAUUUGCUAUGGAGCUAUAUAUGUAUGGACACUAUGGAACUAUAUGUAUAUAUGGAUGCUAUGGAAUUUUGGAUGUAUGGAUGCUAUGGAAUUUUGAUAUAUGGAUCAUGAAAUUUGUUAUGCAACUUUGCAUAUAUGUUAUGUGUUGUGGAUCAGUAAAACUAUUGGACAGAUAUUAUGUAUUAUAUAUUUGAUAUAUAUGUUAUGUGUUGUUGAAUUUCUGGUUUUUAAACAAACAUAUAUAUGCCAGAAUACCAGAUACUAAUGGAGCACCAUGGGCUAUACUAAUGGCGCACUGCCUGGUGCGCCAUUAGUAUAUAUGCCCUCAGAGGCAUACUAAUGGAGCACCGUGGGCUAUACUAAUGGCGCACUACCUAGUGCGCCAUUAGUAUAUAUGCCCUGGGAGGCAUACUAAUGGAGCACCAUGGGCUAUACUAAUGGCGGGCUGCCUGGUGCGCCAUUAGUAAAAAAAUUUAAAGGCGUGAUGCUAGUGGCGCACCUAUAGUGCGCCAUUAGUAGCCAAAACAGGUGCGCCACUAGCAGGCCUUUUCCUAGUAGUGGUGACCUCAGGGGUAGGCAGCACUGACCCGCCUCCUCAGUCGCUGGUGGGGAGCCUGCAGAACAAAGGCUCAGAAGAUAGGCACAUAAAGGAAGCAAGAAGGAGAAUACGGGCGCUUACUCGUUAAUGGCGAUCCACUUCUUCCUCACCGGAGCCCACCGCAUUGGGGGCGGCCUCCCUAGGGAGACCUCCUUUUUCCGGCCGGUGAGGGUGGUCUGACGUGGGUACUCGGCGGUCCUCGAGUGAAUCUUGGAGGCGGGGGCGGCGACUUCCACCGUCGACCGUCCGCCACCACCAACCCCAGCUCGACACGGAGAAAGAGCCGAGGGAGCGGGCGGCGAUGCACAGCCCACCCCGGCCUUGGGAGGGACGGCACGGCCAGAGUUUCCACGGGCCUGAACCCCAAGGGUCGAGGCCCCCCGGAGACUCUCUUUUCCCCCCAGGGAGGAGCUUCCACUCAUCAAAGAGCGACAUCUCCGCGACUAGAGCUCCCGGGGCCUUGAAGCUAUACAACGGGAGGCCGUUCGGGGGAAGCUCAUCACGAUUGCCACAGGUCAGCCGACGGAGCAGCUCGCGCAAGACGUCGGGGGAGAGAGGCAUGACUUGGGUCCUCAUUGAGUGACUAGGCCCCGCGUAGGCCCACAUCGGACGGGAGUGGUGCUGAAGAAGAGCAAUUCGCCGGGAGAUAAACUCUCGCACCACCAUCGCCAUCGUCACCCCCGCCCGUCUCAGCAUCUCCAGCCGGGUUAAGACUGGCGUGAGCCGGGAGUCAUUAAGCUUUUCACGCUCCCACCCCCAGUUCGGCGUUGCGGGGGUCGACAAAGGUUGGAACAGGGCUCCGGCCUUGGCAGUUUCGACAUGCACCCAAUAUCGUUGGAACCCCUCUGCUUCGGGGAGGAGCUCAGCGUCGAGGGCCCCCGGGACUGAUGCGUCGACAGCUUUCAAGGUCACGCAUCCGGAGCACUGCUCCUCGGAGACCAAAUCAAGGGAGAAGAAAUGGCGAAGCAAUGCCACGGAAGGAGUAACGCCAACAAAAGCCUCACACAAGAACACGAAGGCCGAGAGAAGAACCAAAGAACUGGGGUAAGGGUGGAGCGCGUGGAUUUGGUAAUGUGAAAGCACUGCACCAACGAAGCUCGAGAAUGGCGGCACUACACCAGAAAGAAGGGCGCGGAAAUGAAUAGGAACCGCGGGGGACACCAUCUCACCCCGAGGCCAUGAACCUGGCCAGAUUUUGGUGGCCCCUCACUCAUUGGAGUCGGUAGAAACUACCAGUUGGACCUUCUCCAACCCCUCGAAGUCCACCAUCGUCGACCGGCCCAACGCGCAGGAGUCAAAGGAAGGGCCGGAGCCAAGACCGACAGGAGGAAGGACCGGCGGUGGGAUCGACAGGAUGAAGAGCCGACUGGGAAAUUUAUAGGACCCGGAGGCGGACUACAAACGCAGGUCAAGAGAUGCUACACCGAGAAGACGGGUCCGCCAUUUAAAAUGCAUGGCCCUCACGCGUUUACGGCAUGCAACGCUUCAGGCCUCCCUCAAGGCUCCGCAAAGAAGCCAACCUAGGCACGCCUUGGUCCUGGGGUCUACUAUCGGCGUUCUAGGAAUGGGGGUACCCAGACCUGCCUAUGUGCAGCCCAGGGCUGGCCCACUUCGUCAAUCAAGUAAACCAACGGGUCCGGCAGAACUCAAGGCAAGGCCCUCGUGAGGAGCCAAGCUUCACGAGGAGGAACGACAUCAAGACCUGCAGGGGGCCUCCACAGGACCCCUCCGGAGCGGCGGAUAUUCCGAGGCGAGGCCCGGCCUCACGAGUCAAGUGUGACGCAAGGGAAGGACAUGCAAGCAGCAGACGGCUGGACGGAGCAGUUUCCCCUUUAGUGCAAAGGGGGAAGGACGUAGCAGGGUUCCCAAGGCAUCUUCCAAAGGUUUCCCUUCUGGUGUAACAAAGCCACCGCCGCUUGCCAGUAGGGCAGACGUCAUCCCUGAACCCAUCCCUGCAGCACGGGCAACCACUUUGCAGGCGAAGACCACCUUUGGGCAGGGGAGCAUGUUCCCAUGUUCCCCUUCAAAAUUGGCCAUUGUGGGAUCCCUAAUGACCCACAAGUGUAGGGGAUCUAUCGUAGCCUUUUCGAUAAGUAAGAGUGUCGAACCGAACGAGGAGCAGAAGGUAUUGACAAGUGCUCUUGAGCAAGGAAUAACUGCAAGUACUCAAACGUAACUUUUUAUGGUUUUUCUAGUAUAAGCAACAAGGAAAUAAAUGCAAGUAAAGUAAAUGGUGCCGAGGUGCAGUAAGUGGCCCAAUCCUUUUGAACACAAAGGAUAAGUCGAGGGACUAAACUUAUAAAUACUAAGGCGUUCCUCAGGACACACGGGAAAGAUAGUCAAGCGCUUUCGUCAUAUUCCGUCUAGUACUAUGUUUUGUAUUGAUAAGUGUUAUGUGGGUGGAUCUUAACUAGUGCACCGUCUAGGCUAAGACAAGUACACUCUUAUGAUCAAUCCCUCAUGCAAGCAUCCUCAAAUACAUGAGAGAAAUUAAGGCAAAGCCUAACCAUAGCAAUAAGCUUUAGGAUCCAUUACUCCCUCAUGUAAAAGUAUGCAAACUGAGGUACAGGUUUCUGUCACUCCGGCAACCCACCAUAAGCAUUCUUUACACACGAUGCAUCCCCCUAGGUCCUUCAAAAUGGGAAGUUUGUGUAGUCGACGUUCACAUAACACCACUAGAAGAAUAACACCAUAACUUAAAUAUCAAUCAACACAUAUUACUUCAACAUCAUAUGACUACUAACAUCUAGAAUUUUCCCAUGUCCUCAAGAACUAAUGGAACUACUCACAAGACAUAAAAGAGAUCAUGAUCAGAGGUGCUGAAAAUGUGAUUAACAAUCUGGUCAUAACAAUAAUUCUCUAACAAAACUCAAUAGCAUUCACCACAAAAGAGUAAUCAACACCGGUAGAGUAGAGGGGAUGAAUAGUGCAAGGUAAAACUCCGAUUGCAAUGGUGGAGUAGAUGGGAUGAGGAUGGAGAUGGUGCUGGAGUUGGUGAUGCCCCCCCCCCCCGAUGAUGCCGGUGACGAUGGUGAUGACGAUGAGGACGAUAUCCCCUUCUGGGAGGAGUUCUCCCCGGCGGAAUCUGCCGGCCAGAAAGGUAUUUUCUUCUCUAUAGGUUUCCGCCGCAGAGCGGCGGCGGAAUCAAGAAAACUCUUUUGUCCCUCAAAUUUUUAGGUCAAGAGAGACAUAUAGGCCAAAGGAGUGUGCCGGAGGUCGGGCCCGUCACUCAGGCGGCCUCCUGGCGCGGCCUAGGGGGGUCGUGCCAGCAGGUCGCCUCGGUGACCUGUGGCCCCCCUCCGGCCCUUCUUUCGCCUGUCUUCGGGACCCGUUCGGAAACUUCUUCCCUCAAAAUUUCAACUCAAUUGGAGAUGUUCUGAUAUUGCAACUCUUCAUGCUAUUUUCUCCGCUGAAUCCUGCGUCUCCUGUUUCGGCACCGGAAAGUUGGACACUGUGUAAAAUAAGCCAAAACACUAUAAGUACACCAUCAAAAAGUGAAAUAUAUCAAUGAAUAGAGAUAAAUUAUGAUACAAAAUAGUGAUGCAUUUUGGACGUAUCAACUCCCCCAAGCUUAGACUUCGCUUGUCCCCAAGCGAAUACGAAGCUCGAUAAACCUGUCCACAAGUUUAGAGAGUGAAGUGUCGAUAAAUAAGAAUAGGGAGAAGAAGCAUCAUAAUUUCUCUACUAAACUCAACCAUCCUCAACAACAAUCUCAACUCAUGAGGCCCUUAUGAAAGAUUAAUAUCAAUUACAAUCAAAAGUAGAGCUAAUAAAGCUCAUCAAAGCAUGGCAAACAUGUCCUUGGUCAAAGAACAACUACUAACUUUUAACUUUUGAUCUUCCUCUUAUAUUUUGAUGAGAUCAAUUGAAGCUUUUUGAAAGAACAUGUUAUUAGUCAAGAAGUGAAGAUGCUAACACAAAGGAAGAUGUUUGCUUUAGCUAGGCUUAACAAACAACUCACUUAUCUUAAUGAUAAUGUCAACAAAGGUGUGAUAUGACAAUUCUUAGUGAAACAAUAUAAAUGCAUGCAUCUUUGUCAACAUAAAGUGUCUUCUCUUUUCAGGAUAGAAAGAAGCGGGUUUACUAACUCAACAUAAAAGUAAAAGAUUGGCCCUUCGUAGAGGGAAGCAAGGAUUAAUCAUGUGCUAGAGCUUUUAGAGAACAACAAGAUUGUAAAACAAGCUUUCGAGAGGUGCAUGAUUUGCCAACGAAUGCUAGUAGAUAGCCCAAUACUACUCAUGCUGGAUAAGUUUUGAGGAACGGCUCCCAAAGUGGGGAAGAUCAAAUCCCCUUAGUCUCCUUUGUUUAUCACUACCAAAGUUUUCUGAUCUCUCAUCAACAAAGCAUGAAUGAGGUUUUGUUUGUUGUUAUUAUCUUUUACGAGCUGGGCGUGCUCAUGUCAGUCCCUCCUCGUAUUAGGGGUUCACAGAUAACAUGCAAACCCAAGAUAAAACUUGUCCUGUAUGAGAAGAUCAUGAAUCACCUACUACUUCUCAUGAGCUAAAGCAGGGGCACAAAACAGGGACUAAUAUUUAAAGGUUUAAAGAUAGCACAUGAGUAAUAUACUUUAGGAGUGGUGGUGAAAUACCACGUAAAGGGAAGGUAUGGUUGACUCUUGGGAAGGUUGAGGUUUCAGGGUAUGGAUGCACAAGCAGUAUUCCCGCUUAGUGCAAGGGUUGGCUAGCAAAUGUUUUUAAGAGUAGACAAAUGAUGUUGACUUUGAUGCAAAACAAUAUAAAGUUUAACAUAAAUAAUUGGAAUAAAACAUCAAGUUGUCUUCCUUGUCAGCAUAACACUUCAAGCAUAAGAACAUAAAGGUUUUGCCUAUGUCGCUACUAGAAAAACUCAUGCUUGUUGUUAUGACCAAUGCUAUGUUUGCCAAGUUUAAAUAAAGUUUUCAAAGCCAUACCUGAUGUGUAAGAUCAAUACUCCCAUAAGAAUCAGCAUAUGAGAUCGAUUGCAUGAAGAGAAUACCAAGUGGAGCAAAGAAACCAAUAGACUUCUCAUUAAUAUUCCAUCAUACAAACUCUCCACAAAGGAGUGAUAGACCUCAAUGCAAACACCUAUUUCAUAAGAUAACUUCCCUAGACAUGAUACGACAUUUAACUUGACCAAGAAAGAUAAAGGAUAAAAAAUAAAGAUAACGUGCACUCCCCAAGCUUGGAACAAGCUAAGGGAAUGCCAUUACCCAUGAAGAUUACACUCUUCAUCCUUGUUCUUUUCGUUCUUCAAGUCCGCUAUUAUGCGCCGAAGGGUUUUGUUUUCAGCUUCCAAUAUGGCCACCUGUACUUUAAGCACACGGAAAUCUUCACAGAAUUGGUUAGUCAUUCUGUAAGCUUCAGAUAGAGUAGAUGACACAGGUGGAUAUCCUGGUGGAGGGGCAGUUUCUGGAAGGUGCACAGAAAGAUCAUGUUGGGGUUAAUAAACCCUACGAGGAUGGGGUUGUUGGAGCUGGAUCCUUGUGAUGAAGGAUCUCCUUCUUGUUGGGUGGUGACCAUCUUGACUUCCUCUCUCACGAAGCACUCCAUCUCCGCUUGUCUUGUGGCUAUCUCUUCAUUGGUGGCCCAUACGGUGGCCUUUCCUUGGUUGAUAUCCCGCUGGACACGGCGGAGACGAUGACCUGUGUAGUCUUCCCCGCUUGAGUCGCAAGAAGACAUCUCGAAUAAUAGCUGCUUACCCUGGCAGAAAAAGAUCGAGAGAGAAAACGCACGAAAUCGCAAGAUACAAAGUCGGGACGAUCCGGGAAAAUAUAUAGGAAAAAUUUCUACACCAAAAGGAAGGUAACAAGCCAAAGUGGAGUCGGAGAGGGGCUCCAGGUUAUCCAGGCGGCCUCCUAGCACGGCCAGGGCCUAGCCCGCGCCAGCAGGUCGCCUGGGUGACCUGGAGAUCCUCUCCGGCUCCGCUUCGGCUCGGAAUUUUCCUAAUUUUGCAAAAAAGCAUAAAAUGGAACUUUCAUUGAUGUUUGCGAAGUUUCCUUACCGUAUUUCAUACAUUUUCUUAUUCUACUUCUGUCGGUGUCUGAUACACUAUUGCAAUAUGUUCUUCUUGAUUGGCUACGUGUAUCACAUCCACCUCUACAUUGAUGGGGUCUCCAGCCAUGUAAUUCUUGAGUCUUUUCCCAUUCACAACAUGUGGUUUUGUGCCUUCAAAAUUAUUAAUCUUGAUUGCACCAGAGCGGUAGACUUCUUCGAUAUGGUACGGUCCUUACCAUUUGGAAAGUAAUUUACGUGGAGAGAACCUGAAACGAGAUCUAUACAACAAUACUUUGUCACCAACAUUAAAUUCACGUUUCAAAAUUCUCUUGUCAUGACACUUAUUUACCUUUUCUUUGAAUAUUUUUGCGCUCUCAUAAGCUUCACUUCUCCACUCAUCUAGAGAAGUCAAGUUCAUGAGACGCUUUUCACCAGCAACCUUUGGAUCAAGAUUAAGCUCUCUAACAGCCCAGAAAGCUUUGUGUUCUAACUCUAGAGGUAGAUGGCAUGCCUUGCCAUAAACCAUCUUAUACGGAGACAUCCCCAUGGAAUUUUUGUAAGCAGUUCUAUAUGCCCACAAGGCAUCUCCUAGCUUAUUGGACCAAUCCUUUCUAGAACUGUUCACUGUCUUUUGCAAGAUUAAGUUGAUCUCUCUAUUUGUGAGCUCAACUUGCCCAUUUGUUUGAGGGUGGUAACGUGAAGCAAUUCUAUGAUUAAAAUCAUAUUUGGCUAGAGCUUUUCUAAAAGCACCGUGUGUAAAAUGUGAUCCUCCGUCGGUCAUGAGGUACCUAGGUACACCAAACCUCGGGAAGAUUACAUCCUUGAGCAUUUUCAAAGAUGUCUUAUGAUCUGCACUUUCAGUGGGGAUUGCUUCAACCCACUUGCUAGUCUAGGGCUACUAAGAUGUGAGUGUAUUUGUGUGAAGGAGGGAAAGGACCCAUUAAAUCAAAACCCCGGCAAUCAAAAGGGUCAAUAACUAGAGAAUAAUUCAUAGGCAUCUCAUUCCUCCUACUAAUAUUACCAACUCCCUGGCACUUAUCACAGGAUAAAACAUAAUUUCUAGCAUCUUUAAAGAGAGUAGGCCAAUAAAAAGCUGAUUGGGGAACCUUUUGUGCGGUCCUCUCACCGGCAUGAUGUCCUCCAUAAAAACUGAUAUGACAUUGUCUCAAGAUAUCCUUCUGCUCAUGCUCCGGUAUGCAUAUCCUCAGAAUCCCAUCCGCACCUUCUCUAAAAAGAUGUGGGUCAUCCCAAAAGUAAUACCUCAAGUCGUGGAAGAACUUCUUCCGCUGUUGGAAUGUUAAACCUGGAGGCAAAAACUUUGGAACAAUAAAGUUAGCAUAAUCUGCAUACCAUGGAUCUGAAUUAGAUUUCACCUGUAAAACAGCUAACUGUUCAUCGGGAAAACUAUCGUUGACCGGAAUAGGAUCAUGUGGUAUGUCCUCCAUCCUGGAAAGGUUGUCUGCUACAGGGUUGUCUGCUCCUUUCCUAUCAACAAUGUGCAAAUCAAAUUCUUGAAGAAGAAGGACCCAUCGGAUAAGCCUUGGUUUGGCAUCCUUCUUUUCCAUAAGAUACUUAAUAGCAACAUGAUCAGUGUGAAUGAUAACUUUAGAAUCAACAAUGUAAGGCCUUAACUUAUCAUAAGCAAACACUACCACUAAAAAUUAUUUCUAAGUAGUAGCAUACUUCUUUUGAGCAGUGUCAAGGGUUUUGCUAGCCUAAUGGAUAACAUUCAAUUUCUUAUCAAUCCUUUGUCCUUACACAGCUCCAACAACAAAAUCACUAGCAUCACACAUGAUUCCAAAAGGCAAAUUCCAAUCCGGUGGUUGGACUAUAGGGGCGGUUAUCAAGGAUUUCUGAAGAACUUCGAAGGCUUCCUUACAAUCUUCAUCAAACACAAAAGGAAUAUCCUUCUGGAGAAGAUUAGUAAGGGGUUUCUGUAAUGCCCCAGAUGUAGCCCUUGCCAUUUGUGGAACCCUUUCCUAUUUUGGGUCUUGAUGUCAAUGCUAUGGAGUUAUCAUUUCAUGUGGUCACCUUUGCAUCAUGACAUUCAUCGCAUUCAUGUUAUUUUUUCCUUUGUGUUGUUGUUGUUGCUCGAUCUUCAUGAGUCUCUUGUGUGAUGAAUUCUUGUGGUGGUAUGUGAUGAGGUGGUGAAUCCCAAGCUUGAUUCAAACUAUGUUUGUUUUCAAAUAGGUUUCAAACCCCUUCUUCUUUAUUUAUUUGAGCUGAUGUUUAACUUGCUCAAAACCUGUUUUAAAAAUGUUGUUCAUUUUGUAGUUUUACCUUGUGUUUGAGGGGUACUGUUUUGGGGUUUUUAAGACUUAAAUGAAUGGGAGUUUAAAUGCAAAAACAGAAUACCCUGAUACGUCCAUUUUGCAUCAUGCUUUUAUGUUGAUAUUUAUCGCUUUAUGGACUGUUAUAUUACUUUGUGGUACCAUACUUAUGCCUUUUCUCUCUUAUUUUGCAAGGUUUAUUUGAAGAGGGAGAAUAUCGGCACCUGGAAUUCUGGACUGGAAAAGGAGCAAGUCUGAGUCCUCUAUUCUGCGCAACUCCAAAUGCCCUGAAAAUCAACGUGGAAUUUUUUGGGAAUAUAUAAAAAUACUGGGCGAAAGAAGUGCCACAGGGGCGCUACCAGGGGCCCACAAGCCUGGUAGCCGCCCCCCCCUGGUGGCGGCUAUAGGGCUUGUGGGCACCCUGGCGGCCCACUGGCCCCCACUUUUUCUAUAUGAAGGGUUUCGUCCAGGAAAAAUCAGGGUGGAGCUUUUUCGUGGAUUCUCCGCCGCCGCGAGGCGGAACUUGAGCAGAACCAAUGUAGAGCUCCGGCAGGACGAUCCUGCCGGGGAAACUUCCCUCCCAGAGGGGGAAAUCGUUGCCAUCGUCAUCACCAACACUCCUCUCGUCGGAGGGGAGUCAUCUCCAUCAACAUAUUCAUCAGUGUCAUCUCCUCUCCAAACCCUAGUUCAUCUCUUGCAACCAAUCUCCGUCUCGCGACUCCGAUUGGUACUUGUAAGGUUGCUAGUAGUGUUGAUUACUCUUUGUAGUUGAUGCUAGUUGGAUUACUUGGUGGAAGAGUUUAUGUUCAGAUCCUUGAUGCUACUCAUUACACCUCUAAUCAUGAUUAUGAUUAUGCUUUGUGAGUAGUUACUUUUGUUCCUGGGGACAUGGAAUAAGUCAUGCUGAUAAUAGUCAUGUGAAUUUGAUAUUCGUUCGGUAUUUUGAUAUGAUGUAUGUUGUUUUUCCUCUAGUGGUGUUAUGUGAACGUAGACUACAUAAAACUUCACCAUAUUUGGUCCUAGAGGAAGGCAUUGGGGAGUAGUAAGUAGAUGAUGGGUUGCUAGAGUAACAGAAGCUUAAACCCCAGUCUAUGCGUUGCUUCGUAAGGGGCUGAUUUGGAUCCACUAGUUUAAUGCUAUGGUUAGACGUUGUCUUAAUUCUUCUUUCGUAGUUGAGGAUGCUUGCGAGAGGGGUUAAUCAUAAGUGGGAUGCUUGUCCAAGUAAGGGUAGUACCCAAGCGCCGGUCCACCCACAUAUCAAACUAUCAAACUAACGAACGCGAAUCACAUGAACAUGAUGAAACUAGCAUGACAGAAAUUCCCGUGUGUUCUCGGGAGCGUUUUUCCUUCUAUAAGACUUUGUUCAGGCUUGUCCCUUGCUACAAAAGGGAUUGGGUCACUUUGCUGCACCGUUGGUUGUUACUUGUUACUUUUCACUUGCUAUGUUUCACCUCAGUACACCAUCACUUGUUACCGCUACUUUCAGUGCUUGCAGUUAUUACCUUGCUGAAAAUUGUUUAUCACAGCCUUCUGCUCCUCGUUGGGUUCGACACUCUUACUUAUCGAAAGGACUACGAUUGAUCCCCUAUACUUGUGGGUCAUCAAGACUCUUUUCUAGCGCCGUUGCCGGGGACUGAAGCGCCUUUGGUAAGUGGAAUUUGGUAAGGAAACAUUUAUAUACUGUGCUGAAAUUUAUUGUCACUUGUCACUAUGGAAACUGUUCCUUUGAGGAGUUUGUUCAGGGUAUCUUCACCACGAACGGAAGCGCGAGGAGUUGCUCCUCAACCUGAGGUACCUACUGAAAAUAUCUUUUAUGAAAUUCCUUCGGGUAUGCUUGAGAAACUGCUGGCUAAUCCUUUUACAGGAGAUGGAUCAUCACAUCGAGACUUGCAUCUAAUCUAUGUAGAUGAAGUUUGUUGUUUAUUUAAACUUGUAGGUUUGCCUGAGGAUGAGGUAAAGAAGAAAGUCUUUCCUUUAUCUUUGAAGGACAUGGCGUUGACAUGGUAUAGGCUAUGUGAUGAUACUGGAUCAUGGGACUACAAUCGGUUGAAAUUGGAAUUUCAUCAAAAGUUUUAUCCUAUGCAUUUAGUACAUCGUGAUCGGAAUUAUAUUUAGAACUUUUGGCCUCAUGACAGGGAAAGCAUAGCUCAAGCUUGGGGGAGGCUUAAAUCAAUGUUGUAUUCAUGCCCCCAAUCAUGAGCUCUCGAGAGAAAUUAUCACUCAAAACUUUUAUGCUCGGCUUUCUCAUGAAGAUCGUACCAUGAUUGACACUUCUUGUACCGGUUCUUUUAUGCAGAAGGAUAUUGACCACAAGUGGAAUUUAUUGGAAAGAAUCAAACGUAACUCUGAAGAUUGGGAGCUUGAAGAAGGUAAGGAGUCAGGUAUGAAUUUCCAAUUUGAUUGUGUUAAAACUUUUGUUGAAACAAACACUUCUAGAGAUUUUAGCGCUAAGUAUGGACUUGACUCUCAGAUAGUAGCUUCUCUAUGUGAAUCUUUUGCUGCUCAUGUUGAUCUUCCCAAAGAGAAGUGGUUUAAGUAUCAUCCUCCUAUAGAAGUCAACAUAGUUAAACCCAAUCUAGUUGAAGAGAAAGUCAUUGCCUUUAGUGAUCCUAUUGUUCCUUAUGCCUACGCUGAGAAACCACCUUACCCUGCUAGGAAAAAAGGAUUAUUCUAAAGCUCCAACUCUGAUACGUAGGGGUUACAUUAGACCACUUGCACCCCUGAGGAAAUUAGAGUUGAACCUAGUGUUGCUAUUAUCAAAGAUCUCUUAGCUGAAGACAUAGACGGGCCUGUUAUCAAAUUUUGUGAGGACUCCGCUAGAAUUGCUAAACCUCACGUGAAAGACAAAUACGGACCUGUAGUUGGCAUGCCCGUUGUUUCUGUCAAGAUAGGAGAUCACUGUUAUCAUGGUUUAUGUGAUAUGGGUACUAGUGUUAGUGCAAUACCCCGGUCCCUAUACGAUGAAAUCAAAGAUGAGAUUGCACCUGCUGAGUUAGAACCCAUUGAUGUCACUAUUACGCUAGCUAAUAGAGACACUAUCUGCCCUCUGGGAAUUGUGAGGGACGUAGAAGUCCUCUGUGGUAAGAUGAAGUACCCUACUGAUUUCCUCAUCCUUGCUACUGCACAAGAUAGCUUUUGUCCCAUCAUAUUUGGUAGACCCUUUCUCAACACUGUCAAUGCUCAUAUUGAUUGCAUUAAACAGACUGUCACUGUUAGUUUAGAGGGUGUGUCUCAUGAAUUUAACUUCUCCAAGUUUGGAAGACAACCCCAUGAACAAGAGUCGUCUGGUAGGGAUGAAAUCAUUGCUCUUGCCUCUAUUGCCGUACCUCCUACGGAUCCUUUAGAGCAAUAUCUGCUUGAGCAUGAAAAUGAUAUGCAUAUGGAUAAAAGAGAUGAGAUAGAUAUAAUUGUUUUAGAUCAAUAUCCUAUUCUCAAGAAUAAUCUGCAUGUUGAAUUACUUGGGGAUCCUCCCCCACCAAAGGGUGAUCCUGUGUUCGAGCUAAAAUAGUUACCAGAUACUCUUAAGUAUGCCUACCUUGAUGAGAAGGAGAUAUAUCAUGUUAUUAUUAGUGCUCACCUCUCUAAUCACGAAGAGAAGAAGUUAUUAAAAACUUUGAGGAAGCACCGUGAGGCUAUUGGAUAUAAUCUUGAUGAUCUUAAGGGUAUUAGUCCCACUCUAUGUCAGCACAAGAUUAAAACUGGCCCUGAUUCUAAACCAGUUGCUGAUCAUCAAAGGAGAUUAAAUCCUAAGAUGAAAGAGGUCGUGAGGAAAGAAAUAUUAAAGCUUCUGGAAGCAGGAAUCAUUUAUCCUGUUGCUCAUAGCGAUUGGGUAAAUCCAGUACAUUGCGUACCUAAGAAGGGAGGUAUCACCGUCGUUCCUAAUGAUAAGAAUGAACUAAUCCCACAGAGGAUUAUUACUGGCUAUAGGAAGGUGAUAGACUUCCGAAAACUGAACAAGGCAACCAGGAAAGACCAUUAUCCUUUGUCGUUUAUCAACCAAAUGUUAGAAAGGCUAUCUAAACACAUACACUUCUGCUUUCUAGACGGUUAUUCAGGUUUCUCGGAAAUACCUGUUGCACAAUUCGAUUAGGAGAAAACCACUUUCACCUGCCCCUUCGGUACCUUUGCUUAUAGACGUAUGACUUUUGGCUUAUGCAAUGCACCUGCCACCUUUCAAAGAUGUAUGAUGGCAAUAUUCUCUGACAUUUGUGAAAAGAUUGUUGAGGUUUUCAUGGAUGAUUUCUCCGUUUACGGUUCUUCCUUUGACGAUUGCCUCAGCAACCUUGAUCGAGUCUUACAGAGAUGCAAAGAUACUAACCUCGUCUUGAACUGGGAGAAGUGCCACUUCAUGGUUAAUGAAGGCAUCGUCUUAGGAAACAAAAUCUCUGAGAAAGGCAUUGAAGUUGAUAAGGCUAAGGUUGAUGCAAUUGAGAAAAUGUCUUGCCCCACAGAUAUCAGAGGUAUACGAAAUUUCCAAUGUCAUGUUGGUUUCUAUAGAAGGUUCAUUAAAGACUUCUCUAAGAUUUCUAGGCUUCUUACCAACCUCUUCCAGAAGGAUGUUCCUUUUGUUUUUGAUGAGGAUUGUGAGGAAGCUUUCGAAAUACUUAAGAAGGCCUUGAUAACCGCACCUAUUGUUCAACCUCCUGAUUGGAACUUUCCCUUUGAAAUCAUGUGCGAUGCUAGUGAUUAUGCUGUCGGCGCUGUUCUAGGACAAAGAGUUGACAAGAAGUUGAAUGUUAUUCACUACGCUAGUAAAACUCUAGACAGUGCCCAAAGAAACUAUGCCACUAUGGAGAAGGAGUUUUUAGCAGUUGUGUUUGCAUGUGAAAAGUUCAGAUCUUAUAUAGUUGACUCCAAAGUCGCUAUUCACUCUAAUCAUGCUGCUAUUAAGUACCUUAUGGAGAAGAAGGAUGCUAAGCCUAGGCUAAUCAAAUGGGUUCUCCUGCUACAGGAAUUUGAUUUGCACAUUGUUGACUGAAAGGGUGCUAAUAACCCUGUAGCAGAUAACUUGUCCAGGCUAGAGAAUGUCCUUGAUGACCCACGACCUAUUGAUUACAGCUUUCGUGAUGAGCAAUUAAAUGUCAUUCGCACUUCACAUAGUGCAACAUGGUAUGCUGAUUACGCAAACUAUAUCGUAGCCAAAUACAUACCACCGAGUUUCACCUACCAGCAAAAAAGAAAUUCUUCUUUGAUUUGAGACACUGCUUUUGGGAUGAUCCUCACCUUUAUAAGGAAGGAGUAAAUGGUGUUAUUAGACGUUGUGUGCCUGAACAUGAACAGGGACAGAUCCUGCAGAAGUGUCAUUCCAAAUCCUACGGACGACACCAUGCUGGAGAUAGAACUGCUCAUAAGGUAUUGCAAUCAGGUUUCUAUGGGCCCACUCUCUUCAAGGAUGCCCGUAAGUUUGUCUUGUCUUGUGACGAAUGCCAAAGAAUAGGGAACAUGAGUAAACGUCACGAAAUGCCUAUGAACUAUUCACUUGUCAUUGAACCAUUUGAUGUUUGGGGCUUUGAUUAUAUGGGACCCUUCCCGAGUUCCAAUGGGUACACUCACAUCUUAGUUGCUGUUGAUUAUGUCACUAAGUGGGUAGAAGCUAUCCCCACUAGAAAUGAUGAUCAUCACACCUCUAUUAAGAUGCUUAAAGAAGUCAUUUUCCCAAGAUUUGGAGUCCCUAGAUAUCUGAUGACUGAUGGCGGUUCACACUUCAUUCAUGGUGUUUUCCGCAAGAUGCUUGCUAAGUAUGAUGUCAACCGUAGAGUUGCAUCUCCUUAUCAUCCUCAGUCUAGUGGUCAAGUGGAGUUGAGUAAUAGGGAGAUCAAAUUGAUCUUACAAAAGACUGUCAAUAGAUCUCGAAAGAAUUGGUCUAGUAAACUAGACGAUGCACUAUGGGCUUAUAGGACUGCUUAUAAGAAUCCCAUGGGCAUGUCGCCGUAUAAAACGGUUUACGGUAAGGCCUGUCAUUUACCUCUUGAGCUAGAACAUAAGGCUUAUUGGGCAAUCAAAGAGCUCAACUUCGAUUUCAAACUUGCCGGUGAGAAGUGGUUGUUUGAUAUCAGCUCAUUAGAUGAAUGGAGGGCCCAGGCAUAUGAGAAUGCCAAGUAGUUCAAGGAAAAGGUUAAGAGAUGGCACGAUAAAAGAAUACAAAAACGAGAGUUCAAUGUAGGAGAUUAUGUCCUGCUAUACAAUUCUCGCUUAAGAUUCUUUGCAGGCAAGCUUCUCUCUAAAUGGGUAGGUCCUUACGUUGUCGAGGAAGUAUAUCGUUCCGGUGCCAUCAAAAUCAAUAACCCGGAAGGUAAUUUUCCUAGAGUGGUAAAUGGGCAAAGAAUCAAGCAUUAUAUCUCUCAUACUCCCAUAAAUGUUGAGACCAAUAUCAUCAAUAUCAUAACUCGAGAGGACUACAUAAGGGAUGUUUAUCAGCCUGUUUCAGACCCUGAAAACGAAGAGGUAUGUGUUUCCGUAAGUAAUUGGACUCUGAAACUCUUCCAAUAGAAAAUUUUCUCUGUUUUGGAAUUUUUGGAAAAUUAGAAAACUAAAAAGCAGUCCGGAGAGCACACGAGGCGGCCACAAGCUUGGUAGCCGCCACCAACCCCCCNNNNNNNNCCCCCCCCCCGCGGCGGCUACAAGGCUUGUGGGCACCUCGUGUGCCUCCCGGACUCCGUUUUCUUGCGGAGCACUCCUUCUGGUCCAGAAAAAAUCAUUAUAUAUACGCCUGAGGGUUUUGAUCUCCGUAUCGCGCAGUUUUCCUCUAUUUUCGUUUCGAGCCUGUUUUCUGCCGCAGAUCUAGGUCAAGAUGUCUUCUCAGGAUUCAGAGGGGGGAGCUAUGUGGCUGAUUACCUUGCUAACCCCAAGGUUUAUGGGGACUUGGAACCAUAUGGCUAGAAAACUGACGAGGAAGAGGACUAUGAUCCCAAGGGGAAGGAACAAACGAGUUCCGACGAAGAGGAGGCUCCUCUACCUCAACUUGGAUGCACUCAUGUGGAGUUCAAGAAGUCAAGCCUCCCUGACCAAAGGAAGAAGCCUAAGACCUUGUUUAUCCCUUCUCGUUUCUUGCAGGAGAGUAAGCAGGAACUUUGCCAUAGAGUGUUGAAGCUUGAGGAGGAAAAUGAUGAUCUGAGGGAGCAAAACUUUAUGCUCAAGUUGAAAUUAGACAAGCUCAAGACUGCUUCAACAACACCACCACCAUCACCACAAAAGGAAGACAACUAAGAAUUGGUAUGGGCAAUCCUCUUGGCCUUUGCCAAGCUUGGGGGAGUUGCCCUGGUAUCGUAUCACCUUUAUAUCUUUUGUUUUUACCUUUGUUUUAGUUCUUUCCUUUUCAGUUUUUAUUUCUUCUCUUAGUGGAAUAAGUCUUUAGUGUUCAGUUUGAGUCUUUUGCUUUGUGUCUCCCCCGAUGUAUUCGAGCUCGCGAGCUAUAUAAUAAAGAGUAUUUUAGUCAAGGGCUUUGUUUUGUGUCGUGAUCAAAAGUAUUAUAAGAACGAUAGCAUGAAAGAUCAUGAGAUGAUCUUAUGGAAAGUAAUAGCUUCACAUAUCACAAGUAUGAUGAUUGAAACUUGUUGAGAAUAGACCAACAUAGACCCCAGUCAUUGUUGCAUUUAAUAAGAAAUAAUAAGGAAAGAGAGGUUCACAUAUAAAUAUAUCAUCUUAUACACUUUAUACAAUUGUGAGCACUCACCAAACUAUUACAUGCUUAGAAGAAGAUGUUGGACAAGGAAGACAACAUAAUGAAUUGUGUUUGUUUGGUUCCAAACAAUGUUAUAUGCCUAGAGAUCCCUUAGCAUGUGACGAUUGCUUCCACCUCAUAUUAGCCAAAACUUCUGCACCAAGUAGAGAUACUACUUGUGCAUCCAUAAACCUUCAACCCAGUUUUUCCAUGAGUGUCCACCAUACCUACCUAUGGAUUGAAUAAGAUCCCUCAAGUAAGUUGUCAUCGGUGCAAGCAAUAAAAAUUGCUCUCUAAUAUGUAUGAUCUAUUAGUGUGUGGAAAAUAAGCUUUGUACGAACCUGUGAUGAGGAAGACAUAAAAGCGACAGACUGCAUAAUAAAGUUCUUUAUCACAGGAGGCAAUAUAAAGUGAUGUUCCUCCGCACUAAGAGGACACGCAUCCUAACCUCAAAAGCGCAUGACAACCUCUUCUUCCCUCUGCGAAGGGCCUAUCUUGUACCUUUACUUUUUGCCCUUGAAAGAGUCAUGGUGAUCUUCACCAAUUCCUUAUUUUGCCUUUGUCUUGGCUACCGUCACAAGCUAGGGAAAGAUCUAUAUUCAUAUAUCAACUUGGAGGUGAGUACUUAUGCUUUAUUAUUGUUGACUUCACCCUUGAGGUAAAUGGUUGGGAGGCAAAAUUAUAAGCCCCUAUCUUUCUCUGUGUCCAACUGAAACUUUGAUACCAUGAGUACCACGUGAGUUGUAACAAUUGUGGAAAACAAAAGAGAUGAUUGAGUAUGUGGCUUUGCUUUACAAGCUCUUAUUUGACUCUUUGUGAUGUUAUGAUAAAUUGCAUCUGCUUCAAUGACUAUGAACUGUUGUUGGCUACUUCUCGGUAAGGUUUUUGUUUCAUACUUUGCUUUGUGAAGGAAUUGUUACUUUCCCAUAAGAAUCUUUGUGAUGUAUUGAUGUUCUAUGUGUGAUCAUGAUGCCCUCAUGUCUGUAUUAUGUUUUAUCGACACCUUCAUCCCUAAACAUGUGGACAUGUUCGUGGAUCUUUGUUUUCGCUUGAGGACAAGCAAGGUCUAAGCUUGGGGGAGUUGAUACGUCCAUUUUGCAUCAUGCUUUCAUGUUGAUAUUUAUCGCUUUAUGGACUGUUAUAUUACUUUGUGGUACCAUACUUAUGCCUUUUCUCUCUUAUUUUGCAAGGUUUAUUUGAAAAGGGAGAAUACCGGCAGCUGGAAUUCUGGACUGGAAAAGGAGCAAGUCUGAGUCCUCUAUUCUGCGCAACUCCAAAUGCCCUGAAUAUCAACGUGGAAUUUUUUAGGAAUAUAUAAAAAAUAUUGGGCGAAAGAAGUGCCAGAGGGGCGCUACCAGGGGCCCACAAGCCUGGUAGCCGCCGCCCCCCUGGUGGCGGCUACACGGCUUGUGGGCACCCUGGCGGCCCACUGCCCCCCCUCUUUUGCUAUAUGAAGGGUUUCGUCCAGGAAAAAAAUUAGGGUGGAACUUUUUCGUGGAUUCUCCGCCGCCACGAGGCGGAACUUGAGCAGAACCAAUCUAGAGCUCCGGCAGGACGAUCCUGCCGGGGAAACUUCCCUCCCGAAGGGAAAUCGUCGCCAUCGUCAUCACCAACACUCCUCUCUCGGAGGGGAGUCAUCUCCAUCAACAUCUUCAUCAGCACCAUCUCCUCUCCAAACCCUAGUUCAUCUCUUGUAACCAAUCUUCGUCUCGCGACUCCGAUUGGUACUUGUAAGGUUGCUAGUAUUGUUGAUUACUCUUUGUAGUUGAUGCUAGUUGGAUUACUUGGUGGAAGAGUUUAUAUUCAGAUCCUUGAUGCUACUCAUUACACAUCUGAUCAUGAUUAUGAUUAUGCUUUGUGAGUAGUUAGUUUUGUUCCUAAGGACAAGGGAUAAGUCAUGCUGAUAAUAGUCAUGUGAAUUUGGUAUUCGUUCGGUAUUUUGAUAUGCUAUAUGUUGUGUUUUCCUCUAGUGGUGUUAUGUGAACAUCGACUACAUAACACCACCCUCUCCUAGCAAAAUUUGUUUGGCUAAGUAGGCUUGCUCAGCUUCUAAUGAAUAGCUUUGCUAGUUGCACGUGCCAGCUGUCUCAUGUGUUAACAUGAGUAUUUUGAUAUCAUUAUGUUUAACUGCUAUUUAAUUAAUGCACAUAUAUACUUGGUAAAUGACAGAAGGCAUAGCCUUUUGUUGGGUGAUUUGUUCCGUUGUUGCCGCCUUAGUUUCGGUUACCAGUGUUUGAUUCCAUAACUGAUCGCUCCUAACACGUUCGGGGUUGUUAUGGGGACCCCCUUGAUAAAUCGUGUAGUGUUAAGGCUUGUCUGGGAGGACCCAACAUUGGUUUUAAUCUGCUAAUCACUUAAUAAUAAUUUGUAUAGGGAAUAGCUACCCCGAGGAUUUAAUCAACAACCCUGGCUAGUGCUCCUCAUGAGUGUUGGUCCCACCUGAGCGAUGUCCGGGGCCCCCCUGGUCACCCAGUGGUUUAGCCAACCCGAUGUCUAGCUCAUCCGUCGUGUCCUAAGACUAAGAUACAUGGCUCUUAUCGGGGUCGUCGACACGACGGGAGGUCCUGCUAGAUUUAUCUUACCUUAGCGAUAUAUCUUGUGUAUAGGAAUCCCGGUGAAACUUUGGGUCUCCUCAGAGGCAUUUAUAUCAAUUGGUAGGAAGCGAGCAUAUUUCGAUGGAAACAUGAUUCUAAGCAUAACGAAGCUAGAUACGGUAUCAAGGUCACGGUCAUCUUGCGUGUGAAUUCUUCAGCUUGGAACUGCUCGUGAUCUUCGUGCACGUACUCUCCAGAAUCCACGUACUUGCUCUCCGAUCCCGAUGCUACCCAAGAUAAAAUAACACCCAAUGAACACCAACACAACAUGAUGCAACAGAAAAUAUGAUGCAUGAGUGAAGAAGGAAGCAUGCAUCACUAUUCUAGUCACUUUCAUAUGCAUUAGUUGAGUCAAUAAACUUCUGGACAGAACUUCAUAUUAAGUUAUCUUGACAUGUAUGAUGAUGGCACCCAGCUGACGUGGCAGUACGACGAGGAGUCUGACCGACUGUACGUGAACUAUCCGGAGGACUGAGGUCGUGGUCGUGAUCAUGGGCCAGCAUGUGGGAUGUCAUAGCUCUUUUACUUGUUUCAUGUUGUCCGUAGCGGGACUAAACUUUGCUCUGAAUAAUUGUGUGGUUGUAAACCUUAUGUUAUACUAUGUCAGAUGGCAAGUGUAUGCCCUACUUGUCAUUCUUCGGUUAUGUAAUGUUAUGAUUAUCUCACUUGCGAAACGUUUAGAUGUGCCUCUUUCCCUUUUGGGGCAUCGCCCCCAAAAUAGGAAAGGGUCGCAUCUUAGUCGUUACAGUUUUGAAGUUUUAGAGAAGUCUUUAAUAAAUCUCCUAUAGAAACCAGCAUGACCGAGGAAACUACGAAUACCUCUGAUGUCCCUUGGAUAAGGCAUUCUCUCGAUUGCUUCAAUCUUUGCCCUGUCCACCUCGAUUCCUCUUUCAGAAAUCUUGUGGCCAAGAACAAUUCCCUCAUUGACCAUGAAGUGGCACUUCUCCCAGUUGAGUACUAAGUUCGUCUCCUCACAUCUCUACAAAACUUUAUUAAGGUUGUGGAGACAAUGGUCAAAACAGGUUCCAUAGACGGAGAAAUCGUCAAUGAAGACCUCCACAAUCUCCUCACAAAAACCAUGAAAAAUAGCGGACAUACACCUUUGAAAAGUAGCACGAGGAUUGCAUAAACCAAAAGGCAUACGUCUAUAAGCAUAAGUACCAAAGGGACAAGUAAAAGUGGUCUUCUCUUGAUCGGCAGUGUCAACAUGAAUUUGAGAGAAGCCAGAGUACCCAUCAAGACAGCAAAAGUGAGUGUUUUGGAUAAACUUUCAAGCAUUUGGUCAAUGUAUGGCAGCGGGUAGUGGUCCUUCCUUGUUGCCUUGUUCAGCUUCUUGUAAUCAAUACACAUUCUAUAUCCAAUAAUAAUUCCUUGAGGUAUUAGUUCAUUCUUAUCAUUAGGAACCAUAGUCGUACCUCCUUUCUUGGGAACACAAUGUACUAGACUUACCCACUUACUAUCAGCUAUGGGGUAGAUAAUACGUGCGGCUAGAAGCUUGAGGGUUUCGGUCCUCACAAUAUCCUUCAUCUUCGGGUUUAACCAUCGUUGAUGAUCAACCACCGGUUUAGCAUGAGGCUAAAGAUUGAUAGUAUGCUGACAAAUAGAUGGACUGAUCCCCUUAAGAUCAUCAAGGGUAUAGCCAAUAGCGCCUCGGUGUUUACGAAGGACUUCCAAUAAUCGCUCUUCUUCAUAUCCUGAAAGGUUAGAAUUGAUAAUAACAGGAUAUACUUUCUUUUCAUCUAAAUAAGCAUACUUGAGCGUACUAGGAAGAGGUUUGAGAUCAAACACCGGGUCUUCUUUUGGUUUCGAUAAAAUUCCCAAAGACUCAACCGGAAGGUUGUGCUUCAGGAUAGCAGGUUGUCUCAAGAAUAUGUCAUCUAGUUCAUUCGUUUCCUGCAUAUGCAUAUCAUUCUUGUGGUUCUCCAUAAAUUGUUGAAAACGAUUGUUAGGAGGAAUAGCAAUAGAAGCAAUCUCUUCAAUAAUAAUAUCGUUACUAGGAAGUCAGUACCACGAGUUUGCUUCGAGAAUUUAGAAAAGUUAAAUUCAUAUGGCUCACCAUUAAAUUCAAUAGAUACUUUUCCUUUCCUGCAAUCUAUAAUAGCUCCACAAAUUUUGAGAAAAGGCCUACCAAAGAUAAUAGGGCAAAAACUAUCUUGUACUGAACCAAGUACUAGAAAGUCGGCAGGAUAUUUUACCUUUCCACACAGAACUUCAACAUCUCGCACAAUUCCAAUAGGAGAGAUAGUUUCUUUGUUUGCAAGAUGAAUCGUAACAUCAACUUCUUCAAUUUCACAUGGUAGAAUCUCAUUCAUGAUCUCUUGAUAAAGUGAAAAGGAAUAGCACUAGCACUAGAUCCCAAAUCACAUAGCCCAUAAUAAUUAUGAUCUCCUAUUUUAACAGAUACAACUGGAGUACCUAAAAUUGGGCAUUUAUUCUUGGCUGUAACAAGGUUAGUGAAACAACACAAAAAAUUAUAUUAGAAUCCUCAAUAUUACUAGUAACAAGAUCCUUGACUAAUGCAACUUGAGGAUCGACUUUAAUCAGGUCCUCAUGCUCAUCAGUCGUUCUUUCACUUUUAUUCAGGAUGUGUGUGACAAAAGAAUGCUCCCUCAUCCUUGCGGGAAAAGGGGGCCUUUCAUAUUCAAUUAUAGGCAAGAUAGGGUCAACAACAUUAAUAUCAACAGGUAAUUCCUUAAAAGGUUUAUGAUGUUGAUCCUCCUUCUUCUCAGAAGAGUCAAUAUGAGAGGCAAAGUCUUUGCAAAAAUCAAUUAGAAGCUGGGAAUCAAGACCAAUCUUAGCGCAAAAGGUAUUGAAGUAAUCAGUUUUCACAUAGCUCUCAAUGUAAUCACGCUCAUAAUUUAUAACGGGUUCAAUACCUUUAUCAAUCUCCCAGUCUCCAGUGUUCUUCUAGAUCCUUUCAAUAAGAUCCCACUUAGCUUCAGUGCUUUUGUUGGAGAAUGCCCCACUAGAGGAAGCAUCAAGCAUCUCUUUAUCUUGACGAGAAAGCCUUGCAUAAAAAUUUGUGAGAAUAAUUUCUUUGGAGAGCUCAUGAUUGGGGCAUUUGAGCAUUAAGGAUUUCAAUCUCCCCAAAGCUUGAGAGAUGUUUUCUCCGUCACGAGACCAAAAGUUAUAAAUAUAAUUCAUGUCUCGAUGUAUUUCAUGAAGAGGAUAAAACUUUGCAUAAAAGAGAGGCAUAAGAUCUUGCCAAUUUAGUAAAUGAGAAUCAUCAAGAAGCCUAUACCAAUCCAAAGCCUUAUCUUUUAAUGAUAGAGAGAAUAAAUUUCUCAUAACAAAAUCCAUCGAUAUACCUGCGAGCUUAAAUAAGGAGCAUAGUUGUGAAAGAUAUAGCAAGUGUUCACCUGGAUGUCUAUCUCCUGCAUAUCGAUUAGCCAAAACACAAUCAAUAAUACCAGUUGGUAUUUUAAAAGGCACAGUUUCAGUAGGUGGGGGAGGCUUAUCCACCACAAUAGCGUUGGGGCGGUUCCCCACAAGCCACAAACCAAGAGCAGAGUGGUCCAUAGGGACAAAAAGAGGGAACAAUAAAACAAAAACAGCACGUAGAGUGUAAAGGUUUCCUUACCAAUUUCACGUACCAAUAGCGCUACACUCCCUGGCAACAGCGCCAUAAAAUGGUCUUGAUGACCCACAACUAUAGGGUAUCUAUUGUAGCCUUUUAGAUAAGUAAGAGUGACAAACCCAACGAGGAGCAGAAGGUAUUGACAAGUGAUCUUGAGCAAGGAAUAAAUGCAAGUAUUGAAAGGUAGCUUUUUAUGGUUUUUCUAGUAUAAGCAACAAGGAAAUAAAUGCAAGUAAAGUAAAUGGUGACGAGGUGCAGCAAGUGGCCCAAUCCUUUUGAACACAAAGGAUAAGCCGAGGGACUAAACUUAUAAAGACUAAGGCGUUCCUCAGGACACACGGGAAAGAUAGUCAAGUGCUUUCGUCAUAUUCCGUCUAGUACUAUGUUUUGUAUUGAUAAGUGUUAUGUGGGUGGAUCUUAACUAGUGCACGUCUAAGCUAAGACAAGUAAACUCUUAUGAUUAAUGCCUCUUGCAAGCAUCCUCAAAUACAAGAGAGAAAUUAAGGCAAAACCUAACCAUAGCAAUAAGCUUUAGGAUCCCAUACUCCCUCAUGCAAAAGUAUGCAAACUGGGGUUCAUGUUUCUGUCACUCCAGCAACCCACCAUAAGCAUUCUUUAUACACGAUGCAUCCCCCUAGGUCCUUAAAAAGGCGAAGUGGUAUGUAGUCGGCGUUCACAUAACACCACUAGAAUAAUAAGAACAUAACUUAAAUAUCAAUCAACACAUAUUACUUCAACAUCAUAUGACUACUAACAUCUAGACUUUUCCCAUGUCCUCAAGAACUAUUGGAACUACUCACAAGACAUAAAAGAGAUCAUAAUCAGAGGUGAUGAAAAUAUGAUUAACAAUCUUGUCAUAACAAUAAUCCUCCAACAAAACUAAAUAGCAUUCACCACAAAAGAGUAAUCAAAACCGGUAGAGUAGAGGGGAUGAAUAGUGCAAGGUACAACUCCGAUUGUAAUGGUGGAGUAGAUGGGAUGAAGAUGGAGAUGGUGUUGGUGUUGGUGAAGAUGGUGAUGAUGAUCUCGAUGAUGCCGGUGACGAUGGUGAUGACGAUGAGGACGAUCUCCCCUUCCGGGAGGAGUUCUCCCCGACGGAAUCUGCCCGCCGGAAAGGUCUUUUCUUCUCUGUAGGUUUCCGCCGCGGAGCGGCGGCGGAAUCACGAAAACUCUUCUGUCCCCCCAAUUUUUAGGUCAAGAGAGACAUAUAGGCCAAAGGAGAGUGUCAUAGGUCGGGCUCGUCACUCACGCGGCAUCGUGGCGCGGACUAGGGGGCGUGCCAGCAGGUCGCCUGGGUGACCUGUGGCCCCCCUCCGGCCCUUCUUUGGCCUGUCUUCGGGACCCGUUCGGAAACUUCUUCCCUCAAAAUAUCAGCUCAAUUGGAGAUGUUUUGAUAUUCCAACUCUUCGUGCUAUUUUAUCCGCUGAAUCUUGUGUUUGUUGUUUCGGCACCGGAAAGUUGGACACUGUGUAAAAUAAGCCAAAACACUAUAAGUACAUCAUCAAAAAGUGAAAUAUAUCAAUGAAUAGAGAUAACUAUGAUACAAAAUAGUGAUGCAUUUUGGACGUAUCAAUCCCUUCCCACCAGAAUGAUAUGGGAAGAGGACGAGGGCCUCCACCAUAAAGACAGAGGGUAGGAUACUUCGAGGGGGGUGGAUUCAUUCUCAUUCGCCCACCUUUACACCACUAAGGCCACCUAGCCUCAGGAGGCCGAAGAACAUUGUACUAGCUCAUACACCUACCUCCACGAGAGGCAAUCCACCAAAUCAGGAGUAGGGUUUUACACUUCGCAGCGGCCUAAACCUGGGUAAACAGUUGUGUUCUCUAUUUCCCUCACCAUCGAGUGAGUUCUUCGUCGUUCCCAUCGAGUAGCGAGCUAGGCGAGGCCAGGCCGUGAGAGAUCUUUGUACACGCCCCUGAGUUUGAAUCUUUAGGGUUCUGCGGAUCCCGAAAUCUGACAUCUCUUAAGCGCUCAAAAUUAUUUUUACUAACUUAUAGCUGCCCCCGAUAUGGUGUGUGGAUAAGAUGGAUUGUUGGGAGGCGUUGGUGGAUGAGUGGUGCACAGGCAACUGGCUCAUCCACGACAAUGCUAAGGAGUGGCAUGCCCAAAUGGUUGGUGUGCCACACCAUCAAGGCAGCUCCAACUUAAUUCAGCUCGGACGGAACUGGGGACGUGGUUUGCUCCCUUAUUCAUGCAAUUAAUUAUUCAUGCUAGAUUGAUCCCUUUACUAAUACUCUGUUCCUCCCUUUUAGGCGCAUCACAAUAAUAUGGAGGUGCCAGAGUUGUACGACCUUUAUGGCAUGGCCCAUACUACCCCCUACAAGAAGGCCAAGGCAUUCUCUGAGUCUGACCUGGAUCAUCCACAGAUGUUCACCAAUAUCUCCUCCCACCACAAGCUCGUUAAAUACAGAGACGUGGGGAAGGCUAGGAAAGGGGAGGACUUUAACCCAAACCAGGAACCUUUGGAUCCAGAGCUGGUGAUGAUAUCUGGCGGCAGGAGGCCCCAUGGCUCGAUAGCCAUUGGAGAUGGGAUAAUACGUUGUCCACUCACUCUCCUGGAGAUCAAGGCGCGCCAGUCGAGCUCCUGUCCUGAGAUAACACCUCGUCCACGGCCAGUCGAUCUCGCCAUCGAGGUUAGUUGUACGGACUCAGAGAACUUUCAUCCAUUUCAUUGUGUGUGUGGCCAUCGAUCAUUAUAGUGGUAAUGAGGUCGCGGGCUUCUCUUCGGAAAGAGAGAGCGGAAAACCAAUAUGCUCUUGAGAAAGAGAGAGUUGCAAACCAGGCUGCUCUUCAGGAUGCUCUUGAUGAGAGGGACCAGAACACGGCUCGGUUGUUGGAGGAGGAGAGGGCCCAGAAUGAUGCAGGUCACCUCGCCAUGUACGAGCUUAUUGUGGUAAGUUCCUGUUUCACAUUACCAAAUCAUGUGUGUAAUGUUGGUUUCAUUAGUAACUAAUACGACCGACUCUUCAAAACCAAAUGUGUAGUCUAUGUGCGAGAAGACCGGUCAGCCCCCUCCGCCGAUGCCCGUCUUUUCUGUGAUUGGCACGGUGAGUUUGAUUUCAAUGGUCAAUAUAAACUAGUAUUAAAAUUUGAGUGUCAUCAUGCUAACGAGACAUUGCAAAAUAUCUUUUCUGCAGAAUAACUCCCGACCGGCAUCGCACGACCCUUCUCGAGGGCGACCGUCUCCAAAUGCAACCGGUACGAGCAACCCUAGUGCUUCUCCUAGAUGACCACGAUGGUAAGUUUUCUCUAGUUCAUUUAUGACAUAAUUAGUUAAUUUAGCUCCAAAAUGACGUAAUUAGCUAAUUUCUCCGCUUUCUUCUUCUCCUUAGCUUAUUUUCCCAACAAAGACAUACUUAGCUAAUUAUCCUCCAAAAUGACAUAAUUAGCUAAUUUAGCUCCAAAAUGACAUAAUUAGCUACUUUAGCUCCAAAAUGACAUAAUUAGCUUAGUUAGGUAAAAACAUCACAAAAACCUUUAUUAGCUCAUAACUUAGUGUAUCUUCCUCCUAAAUGACAUAAUAAGCUUUUCCUCCUAAAUGACAUAUCCUUUUCCUCUCCUUCUUGUUCUUCUUCUCCUCCUUCCNNNNNNNNNNNNNNNNNNNNNNNNNNNNNNNNNNNNNNNNNNNNNNNNNNNNCUCCUCUUUCUUCUCCUCUUUCAUCUUCUCCUUAGCUUAUUUUCCCCAACAAUGACAUAAUUAGCUAAUUUAGCUCCAAAAUGACAUAAUUAGCUAGUUUAGCUAAUUUAGCUCCAAAAUGACAUAAUUAGCUAAUUUAGCUCCAAAAUUACAUACUUAGCUAAUUUAGCUCCAAGAAUAGGAGAAGAGGAGAAGAAAGAGGAAAAAUGAAAANNNNNNNNNNNNNNNNNNNNNNNNNNNNNNNNNNNNNNNNNNNNNNNNNNNNNNNNNNNNNNNNNNNNNNUUCUUCUCCUUCUUCUUCUCUUCUUUCUUCUCCUCUUUCAUCUUCUACUUAGCUUAUUUUCCCCAAUAAAGACAUACUUAGCUAAUUAUCCUACAAAAUGACAUAAUUAGCUAAUUUAGCGCCAAAAUUACAUAAUUAGCUUAGUCAGGUAAAACAACAUCACAAGAACCUUGGUUAGCUCAUAACUUAGCGUAUCUUCCUCCUAAAUGACAUAAUAAGCUCAAAAUGGCUUAAGAACCUUGGUUAGCUCAUAAAUAUUAUAUACUUAGCUUGGUUUCCCCUAAAAUGACAUAAUUAGCUUAGUUAGGUCAAAAAAGGCAUAAGAACCUUUGUUAGCUCAAAAAGUUCAUAUACUUAGCUUAUUUUCCUCCAAAAUGACAUAAUAAGCUCAAAAAGUUCAAAUAUUGUUGUUGCUCUUCUUCUAACUUUCUUAUUCCCAUUUUUCACAUUAGAUGUACUACAUGGAAGCCGACAUUGAUGUAGUGCUUUAGUUUUUGUUUUCAUUCGAGUUGAUGAUAAUGUGGAACUAUAUGUAUAUGUAUAUAUGGAUGAACAGCGUAAAACAUUGUAUGUUGGUUCUUUCGAUAAAUGGGCUGUGAUUGAUGAACAAAUGGCAUUGAUGAACUUUAUAUGUAUAUUAUAUAUGUGUUGUGAACUAUAUAUGUGUGAUGUGAACUAUAUAUCAUAUAUGUGUUGUGAAAUAUAUANAGUCAGUUGUGCAACCUGGGGCAACAUGGGGCUGGCCCAUAUGGUUACUUUGUCGUCUGCUGCCUGGGAAGGCAAACGACAAAGACAGUAGAGAGGCAGGCGGCAAAGAUAGUGCGACAGGCAGGCGAAAAAGAUAGUGAAACAGGCAGACGGCAAAUCCAUGCAAACAAUAAGACGACAACGAUAUUGAGGAGGCAGACAGCAAAGACUAUGAAAUAGGUAGACGGCAAAGAUUUUCAAAAGAGACACACGGCAAAUGCUCCGUUAGCCACCUAAUGGAGUAGUUGCCUGUCGGUUGCCAUGUACAGAUCUUUGCCGUUUGCUUCGAUAGAUGGCUGACGACAAAGGUCUUUGCCGUCCGCUUUGUGUUGGUGGAUGGCAAAGAAGGUACUUUAUUGUUGAAAGGUGUCGCAGAAAUUUUGCCGACACGAAGCUGAUGGCAGUAGCCUUUGUCGUCCGUGGAACACCCCUUUGUCGUCUACUAUGGAAAACGGCAGAGUCUGAUUCCUGUAGUGAAUGUCUUACCUUCAGCUUGAGCCAAGAAGAAACAAUAACAUCAAGCUCAAGUAUAAGGCCUGACUCAAAGGUAUUAGUUCCUUUGACGUUAGUGGUGCGGAGUGAUGAUCACCAAACAAACAUAUACACUCAAGUAUGGAUUAUCGGUAGCUAUGUAGUGUAGAUCUUUUACGAUUCUUGAGUUUUAGGGACCCCAUAAUAUUAAGAAGGGAUCACUGGGUAUCGCAAGAAACUUGCUCAAAACUCUAGGCAAUUCCACUAUCUCUAUCUUCCUGGUUGGUCUGCUCCUAUUCGGUCGUCCGGUGGUUCUCGGGCGUCCGGACCCCGGAUGGCCGACACCGUCUGGAAAUCCGGAGCCAGCCAACAGAGUCAAACCUUCGACUUCUGGCCCCUCCGGUCGUUCGAGAACUAGACGUCCGGGUAUGGUAGGAAUUCCGUUGCCACCAAACAGAUCCAAAAUGUCGGACUUUCGACCAUUCUGGGCGACCGUGUUCCGGACGGACGAUGCCUUUCGGUCGUUCGUGUGUUGUUCACUUUUUCACCUGAUGCUGACCUAAUAUCUUCUGUGUCUUCGGACGACCGACGUCCUCCGGACGACAGUAUGCUGAUUACCUCUUACCAAACACUUUGGUAAUCAGAUACCUUGUGCAUCUUUCGGACGACCGACCACUAUCGGACGUCCAAACCCUCUUGGUUGUCCGGGCGAUCGUGAGCUGCCGGACGUUCGGCAACUGCACAGCAUAAGUGGCUCCAACGGUCACCUUUUUUCACCACUAUAUAUAGUCUUCUCCCACCUCGAGCGGGAGGUGCCAAACACAGCCAAAAGAUUCCAAGAACAUCUUUCUUUCUCACUCCCAUUUGCCUACACCAAAAGAUAGAUCCCAAGUGCUUCUGUGAGUGCCUUUUAGGGUUGCUCCAAUCAAAAGAUAGAUCGUAUCCCUCUCCUCCUCUCAAUCCAAGAUAUUUGUGAUUUGAGAAAGUUUUCAGAAGUUCUCGUGAUCUUGUUACUCUUGGAGGUUGGAGACUCCUAGGCGGUAGUACUUCUUCGGAGAGGAAUCAAACCGUUGUGAUUACCCCCGGAAAGUUUGUGAGGGUUUGGAAGCCACCUCAAAGGCUUACCACUAGUGGUUGAGAAACGCCUUCGUGGUGUUGUCUCAAAGGGAGAAUAGGGUGAGCCUUCAUGGCCUUGGUGUGCCUUCGUGGUAACAUCCACCUCUCUAACGGUGACUAGCUUCCCUCCAAGGAAGUGAACAUUGGGAUACAUCCUCGUCUCCGUGACUUCGGUUAUCCCUAACCCUAACUCCUUGCUUGCGUCUUACCUUGGUUACUUGAGCGUACAUUCACUACAUAUUGUUGUCCGCAUUAUAUUGUGUUGGCUAUUUCCCUGUAAAGAUUAAUCAGUCAGGCCUACAUUUUAUAACCCGGAGUUCAUACUUGCUACUAUUGGUAUAUCUUGUGUUUAGUGUGAUUUGCUAACUUGUGUCAUACACUUACACAUCUUGUGAUACUGCUCAAGUAACUUUGUGUAACUUACUUGUGCUUGUGAGUAAUCUUGUUGUGAUUCAUCUUGGUAGAACAAGUUGUUGGUGCACGUAGUUGAGCCUAGUAUAUUUAGGAUUUGUGCUUGAAAAGUAUCCUCUUUAGUUUAUUUCCGCAUUAGGAUUAAGCCAAAUCCGUAGAAGUUUCUAAAACGCCUAUUCACCCCUCCCUCUAGGCGACAUCGUGGUCCUUUCAAUUGGUCUCUCCUUAUUCGGCUUCACCGCCUAGAGAGUAUCGAUGUCGACUAUUGGAUUAGUGCACAAUGACACCUUGACUUUGAUGGCACAAAUUAUCACUUGUGGAGAAUUUGUAUGCUUUAUCACCUUCGGGCCAUGGGCCCAAAUUCUUUAGGAAUUGUUCUCGUAGGGAUUGCUGCUGCAAAGGAUGAUCCAUCUCCAUCUAUAGAUGACAUGUAUCUUGAUUGUGAGGCCUCCCUUGCAUUCAUCAAACUAUAAACCCUGAAGUGUUUAAGUCAAUCUCGACUUGCAAGUCGGCUCAUGAAGUUUGUACCAAACUCAAAGAUAUAUAUGGUGGGUCCAAUCUCGAUGAAGACAAUAUUAUGUUGAAGGAAUUGGUGCACGAGCUCUUCACACUUUUCUAUCAUGAAGAGACCUCCAUUACUUCCAUCUCUGAUUACUUGCACACUUCAGCAUCUUUUACUCCAUCAACAUGUGGUGUGCCACAAGAUAAUGACAUGGUGAGUGAAGAAAUAUCUCGUGAUGAUGGUGUUAAGCUCAUUAUUAAUGAACUUGCUUGUGUUGAUGAUAAUGUUGUAUCCUCUAUGAACAUGGGCAUAUCUAGCACCACAUAUAGUGUAAAUUACUGUGUUGAUAGUUCAUGCAUACAACCUAAGGAUUCCUUGACAAAUGUUUGUGGUGAUAUGCUUGCUCUCCCGUGUUUCCAUGAUCAAACUGCUUUGGUUCCCUCUAGUUUCCCUAUGACUAACCAUUUAAGGGAAAUCAAGAAAAAUGAGGCACUUUUGACUGAUGAAGAACCUGGUUCUCCAAAAUAAUCAUCAUCAACUCCCUUUGUUCACAUGUGCCUCAUGGCAAGAGGUAAUGAUGAGGUAUUAUCUUCUCUUACUGAUAACGAUGAUAUUUGUAAUGAGGAUGAUGAUGAUGACUUGACUGAAAUCUCUAUGUGAUUGGUAAAAUUCUUCAUAGAGCUAAAAAUAACGCCUAUAAAAGGUUUCAAGAUGUUCUUGCUUACUUUGAAAAUUGUAAUGAUUCACUUAUGUACGAACAAGCUAAAAGUGAACAACUUGAAUAUGAACUUGAUAAGGUUCAUCAAACAUGUAGAGACUUAAGAUCUUCAAAAGGAGAGAUUGAAUGAUCAUGGUAAACUUAAAGAGGAUUUUGAGCUCCUUCUCCUUGAAUGCAAUAAUGUCAAUGGAGAGAUCAUCAAAACCUCUAAGAUCAAUGAGGAGCUUCAAUCUACUCACGAGAAGUCUCUAAUUGCCACUUACUCCUCUCAUAUUGUCGAUGAUACUUGUGCAUCUAACUCUACUUCAUUUGAAGCAUCAACGUUGAAGGAUAAUGUUGAGUUAUGUGCUCAACUUGAUUUGUUAACCAGCAAUUAUGGGAAAUUGGAAGAAAUUCAUGAAAAUCUCUUAAGCACUCAUGAGGAUCUUCUAAUCUCUCAUAAUGAGAUAAAGUUAGCACUUGAGACUAUGGCAAUCAAGGUAAAAUCUUGUGAGUCUCAUGUGAACAUUAGCACAUCUACUAUAAAUGCUUUAUUUACAUGUGUUAAUCCUUGUAAAUCAUCCAUCUCUCAUAUUAUUACCAAUCAUGAUGGAUUGCUCGCAUUGUCUUGUUGCUCUAACCAUGAAGUUUCUACUUCCACUAGUCCUCUUGUUUCUAGUGUUGAAACUAACCAUGUAGAAGAAAUUAAUGAGCUCAAGGCCCAAGUCACUAGUUUGAAGAAAGACUUGAAAAAGUGUGAUGAUGGACAUACUUAUCACCGCAAUAAUAAGAAGUCCAUGAACAAGAAAAGGGGACAAGACCAAGCCACGAACAAGUCCAACAUUUCUUGCUUUAAGUGCAAAAAGGUUGGGCAUCACGUGAGAUCCUGUCCAUUAAAGAUCAGGGUGUAUAAGGAUAUGCUACAUGGGAAGAGGUCUCAAGAUCAAUCUCGAGCUCAAGCUCAUGUUUUAGAACAACCACUAUGCAUGAUGAAACAUGUUACUUCUUCCCAAGUUGAGAGAGUAAAGAAGAAGAACAGAAAAGGCGGUACAUGUUGAUAUAUCUGUCGAAAGAAGGGGCACAUAUCUUCAACAUGCCCCACUGGUAACAUAUCUAAACCUCCAAUUAUCAAUGAUCAUUUUUCACUUAGGAAGGAUAUUUUUGGCAAUGUGUUUGCCAAGUAUGUUGGUGCUCAAAGUGGUCCGGAAGUGGAUAAGACCAUUUGGGUUGCCAAGCCUAUUGUUACUAACUUCUUAGGACUCAACUUGCUUGGGGACCAUCAAUCUCAAACCUGAUAGGUCUGUGGAGGGCAUUGGAGACUUGGCUAGUUCAUGAAGAAAAAUUAUUUUCACCAUUUAUUAUGGUUCAAGCCUAGUCAAGAAUAUUACCAUCAUAUCUGUCAUUACAAUGCCUCUCCUAGCGGUAACGUGUGUAUAUCGUCUACAUUGAAAGUUACUAGCCCCUCUCAUGUUUAGGUUUGGUACCUACCAUGUGUUUUGACAUGUUGCACCUCCUAGUAUGCUUGAUUUGAGUUAUCUAGCAUGUGGGGGUUGUUGUGCAUGUCAUAUAUUGUGUGUGUAGUCAUGAUCCUUACUUGCAUCCUGGUUGCACCUUACGGGGCUCUUUUGAGACAUUAAUGGGUCAUCACAUUGUGGGGGAGUGUCAUGCUCUACGCACAUCACUAACCUAAAAUGUGUAUAUAUUGUACACCACCUAGUAUUUAUAGUGCAAGAUUAUCUAGUUACUUUGUGGUAUGUCAAGGUCAUCUAAAAGUUCACUUUCUCAUCCAUUGAGUAUUUUUAGUUGGAUUUAAAUUUCCUCGUAUGGAAAAUACAUGGAUUAUCACAUUAUGGGGGAGUGAUAUGCUUUGUGCAUAUCACAAUCCUUGGUAAUAUAAACAUUCGAUGAAUGCCACUUAGAAUAUAUUAUUGAGAUUAUUCUAUAUCUUUGUGUCUUGCCAUGGUCAAUGUGUCUCUUUGCAUAAUAAUUCUUUUUGUCUUUAGUUCCUUAGAUGUGUAUGGGUAUAAAUGACUUUGUGCUUAUCUGGAAUCUAUCACCGGAUGAUAAAUCUAAAUACCAUUGUGUUCUCAUACACAUUGUAUCCCAUGUAUGGUAGAGUUUCAUGGUCAUCUUUAUAUUUGCUUUGCUUCUACUUGCAUUUUAUAAAUAGCCCAGAAAUUCAUUUGUCUCCCGGUAAUCUCCCAUGCAUUUGUUUGAGCUCGUAUUACUAUUUUUAUGAUGUUGUGGGAGUUAUUUACUUAUUACCUAUACUAUAAUAUAUCUACUUGAGUGAGACAUGCAUGUAAGAUUAUGUGCAAUGCAUAUCUUAUAUGCUCAUUUGUUUUUGCUUGGUUCAUGUUUUGAACUUGGUGUGCUAUCAUAUGUUGAUUUCUCACUUUGAUUUAUUUUGGACAACAUGAAUGAUUGGUGAGGUUAUUGGAAGUAUUAACAGUUAUGUGUUCAUUUGUCCAAUUUGUAUCUCUUUGGAUUUUGAUAGGCUUGUGUAGGCAUAUUUACUAUGUGUAAAUUCUCAUGCCUUAUUUAUCAUAUUUUUAUCCAAUAUAUAUAGGGUAAAUCCAUCAUAUCCUUUAAAGCUAAGUUGUGCAUGAAUUUAAAAUUCAUAUCUGUAUGCACAUAAUUGAGUGGUUUUUGCCCUAUAUAUUGUAGUUUGACUGACUACUUCGGAUCCAAUAAGUUUGGGGACCAUAUUGUACUUAAAAGUGAUCUAGGUACUUUGGGGAAGCAUUGUUGUGUUAGCUUAUUCAUAAAGAAGGUGGUGCCAUCACGAGGGAAUUAGAGCCAAGAGUACAUGACUCAACCAUUACUACUCCAUACCAAUGCUUUCUCAGUAACAAGUAUUUACUUCAUGCAUGUAUAAAAGUAGAGUCGACCUUGUGUACGUUGCAUCAUAGGAUGAAAUAGUACUUAUUCUAUUUUGUGUUUUCCUGCUUUUUCUUGAAAACACUGUGUUGCAAUGUUUACACAAUUGAGUAGAAUCGUCUAAUGGGGAUCAACAAAAUCAUAUUCAUGGUUCAUUCAUCCCAAGACAUGCCAAAUAAGCAACUCAUUGCAUGUAAUUUCCUAAAAUGUUCUCUCAUGUGCAGCUUUUAUGAAAAUUCCAAGAACACUAUAAUUGCUUGUAGUAUUGGUAUCUUCGUAGGAAUUCAUGGUCAUGCGAAUGAGAUCAAUUUGUGCCAUGGUCCUUCUGCCAUGUGCCUUGCUCUUAUGUUAGGAUAACAUGUGUAUGAUAAUGGAUUCACUUGUGCAUAUCAUGUUCUUAUCAAUUGUGACUUUUUAUGUAUGCAAGUUUUGUUGUGGAUACAUAGUGUCCACUUAGAAAUUUGGGCACAUAAGUAAGUUCCCAUCUUUGCGAUAUCAAUUGAUCCUUGCUGGUUACUUGGUUCCUUCCUUAUUGAUUCAUUGGUGGUGUCGGUAAGAGGUUGCGAAGUGCCUAUAUGUCUUGCACAUAAUCUUAUGCACUCAUGUGUUUGGAUGUAUUUUGGACCCAUACUUAUCAUAAUGAUCGAUUUGUAUAUUCACAUUAUACCUUGUCCAAAAUAUGUUGUUUGGAUCUUUAAAAUGUUUGUCGAAUGCUUAUUUUCAUAUCCCAUCUAUUGCAAUCUCUAGAUCCUAAGUUCCUCAAAUUUCCUGCCAUUAAAUAUGUACAUUUUAUUUCACUCACAUCUUGCAAUACGCAUACAGUAAGGGGGAACUCAUUGCCUUCGAGAUUUGUCCCAUUUUGGCAUUUGUUUCCAAUGGGGGAGAAGCUUAGAGGAUUUAAGAUAUAUAAAAAUCUUGUUUAUUGCAUGAAUUAGUAUAUAUAGAGCAAAUAGAGAAAACCCCACCUAGUUCAUGUCAACCAAUAUAUGCAAGAAAAUUCAUAGUUCGUUCACACAUGCAUAUAUUGUGGGGGAGCAUGCUCUAUAUAUUUUGUAGGAUUUUGAUGUUAGUACACCGAGUGUGAUAAACUCAAGUAUCUUUGUGACACUUGAUGCUAUCAAGUAUUUUGAUGUUAGUACAUCGAGUGUGAUAUUUUGAUGUUAGUACAUCGAGUGUGAUAAACUCAAGUAUCUUUGUGACACUUGACGCUAUCAAAACCAUCCCAAGUAUUCAAUAUAUCCUUGGGUAAAUUGCAUACUUGUGUUAAAAUUCAUUAUAUAAAUCCUCUUGUUGAGAUUGUCAUCAACUACCAAAAUGGGGGAGACUGAAAGUGCAUGUAGUUCCCAUGUGUGGUUUUGGUAAUUGAUGACAAUCCUAAUGGACUAAUGUUUGCAUUGAGUUAUACAUUUGAAAGAAUGGUCUAUAUGAAACACAUGAAGAAUAUUGGAUGAUUUGAAGUAUGCUUGUUCCAUGAAUAUGCAAGAAGGAGCUCGAAUGAAUUCUAAAUGAAUGUCAUAUACAUAUUGUUGUGCAUGCAUCAAGGAUGAGCUCAAUGAGUGAAUCAAAUAUGAUACGAUCAAGAUGAAUUCCAUGUGAUGAACUAAUGUGGUCUAUGUGGAGUUCAUUGAGGAUCUCAGACAUUCUCAUGCUUUGGCUUAUGGUUUGAGCCAUGAUGGAUCAAGAUCUUGAGAAAAUAAUUAAAGAGAAGAAUUCUACAUAUGUCUUUAAAUAACAUCAUGAUGAGCUCAUAUGUUGUAUCAUGAAGACGAGCAAGUUAUAGCCAAUAUGAGAUUCAUGGAGAAACUUGAUAUGGUCAUGGUGAAUUGAGAUAUUGGCAAUCAUUUCUUAAAGCAAUGAAGCCUAACAAGAAAUCAAUAGGGCCUUCGAGGCAUCAAGAUUAAUUAUGGAUCUAAGAUAAAUGUUGACCAAGAUGAAGACCAAAGAGUUAACUCAAAGUUGGUCAUCACACAAGCACAAAUGAUGUACCACAUGGGAUCGUGUGGUAUGGUAAUUAAUUGUCAAUUGCACGUUGUGUACUAACCCAUACUAUGUGAUGUCUAUGUCUAUAAGGGUUAGGUAAUUCUCAUGGGCCUGCAUCAAGAGAGAGAUUCCAAGUGUCCAUGAGAUGAUGACAUCAAGGGUUCAUGAUCAUGUUUGACAAGGACAAGUUCAAGACAACCAUUUCUAAGGAUUACAUGCUUGAAGCUUGUGGAUGUUCACCUCAUAGACAAAUGAAGAUGAAUACAAAGCAAGGCUUUCCACGUUGUGUAUCGGAGAGCUACUUGAAGACUUCAUCAAUGUCUUGCCUUCAGCUUGAGCCAAUAAGAAACAAUAACAUCAAGCUCAAGUCUAAGGCCUGACUCAAAGGUAUUAGUUCCUUUGACGUUAGUGGUGUGGAUUAUCGGUAGCUAUGUAGUGUAGCUCUUUUACGAUUCUUGAGUUUUAGGGAUCUCGCACUAUUAAGAGGGGAUCACUGGUUCUCACAAGAAACUUUCUCAAAACUCUAGGCAAUUCCACUCUCUCUAUCUUCCUGGUUGGUCUCCUCCUGUCAGGUCGUCCGGUGGUUCUCGGACGUCCGGACCGCCGAUGGACGACGCCGUCCGGAAAUCGGGAGCCAGCCAAUAGAGUCAAACCUUCGGACUUCCGUCCCCUCCGGUCGUCCGAGAACCGGAAAUCCGGGUACGGUAGGAAUUCCGUUCCCACCAAACAGAUCCAAAAUGUCGGACUUUCGACCAUUCCGGGCGACCGUGUCCCGGACGGUCGAUGCCUUUCGGUCGUUUGUGUGUUGUUCACUUUUUCACCUGAUGCUGACCAAAUAUCUUAUGUGUCUUCGAACGACCGACGUCCUCCGGACGACAGUAUGUUGAUUACCUCUCCACCAAACAAUGUGGUAUUCAGAUACCUUCUGCAUCUUUCAGACGUCCGAACACUCGUGGCUGUCCAGACGACCAUGAGCUGCCGAACGUUCAGCAACUGUAGUGCAUAAGUGGCUCCAACGGUCACCUUUGUGCCACCACUGUAUAUAGUCUUCUCCCACCUCGAGCGGGAGGUGCCAAACACAGCCAAAAGAUUCCAAGAACAUCUUUCUUUCUCACUUCCAUUUGCCUACACCAAAAGCUAGAUCCCAAGUGCAUUUCUGAGUGCCUUUUAGGGUUGCUCCAAUCAAAAGAUACAUCGUCUCCCUCUCCUCCUCUCAACCAAAGAUAUUUGUGAUUUGAGCAAGUUUUGAGCUGUCCUCGUGAUCUUGUUACUCUUGGAGGUUGGAGACUCCUAGGCGGUAGUAGUUCUUCGGAGAGGAAUCAAACCGUUGUGAUUACCCCCGGAAAGUUUGUGAGGGUUUGGAAGCCACCUCAAAGGCUUACCACUAGUGGUUGAGAAACGCCUUCGUGGUGUUGUCUCAAAGGGAGAAUAGGGUGAGCCUUAGUGGCGUUGGUGUGCCUUCGUGGUAACAUCCACCUCUCUAAUGGUGACUAGCUUCCCUCCAAGGAAGUGAACAUCGGGAUACAUCCUUGUCUCCGUGACUUCGGUUAUCCCUAACCCUAACUCCUUGCUUGUGGCUUACCUUGGUUACUUGAGAGUACAUUCACUACAUAUUGUUGUCCGCAUAAUAUUGUGUUGGCUAUUUCCCUGUAAAGAUUAAUCAGUCAGGCCUACACUUUAUAUCCUGCAGUUCGUACUUGCUACUAUUGAUAUAUCUUGUGUUUAGUGUGAUUUGCUAACUUGUGUCAUACACUUACACAUCUUGUGAUACUGAUCAAGUAAGUUUGUGUAACUUAUGCUUGUGAGUAAUCUUGUUGUGAUUCAUCUUGGUAGAACAAGUUGUUGGUGCACGUAGUUGAGCCUAGUAUAUUUAGGAUUUGUGCUUGAAAAGUAUCCUCUUAGUUUAUUUCCCCAUUAGGAUUAAGCCAAAUCCGUAGAAAUUUUUAAAACGCCUAUUCACACACACCCCCCUCUAGGCGACAUCGUGGUCCUUUCAAGUAAUUUGUUUACCCACCGUAUGCUUUCUACGAGAGAGAAGCCUCUAGAGAAAACUAUGGCCCCUAGUCUAUUCACAAAUAUAUUUACAAAAACUCUAAAUACCUCAUUGCAUUUUAUUAUUUGUAUUUACUUAUAUUUACCUAAUAAUAAAGAGGCUAUCGCCUCCGUCGGAAAACCCACCUAGGUGAUUUUAUAAAAAAGCCCUUACUGUUUAUGACAUUAAACUCGUAGUAUAUAUUAAAUAUUUUUUAAAUACUCAUAUCUUUUAAACCGUAACUCCAAAUUUAACAUAUUAUACAUGGAAUUUGAUUAGAAAAAUAUGUAGAAUUUAAAUAUGAUAUUAUUUUAUCUGUUAAACGUUUAAUAAAAAUACUAUCUAGGGUGCAAUCUUAAUAAAGAAGUUUCGUCUUUCUUUCAUACCGGUACUCAUCCGGGUUGGGGAUGAACACGUCAACAAAAUCAGGAUUAGAGAUGAAACUGAAGGUCACUUGACUGAUUCUUUGUACGUAUUAAAUUUACAUGCAAGCCGUGUUAAAAUAGAAGACCUGUGAAAUUUUGAACUGCAUUUUUGUAGGAUAAGACCAUCUUUAUUUGUAUCGUAACUAUAAAUUCUCAAAUUAUAGACAUUUUUUAUAAAUUAAGAGCGUGUGCCGUGUGGUAUUUCUUUCUCCCGUUGCAACGCUUGGGCCCUUUUGCUAGUUAUAUUUAACACAUUUCAAUUAUCUAUUUAUCACUACUUAUCUCUUGCAAGUAAUGAGUUCAAGGGGAUGGACAACCUUCUUGCCCGCUUUGCGUGCAAGUGUGUGCUCUUUUGUGUGUAGGCGCUCAAGACAGGAAAUUGUGUGGUGCUCCUAUUAGUUCAAUAACCUUGGUUCCCACUAUGGGAAAUACUUAGCUAUAUUGUGUUGCAUCAUCACCUCCUCUUCGGGGAAGAACACAACGCAGAUCACAAGUAUCAGAGACGUAUCAGCAUCCCCAAACUUAAUUCCUUCUUGUCCACGAGUAGGCAAAUGAUAAAAAUAGGAUUAUUGAUGUGACAUGCUACAUAAAAUGUAAUAUUUUUCAGGUAUGAUCAACAUAGUAAUAUCCAUGAACAUAAAUAACACAAUCAAUAACUUUCAAAACAUAUGAUCCUUAAAGAAUGUAACCCCCCGUUCAUUUUAUCAUAUUAGCAUUGCAUGGCUCCGUCUUCACCAGAUAAGUACAAAUGUUGAGCACCAUGGUGUUAAGUCAGGCAAUUGGAUCAUACUUCUUACGUGCUUCAGCAUUUCCAACUUCACACAAUACAUGAGCGUGAAUCAUGGACAUAGCAUAUGGGUGGAAUGGAGGAUGGUUGUAGGUAUAAAAAGGAGUAGAAGUGGAGAAGAAAGUCUCGCAUCAACUAGGUGGACCAAUGGGCCAUGGAGAUGCCCAUCAAUUGAUAUUGAUGCGAGGAGUAGGGAUUUCCAUGCAAUGGAUGCACUAGAGCUAUAAGUGUAUGGAAACUCAACGGAAGCUAAUUGGGUGUGCAUCCAACUUGCUUGCUCAUGAAGACCUCGAGCAUUUGAGGAAGCCCGUUGAUACAUCUCCAAUGUAACUAUAUUUUUUUAUUGUACCAUGAUAUUAUAUUAUCAAUCUUGGAUACUUUAUAUGCAUUUAUAUAUUGUUUUAUAUCGUUUUUGGGAACUAACCUAUUAACCCAUAACCUAGUGCUAGUUGUUGUUUUCUGUGAGUUUUUGGAUUUUCAUGAAAGUAGUACGAAAAACAAAGUCCAAAUGCAACAAAACUUUUUGAUAAUUUUCCUGGACAAAAAUAAGACCUGGAAGCUUCGGAGGGAGACUAGAGACCACACGGAGUGGUGCCAAAGCAAUAGGGCAUGCUCAGGGGGUGGGCCGCGCCCUCAUGACUUGGGACCUACUUCCGAAGCCUCCUGACCUAACUCCGCCUCUAUAAAUCCUAAUAUAUUCGAAAAACACUAGAGAGCCACCUAAAAUACUUUUUCCGCUACCGCAAGUCUCUGAUCCACCGUGUUCCCAUCUGGAGCCCUAUUUCGAUGCCCUCUCGGUGGGAGUAUCAAUCACGGAGGGCCUCUACAUCAUCCUUGUUGCCCACAUGGUGAUGUGUCAUUAGUCUACCACAUGCCUACGGGUCCAUAAUUAGUACCUUGAUGUGUAUCUCUCUCUAUGUCUUGAAUGCAAAGAUCACCACGAUUCCAUGGUGAUCUAUCCUAUGUAAUCUUCUUUUGCGGUGUGUUUGUUGCGAUCCGAUGAAUUGUGGGUUUAUGAUCAGAUUAUUCAAAUAUAUUGAGUCUUUUAUGAGUUACUUAUGCAGGAUUAUGAUAGCAUCGUAUUUCUCUCCAGUCUAUAGGUUUGGUUUGUCCAACUAGAUUGAUUUAUCUUCUGUGGGAGUGGUGUGUUGUUAUGGGCUCAAUCAAUCCUAGUGACAGAAGGGGACAAGACAAAUAUUGUAUUGUUUCCAUUAAGGAUGAAAAUAUGGGGUUUAUUCAUAUUAGUUAAGUUUACUUUGACUAUAUCAUGUCUUCUUGCUUCAAGCAUUUCUCUGUUUUACUUAGUACUCUAGAUGCAUGUUGGAUAGCAGUCGAUGGGUGGAGUAGUAGUAGUAGAUGCACGCAGGAGUCGAUCUACUUGCUUAUGGACGUGAUGCCUAUAUAUAUAAUCAUCGUCGUGAAUAAAUAUUACAUAACUAUGUGCUUUUCUAUGAAUUGCCCAACAGUAAUUUGUAUACCCACCUUAUGCUUUCUUCAAGAGAGAAGCCUUGUUCCUGCUUGGGUGCUUUCAAUGAGAGCUCCGCUGAAGGAUCGUCAAAAGAAUCAAUGGCUCGCUCGCUCACCAGCAAAGACAUUAACACCGGGGAUAUCUUUAUCCCACGCCAACUUUCUGCUUUCAGUGGUAUUUUCCUGCACAUCAAGGUGGUUCAUCACCAGAUCGACAGGUUCGCACAUGGCGAGGGAUCCAAGUUCGACAACUUAGAUUGUGUCGUCGACACCCAAGGUGAUCUGAUCCUCGCCGGGAUCUCAGCUUUGGCCAAAGAGCCCAGAAACCCCGAAGCCUUAACUUCGGGCCCCUUCCCGACCUUGGGUCCAGGAUAGUGCAUACCUCAGAUUCGGCCUUGAGACCGGAUCUGACCUUUGUGUUCGAAGGCCUAGAGGUAACCUCGCCCGAACAGACUCCCUAUGCUGAUGCACCAGUGCUCAACUCCGCCAGAAUUCUGAGGACUAGUCCGGCCAAUCUCUCGUUGUCAAACGAGACACUCAUCUGAACUUGAACCCUAGAUAGUUCGGACAGCUCGGCCCCAAUAUAUGAUCCUUCCGUCUCUGAGUCUAGGUGCAUGGAACAUUAGUCCCCACCCUCCACCCACUUUAUAGCCACUAUUGAAUAUCUAAAUGAUCUAUUAGACUUCUCCUCACACGAAGCCUAGGACAUGGACACGGUUGUCAACUCACAUGUUCCUCCCGCGACUAGAUGAUGGACCGCCACUUCCACGUACGACGUGUACAUGGUGGACACCCCUAAACAUGAUGGCAUCACAGGGAACAACGAUGAUGACACACCAGUCAAAAAUUGUGGCGACGAGCCCGUUGGAUGUCGUCACCAGCGCAAAAAGCCUAAAGCUUGUAAGGGCAAGGAAAGUAACGCGGGGAUCGGAGAUAACCUCAUCCCUGGUGAUAUCAAAAAUCCCGUCGAACCCGCAGACCCCAAAAAUAAUCACAAUGAUCUGCCGGAUCACAUGGAUCUGUACAAGCCUUAGGAUCUCGACGAUUUCGAAGACAUCAACUACCUCCCUCCAAUCAAACAGGAGGAGAGCUUGGGAGACGAGGAUUUCAUCGUCUAUGAAGACCCUCUAGAUCAAGAGGUAUUCAAGUGGUGGCUCAUAGCCACUGCUCGGAGCCUCAAGUUAAAACAGAGGCAAAUUAAAGCUGGACAUGACUCCAUCAAUGAAAGAUGGAUGAAAGUCCUGGCCGUCGAAGAAGGGUACAACCAGGAAUGAAGGGACAAAAUAAAAGCUACCCACGUCGCCAGUUGCUACCAGAGUUUGAAGAUGAGGCCUUGGAGCACACACUACCAAGAUUCGCACAAUACGACCAAUGACCGCCCCCCUCAAGGACGGGAUAGGACAGCUGGAGAGCCCAGAGACCGCCUCAAACACCCGCAUGGAAGAAGAGAACCGGCAAAGACCGAAGAACCAUUUGACCUGCGGCACAAUAUUUAAGGAUCGAGAGGUUACACUCCCCCUAGACGGGAUGGGUAGCAAGCUCGGCUUGAUGAGAAUGAUGGAUUUUGGGAACAACAUCGGGGUAGGAUUUCAUUCAACCUCCAACAUGAUACAACUCGAAUAAGGAGCCCUGCUCACCCAAUGUGAUUCUCAAAUGAGGUGAUGCAGCAUCAGCUCCCCGAAGGGUUUAAACCCAUGAACAUAGUGCAAUACGAUGGGACAACACACAUGUCUGUAUGGAUUGAGGAUUUCCUUCUCCAUAUCCACAUGGCUCACGGAGACGACCUCCAGGCAAUCAAGUACCUACCAUUAAAGUUGAAAGGGACAACAAGGCAUUGGUUGAACAGCCUCCCUGAAAACUCCAUUGGGAGCUGCGAAGAGCUCAAAGAUACUUUCCGAGACAACUUUCAAGGCACUUAUGUCCGACCGCGUGGGUCCGAUGACUUGAGCCACAUCAUUAAACAAACUGAUGUUCAUCCUGGCAAAUAUGGAAUUGAUUCCUCACUAAAAAGAAUCAAAUUGUUGAUUGUUUGGAUGCCAAGGCAUUAGCUUCUUUACGAAACAAUAUACGACGAAUGGUUAGCCCGGACGCUCGAACGAGAGAGGCCGGGGACAAUGGCCGCUCUUACCUCACUCAAUGCCCGCUUUUGUGUGGGCGAGCAUACUUGGCUAGCCCGUCGGAACAACCCUCCUGCAAACCUCGGCACUUCUACAGUCCAUGAUGGCAAUGGAAACCCACACUGCAACAAGAACAAGCAUUGACACAGCAGUGUCGAAGCCGAUGACAUGCAGGUUAAUGUCGGAUUCAACAACUCUAGGUGUGGACUGAUACGUCUCAAACGUAUCUAUAAUUUUUGAUGGUUUCAUGUUGUUAUCUUGUCAACUUUGGAUGUUUUAUAUACCUUUUAUACCUUUUUUGGGACUAACUUAUUAAUUCAGUGCCAAGUGUCAGUUCCUGUUUUCUCUAUGUUUUUUACUCUUUUCAGAUCUGAUUUUGGAACGGAGUCCAAACGGAAUAAAAUCCCCAAAAUAUUUUUUUCCAAAAUAGAAGAAGGNGGGGGACUUGAGGGCCAAGGCAGGAGGCCCACAGGGAGCCCACAAGCCCUGACGCCGCGGCCCCCUGGCCGCGACGACCAGGCUUGUGGCCUCCCUGACGCUCCCCUGCCCUAGCUCUUUGGCCUAUAUAUUCCCUAAAAUCCCGGAAAAAAUCAAGGCGUCCACGAAACCACUUUUCCGCCGCCGCAAGCUUCCGUUUCCGCGAGAUCUCAUCUGGAGACCGUUCCCGGUGCCCUGUCGAAGGGGACUUUGGAGUUGGAGGGCUUCUACAUCAACAUCAUCGCCUCUCCAAUGACUCGUGAGUAGUCCACUUUAGACCUACGGGUCCGAAGUUAGUAGCUAGAUGGCUUCUUCUCUCUCUUGGAUCUUCAAUGCAAAGUUCUCCAUGACCUUCAUGGAGAUUUAUCUGAUGUAAUCCUCUUUGGCGGUGUGUUUGUCGAGAUGCGAUGAAUUGUGGAUUUGUGAUCAGAUUAUCUAUGAUUUAUAUUUGAGUCUUUGUUGAUUUCUUAUAUGCGUGAUUUGAUAUCCUUGUAUGUCUCUCCGAGUCUUGGGUUUUGUUUGGCCAACUAGAUCUAUGAUUCUUGCAAUGGGAGAAGUGCUUGGUUUUGGGUUCAUACCGUGCGGUGACCUUUCCCAGUGACAGAAGGGGCAGCAAGGCACGCAUCGUGUUGUUGCCAUCAAGGGUAACAAGAUGGGCUUUCAUCAUAGAUUUGAGAUUGUCCAUCUACAUCAUGUCAUCUUGCUUAAGGCGUUACUCUGUUCUUAUGAACUCAAUACACAAGAUGCAUGCUGGAUAGCGGUCGACGUGUGGAGUAAUAGUAGUAGAUGUAGAAAUUAUCGGUCUACUUGUUUUGGACGUGAUGCCUAUAGAUAUGAUCAUUGCCAUAGAUAACGUCAUGACUUUGCGCGUUUCUAUCAGUUGCUCGACAGUAAUUCGUUCACCCACCGUCUACUUGCUUUCAUGAGAGAAGCCACUAGUGAACACUAUGGCCCCCAGGUCUGUUCACAACUAUCGUCUCCACUUUUACUUUUACUUUGCUUUAUUUACUUUUUGCUUUCAGUUCUCACUUUGCAAACAAUCUAUAAGGGAUUGACAACCCCUUCAUAGCGUUGGGUGCAAGCUCUUUGUGUUUGUGCAGGUACUUGUGCCUUGACUCGAUCCUCCUACUGGAUUGAUACCUUGGUUCUCAAACUGAGGGAAAUACUUACCGCCGGUGUGCUACAUCACCCUUUCCUCUUAAAGGGAACACCAACGCAAGCCUCCAAGGCCGCGGGGGAAUCCUUUGCAUAUUUGCCAAGGAAGUCCCUAUAGGCGUAGCCCGCAGUAGAAGGAUUUCUGGCGCCGUUGCCAGGAAAGGUCUGUUGUCGCAGUAGGAGAAGGAUUUCUGGCGCCGUUGCCUGGGAGAGAUCAAGUCAAGAUCUAUCAAAGUAGGUGUCACAAACUCAUCUCUUGCAUUUACCUUUUUUGCCAGUUGCCUCUCGUUUUCCUCUCCCCUACUUCACAUUUGCCGUUUUCAUUUGCCUUUCUCCUUUGCCGUUUUCUUUUGCCUUUUGUCGUUUUCCUUUGCUAGUUUUCUUGCUUGCUUGUGUUCUUGUUUGUUUGUUGAAGUCAUCAUGGCUGAAAACACCAAACUUUGCGACUUCUCGAGUACUAAUAAUAAUGAUUUUAUUAGUACUCCGAUUGCUCCCGCCACUAGUGCGGAAUCAUAUGAAAUCAACGCUGCCUUGUUGAAUCUUGUUAUGAAAGAGAAAUUCUCUGGCCUUCCUAGUGAAGAUGCCGCAUCCCAUCUCAAUACCUUCAUUGAGCUUUGCGAUAUACACAAGAAAAGAGAUGUGGAUAAUGACGUGAUUAAAUUGAAGCUUUUUCCUUUCUCGUUGCGAGAUCGCGCAAAAAUUUGGUUUUCUUCUUUGCCCAAAAAAUAGUAUCGAUUCUUGGAAUAAGUGCAAAGAUGCUUACAUAUCUAAGUAUUUUCCGCCGGCUAAGAUUAUCUCUCUACGUAACGAUAUCAUGAAUUUCAAGCAACUUGAUCAUGAACACGUUCCACAAUCUUGGGAGAGGAUGAAGUUAAUGAUUAGAAAUUGUCCCGCUCAUGGCUUGAGUUUGUGGAUGAUUAUACAAAUCUUUUACGCUGGUUUGAAUUUUGCUUCUCGCAAUAUCUUGGACACCGCCUCAGGUGGAACGUUCAUGGAAAUCACGUUAGGGGAAGCUACAAAACUCCUAGACAAUAUCAUGACCAAUUACUCUCAGUGGCACACUGAAAGGUCACCUGCUAGUAAAAAGGUACACGCUAUAGAAGAAAUUAACUCGCUUAGUGCUAAGAUGGACGAGUUGAUGAAUUUGGUUGCUAGUAGAAAUGAUCCUUUAGAUCCUAAUGACAUGCCACUAUCUUCCUUGAUUGAGAGUAGCAACGCUAGUUUGGACGUUAAUUUUGUUGGUAGGAACAAUUUUGGCAACAACAAUGCUUUUAGAGGAAACUAUGUUCCUAGGCCUUUUCCUAGUAACUCCUCUAACAAUUAUGGCAAUUCCUACAACAACACUUAUGGAAAUCAUAAAAAAUUACCCUCUGAUUUAGAGAGUAAUAUCAAAGAGUUCAUCAACUCUCAAAAGAUUUUCAAUGCGUCCAUAGAGGAAAAACUACUCAAAAUAGACGAUUUGGCUAAGAGCGUUGAUAGGAUGUCUUGUGAUAUUGAUGCUUUGAAAGUUAGAUGUGCUCCUCCCAAGGUUAACUUGGAUGAAACUCUAAAAGCUAUGUGUGUCUCCAUGAAUGAGAGCAAAGAAAGAACCACCCAAAUUCGCGCUAAGCAUGAAUGGUUUAAAAGGGUGCGUUCUAGUGAUGCAAAUCACGAAGAUCUUAAAGUGCUUGGUGUGACUCCUCUUGAAUCUUUGUUUUCGCGUGUCAAACCUAUUGAUGAAGGGGCUGGAUGUGAAUCCACUUUGGUUGAAAAACGCCCCAAUGAUUCGGAGUCCACCUAUCUUGAUGAUAAAGGUGUGGAGAGUGGAGUAGAAGAAAUCAAAAUAUUGGGUAGUAAUGAAACUCCCACUUUGGAUUUCAAGAAGUUCAAUUAUGAUAGUUUCUCCUUGUUUGAAUGCAUUUCCUUGAUGCAAUCCAUUGCAAACUCUCCACAUGCUUAUAGCCAAAGCAAAGCCUUUACCGCUCAUAUCGUAGAUACUAUGAUGAAAUCUCUUGAAGAGAAACUCGAAUUAGAAGUCUCUAUACCUAGAAAACUUCAUGAUGAGUGGGAACCUACUAUCAAAAUCAAAAUCAAAAACUAUGAAUGCAAUGCUUUGUCUGAUUUGGGUGCUAGUGUUUCCGCGAUUCCAAAGUCUUUAUGUGAUAUUCUUGGUUUUCAUGAGAUUGAAGAGUUUUCUCUUAAUUUGCAUCUUGCGGAUUCUACUGUCAAGAAACCCAUGGGAAGGAUCGAUGAUGUUCUUAUUGUUGCAAAUAAGAACUAUGUACCCGUGGAUUUCAUUGUACUUGACAUAGAUUGCAAUCCUUCAUGUCCCAUUAUUCCUGGUAGACCUUUCCUAAGGACUAUUGGUGCUAUCAUCGAUAUGAAGGAAGGGAAUAUUAGAUUUCAGUUUCCUCUAAACAAGGUCAUGGAGCAUUUCCCUAGAAAGAAAAUAAGAUUGCCUUAUGAAUCUAUGAUGAGGGCUACUUAUGGUUUGAGCACCAAAGAUGACUAUACGUGAUUCCAUCACCUUAUGCCUAGCUAAGGGCGUUAAACAAUAGCGCUUGUUGGGAGGCAACCCAACGAAUCUAUUCUUUUUAUUUCUGUUUUGUGUUUUCCACACUUUCAUAAUUCUGUUAUGAUUGUGUUUUUUGUGUUUCUUUUGCAUUUUUGCCAAGUAAAACCGUUAUGAUUAGUCUUGGGGAUGAUCGUUUGGUCAUGCUGGAAAAGACAGAAACUUUCUUCUCACGAAAAGAAUUUUCAUUUUUUUCUAUAAGAGAUGUUGAGUUGAUUCUUUUUGCUUAUGAUUUAUACACAAAUUCUUCAGACUGUCGUAAUUUUUCAGAAUUUUUGAAGUACCAGAAGUAUACGAAGUAUACAGAUUGCUACAGACUGGUCUGAUGUUAACAGAUUCUAUUUUUGUUGAGUUGGUUGCUUAUUUUGAUGAAACUAUGGAUAGUAUCGGGGGGUAUUAGCCAUGGAAGAUUGAAAAUACAGUAACCCAACAUCAACAUAAGUAGAAUUUAAUUUUGCUACAGUACCUAAGGAAGUGGUGGUUUGCUUUCUUAUACUAAUGUUAUUACAAGUUUCUGUUUAAGUUUCGUGUUGUGAAGUUUUCAAGUUUUGGGUGAAGUUCUUAUGGACAAAGAUAUAAAGAGUGGAAAGAGCUCAAGCUUGGGGAUACCCAAGGCACCCCAAGUUUAUUCAAGGAUGUCGUAAAAGCCUAAGCUUGGGGAUGCCCCGGGAAGGUAUCCCCUCUUUCGUCUUCAAUCCAUCGGUAACGUUACUUGGGGCUAUAUUUUUAUUCACCACAUGUUAUGUGUUUUGCUUGGAGCGUCUUGUAUCGUAGGAGUCUUUUAUUUUUGUUGUGUCGCAAUCUUCCUUGCUGCACACCUAGAGAUAGAGACAUGCACUCACCGUAAUUUUGUCGAGCUUCACUUAUAUCUUUUGGUUAGACAAUUCAGCUCACAUGUGUUUAACUUAUAUCUUUCGAGCUAGUUGAUUUUGCUCUGUGUGUUUAACUUCUAUCUUUUAGAGCACGGAAGCGCGUGGCGUGGUAGUUGAUCUAUGCUAUGAAAGUAGUCUCAAAAGGGGUAUUUAUCCAAAGGUAUAUGAAAACUUCCACCUUCAUGUGCAUUGAGUAGUUACAGAAGUUUGAUUCAUCUCGAUUAGUUUUGAGUUGUGGUUGUGGUAAUAUUGAAGUUAUAUUAGUAAGGUGUUGUGGAUCUAGAAAUACUUGUGUUGAAGUUAGUGAUUCCCAUAGCAUGCACGUAUGGUGAACCGCUAGGUGAUGAAGUCUGAGCAUGAUUAGUUCAUUGAUUGUCAUCCUUUGUGUGGCGGUCGGGAUCGCGUGAUGGUUUAUACCUACCAACCCUUCCCCUAGGAAUAUGGGUUGAAUGCUUUGUUUCGAUUACUACUAAAACUUUUGCAACAAGUAUAUGAGUUCUUCAGGACUAAUGUUGAGUCCAUGGUUUAGAUGCACUUUCACCUUCCACCAUCACUAUCUUCUUUAGUGUCGUGCAACUUUCGUCGGUGCACAAAACGCACCAUAUAGCCUCCCUCAAAACAGCCACCAUACCUACCUACUAUGGCCUUUUUAAAGCCAUUCCGAGAUAUAUUGCCAUGCAACUACCACCAUGACAUGUGCCACCACUUCUACAUUGCGAUUGCAUGAUCAUAAGAUAGCUAGCAUGAUGUUUCCAUUGAUGUCUAUGCCAUGCUAGAUCAUUGUCACGGUACACUACCGAAGGCAUUCCAUAUAGAGUCAUCAUUGCUCUAAGUUUUGAGUUGUAAGUGUGAUGAUCAUCAUUGAUGGAGCAUUGUCCCAUGUGAGGAAAUAAAAGAGGCCAGCUAAGCCCAUUUACAAAAAGAGGCCAAAUAUGCCCACCAAAAAAAAAGAGGCCAAAGAGCCCACCAAAAAAUGAGAGAAAAAGAGAGAAGGGACAAUGCUACUAUCUUUCCACACUUGUGCUUCAUAUUAAGCACCAUGAUCUUCAUGAUUUAGAGUCUCUCGUUUUGUCACCACCAUAUAUCUAGUGGGAAAUUUUCAUUAUAUAAGUUGGCUUGUAUAUUCCAAUGAUAGGCUUCCUCAAAAAUUGCCUUAGGUCUACGUGAGCAAGCAAGUUGGAUGCACAGACACUAGUUUUCUUUAAGAGCUUUCACAUACUCUUAGCUCUAGUGCACCAAUUGUAUGGUAAUCCCUACUCAUUCACGUUGAUAUCUAUUGAUGAGAAUCUCCAUAGCUCGUUGAUAUGCCUAGUCAAUGUGACCAUCUUAUCCUUGUUUGCCUUGCAACCUCCACCACACUCCAUUCCACUUAUAGUGCUAAAAUCAUGGCUCACGCUCAUGUAUUGCGUGAGAGUUGAAAAUGUUUGAGAAAGUAAAGGUGUGAAAACAAUUACUUGGCCAAUACCGAGGUUGUGCAUGAUUUAAAUUCGUUGUGCAAGGAUGAUAGAGCAUAGCCAGACUAUAUGAUUUUGUAGGGAUAACUUUCUUUUGGCCUUGUUAUUUUGAAAGUUCAUGAUUACCUUGCUAGUUUGCUUGAAGUAUUAUUGUCUCCACGUCAAUAGCAAACUAUUGUUUUGAAUCUAAUGGAUCUGAACAUUCACGUCACAUAAGAGGAGUUACAAAGGACAUCUAUGCUAGGUAGCAUGAAAGCAUCAAAAAUUCAUUCUUUAUCACUUCCGUACUCGAGGACGGGCAGGAGUUAAGCUUGGGGAUGCUUGAUACGUCUCAAACGUAUCUACAAUUUUUGAUGGUUUCAUGCUGUUAUCUUGUCAACUUUGGAUGUUUUAUAUAACUUUUAUAUCUCUUUUGGGACUAACUUAUUAAUUCAGUGCCAAGUGCCAGUUCCUGUUUUUUCUGUGUUUUUGACUCUUUUCAGAUCUGAUUCUUGAACGGAGUCCAAAUGGAAUAAAAUCCCCGAAAUAAUUUUUUCUAGAACAGAAGAAGAUCGGGGGACUUGAGGGCCAAGGCAGGAGGCCCACAGGGAGCCCACAAGCCCUAACGCCGCGGCCAGGGGGGCCCGCGGCGACCAGGCUUGUGGCCUCCCUGGCGCUCCCCUGCCCUAGCUCUUUGGCCUAUAUAUUCCCUAAAAUCCCAGAAAAAAUCAAGGCGUCCACGAAACCAAUUUUCCGCCGCCGCAAGCUUCCGUUUCCGCGAGAUCUCAUCUGGAGACCCUUCCCGGUGCCCUGCCGGAGGGGACUUUGGAGUUGGAGGGCUUCUACAUCAACAUCAUCGCCUCUCCAAUGACCCGUGAGCAGUCCACUUCAGACCUACGGGUCCGUAGUUAGUAGCUAGAUGGCUUCUUCUCUCUCUUGGAUCUUCAAUACAAAGUUCUCCAUGAUCUUCAUGGAGAUCUAUUCGAUGUAAUCCUCUUUGGCAGUGUGUUUAUUGAGAUCCCAUGAAUUGUGGAUUUGUGAUCAGAUUAUCUAUGAUUUAUAUUUGAGUCUUUGCUGAUUUCUUAUAUGCAUGAUUUGAUAUCCUUGUAAGUCUCUCCGAGUCUUGGGUUUUGUUUGGCCAACUAGAUCUAUGAUUCUUGCAAUGGGAGAAGUGCUUGGUUUUGGGUUCAUACCGUGCGGUGACCUUUCCCAGUGACAGAAGGGGCAGCAAGGCACGCAUCGUGUUGUUGCCAUCAAGGGUAACAAGAUGGGCUUUCAUCAUAGAUUUGAGAUUGUCCAUCUACAUCAUGUCAUCUUGCUUAAGGCGUUACUCUGUUCUUAUGAACUCAAUACACUAGAUGCAUGCUGGAUAUCGGUCGACGUGUGGAGUAAUAGUAGUAGAUGCAGAAAGUAUCGGUCUACUUGUUUUGGACGUGAUGCAUAUAGAUAUGAUCAUUGCCAUAGAUAACGUCAUGACUUUGCGCGGUUCUAUCAAUUGCUCGACAGUAAUUCGUUCACCCACCGUCUACUUGCUUUCAUGAGAGAAGCCACUAGUGAACACUAUGGCCCCCGGUUCUAUUCACAACUAUCGUGUCCACUUUUACUUUUACUUUGCUUUGUUUACUUUUUGCUUUCAGUUCUCACUUUGCAAACAGUCUAUAAGGGAUUGGCAACCCCUUCAUAACGUUGGGUGAAAAGCUCUUUGUGUUUGUGAAGGUACUUGUGACUUGACUCGAUCCUCCUACUGGAUUGAUACCUUGGUUCUCAAACUGAGGGAAAUACUUACCGCCGCUGUGCUACAUCACCCUUUCCUCUUCAAGGGAACACCAACGCAAGGCUCCAAGGCCGCGGGGGAAUCCUUUGCAUAUUUGCCAAGGAAGUCCCUAUAGGCGUAGCUCGCAGCAGAAGGAUUUCUGGCGCCGUUGACAGGAAAGGUAUGUUGUCGCAGUAGCAUGGACCAAGGAAGAAACCUUCUAAAAGAAAUUAGGAUGGUCGACUACACUAGAAAAAAAUACUUGACAAGCCCUGCCAAAUCCAUGGAACCCAAAACAAGCCCGCUACUCACACCAACCAUAACUAUUGGGUGAUCAAGCAGGCGACCAAGAACAUAGCCGAGGACCAGGGCAAGAGUCCCCGCAGUGAGGACGAUGAGGAACCUCAUCAGCCAAACAACGGGGGCUAAAACCAGUGUCCCCCUGAAGUGAAAACCGUGAACAUGAUCUAUGACAUGCACAUACAAAAAAAGGAGAGGAAAUGUGCACUUCAGGACGUAUACGCCAUAGAGCAAGUACCCCUGAAGUACAACCCAUGGUCGGCAUGUCCGAUCACUUAUGACCGCAGUGAUCACCUAACAAGUAUUCGGCAUGGGGGUUCAGCGGCCUUGGUGCUCGAUCCCAUCGUUGAAGAGUACCAUCUCAGUCGAGUCCUCAUGGAUGGAGGGAGCAGCCUCAAUCUAAUUUAUGCGGACACAGUGAGAAAAAUGGGUAUUGAUCCAUAAAGAAUUAAACCCAGGAACACUACCUUCAAAGGUAUAAUUCUUGAAAUCGAGGCCCGCUGUUCGGGCACCAUAACUCUGGAAGUGGUGUUCGGUACGCCCGAUAACUUUCACAACGAAGACUUGAUCUUUGACAUUGUUCCCUUCCGCAACGGGUAUCAUCUAGUCCUCGGUCGAACAACAUUUGCUCGCUUUAAUGUUGUUCCCCAUUAUGCAUACCUCAAGUUUAACAUGCAGGACCUAAGGGUGUCAUUACCGUCAGUGGUAACACAAAGCGAUCCCUUCGAACAGAUGAACACAUUGCGGCUCUGGCAGCCAAAGUACAGGCUGGAGACAUGACUUUAUAGUCACAUCUAACCGUUAAGGAGCACAAACAAGCUCGCAGUCCGCCGUAGUUCCCAACCACCUCACAUGAUCAAACUAAAUAGGGAUACGCUCCCCAUAGCAGCACCUCGCCUCCAGCAAAAUACGUGUCCCAAAGGCACAAUUUUGCGCCUAAAUACCAUGGGCAGUUGUGAGGACUAAUUACAUGAGACCUUGUGUUUGGCUAAACCGAACUAUGGUCAUGAAUGUCCUCGGACACAUGCAAGUACUAUAAAGGACCAACUUUGCAUCAAGCUUCACACCUCGGCGGCUUCUCAAGACCAUCUUUGUUCAAGGACCGCUCGGCGACGUUCCCCCCCUUUCAAGGAGUACUUCCAGAAGGGUGAAGGUGCAGACGUGCAGCAGGGCAUCAUAAGGGAAAUCAAGCUAGCUAUAAAAAAACUAUGUGUAAACCUUUACCCUCUAAACUUCUUUUUUUCUAUCUAUAAAUAGUUGCUAGAUGAAUUUGUAUUGUACGGAUACAAGUUAGUCGGAAAUAAGGAACACUCUUUAUGGUUGAUUAGCUUCGUUACAUCUUUUUUCCUCCUUUGUUUUCUGAAUUGUUUCUCAAACACCAACAUAAGCAUGUUUUUAUACACAUGUUAUAUGCUAUUGGCUAAAUUGAUGGGGGGCUUGGCUAUCAUGGACGCCCUUAGAAUCAUUCAGAUGCUAUUUGGCAUUACAUGUGUGCGGAGUCUUGGAUUUGCGUUAUAUGCAUUGGUUUCAAAUUAUGUCCUGGGUCAAUAGUUGAGUUGCCCCGCUCCUAUGCUUCCCCUUUAUGUUCCGCUCGUUCGGCUAAAAGGGUAAAGGGAGAACCGCUACAAUUGUACUUCGAGUUGGUCUGGUUAAGUACCUCAGCGGAGAAAGCCGAAAACCGACUGUCAUAAUAAGCGAGAACUGGACUAUGAUCCGAGUACAAAUAUUAAAUUAAGAACCAUUGGAGGUUCAUGGCAUUACGUGAAGGUUUGAAGUCAUACAAACCAAGUGAUAAUAGGUUUUUACACCGCAGUAUAGCCGAACAUUACAAUUUGCAAGGGGGCUCCAAUUGGUCCCCGCAGUCAAGCUCCUAUGGUUAAGUGAAAGACUUAAAGCCACAUAUUCUGGAUGCCUUUAUUUCUCCCGCAUUACUACCCUAGGGCACCAAGACGUUGGCUAAGGGUAACAAUGCAGAAGUCGAAAACACCCCUGGUUGCAUCUAUCACGGGGUUGAAGCCAAUGAGUGGAAACUUUUAGGUCACAGCGACCACACAGGAGUUAAAAUUAAAAAGAAGAUAAGACAUGGUAUACCAUGCAAAAGUAAAUAGUACUGCAUCGCACAAAAUUCAACCAUUUUUACACGAUAAGGUUUUUCAUUCAAAGGUUACAUCUUUGGAGCACUACGCUUCUAUAGCCCGAGCACCUUCCAUUAUAGUGGAGAAGUAUAGCUAGGGGCGACUAUGCUCUUUUCCAAAUAGUGGAGGUGCGGUGGCCAUCUUGGAGGGUUCCACUUUUGUCCAAUUCAUCAUGGUUCUUGCAAAGGUCAUCCGAGCUCCCUCGAUGCAGGCAGAGCGCUUCAUGAUGUCAAUCUGGGGCGCAUAAGAAUCAGCUUAUGCACCAGGCCAAAAUAGCUGCUCGGCAGCGGCUAUGUCGGCCAAAUCCUGAUGCAGAGAUCCUUCAUUGUCGGCUCUGCCAUCUUGGGUAGCUCCAUCAGUUGUUUCAGCUGAUCGGAGACAAGGAGUUGCUCAGGGGCUUGAAACUGCGCCAAGAACAACCUUUGCUCGGCUUCACCCUCUUGGGAUGCAUAAUGCUUCGAAGCAUCAGUCGCACUCUUCGAGACAUCUGCAAGCGCUCCUGGAGAAUGCCACAUUCGAGUAAGCAAUGCAAACCUCUUUCCACCGAAAAUACACUAGAGUAAAUAUUUCUUACCAUCUGCAAUUUGCUUGAUCUGAUGGGUCUCCUUCCAAUGAUUGUGUGCCUACUUCCGUGCAUCUUGGAGUGUGCAGUUGCCGAGGACAGCUCGAAAGAUUUUUUUUUUCUUUAUUUUUCUGCUCAAGGACCUCAUUUUUAGUGAUGGCGUCCUAAGCUCUUGCUGCACCUCGGUGACCCUGGCCUCGUGCCUGGUGCUGGCACACUUGACCGUCAACAGGCCGGCUGCAGCCUUUUCAGCCACCACUCUCUGUUCGGCAGCUUUCUACUUGGCCUUGCAUAGUUCAGCUUUGAGCUUCUCGACGUUAGCAGCAGCGGCUAUGAUUGUAAUGCAAAUAAGUGACGCAUAAGGGCACAAAUAUUAACACCUCACUUUUUAUGUGAAAACUAAGUGUUCAAUGCUUACCUUGUGCGUCAUCAAACCGCUUAUUGAGGCGGUCGAGCUCUUCCUCAGAAACCUUCAGUUUCCGGUUCAUUUCCGCCUACUCCAUGGAGUUAGGGGCUGCUGCCGAGGUUGCGGCCUGCAGACAGGCAUUUUUAGACUCCCAAGUUCUCAGGUUUUUUAGAAAUCCUCUGCGAGGGUUUUUUAUCAUCCUACUAAAGUCUUGGGGGCUACCACCAACUUUUUUAGGGAUGUUUUCCAUACUACUUUGACCCCGGCAUGAGUUUUUGUAUAACUCGCACAGGGUUCGGGGACUACUGAGCAUAGGAUUGCUUAUAAACACUAUAAUAAACACAAUUACUUUCUGAAGAAAAAGAGUGUACGGAUUACCUUGAAGCCUGCCAACAGACCACCGAAGGCCUCUUUCAGACCGCUGUCAAUGGACUGAAUACUUUUCAAUACCGCACUCAGAUGAGCAUUGUGCUCUUCAGGGAUGGAAGAAUCAUUUAGACCCUCCUCCAUCAUGGAUGGGCACCCUGUUCGGAGUUGCUCUAUUGUGGAUGGCUCCGGGUGGGGCAUAGCAGUUUCUCUAUGCGAAAAAACUCCUACUGAUGGCUCUAGAGACUGAGGGGCCUCCGGAAUUGUCUUUGGAGGGGACCCAGAGUGUCGGGGCCCUCCUUCCUUUCUUGCCAGGAGGGAUUCAUCCUCCUGGUCCUUUGUGGCCGAGGUAUCAACCUCGUCCAUGAUAUGAUCACCUCUGACCUGGUUUCUAGCUCUAGGGGAUUCUCUCCAUAUACCACCUCUUCGAUCUUCUUGAUGGCUGGGGAAGGCAUAUCGUGUGAGCCAAUCCCGCUUUCCACCAGUUAGCUAGCACAGAGUCCCCUCUAAAAUCUGAUUGGUGGGGAAGUCACGCGGCGGGCUACAAUAUGGAAAAAGGCCUAAUUAUUAAAUCAUAACAUCUAAGAAGAUUGAUAUUUUGGAUUAUUGAUAAAUACCUUCGUGCUUGGGGUUUCACCGUGAGGGUCAUCCGAGGGACGAGUGCAUAAUCCUCGGACCCCUCGUCAGAGUCUGGAACAUCUUCGAAUAGGGUCAUGGGGGCCCUGGUUAUUUAUUUAGAGCAAUGGGAGCUAGAUAUCCCUCGACGUCUUCGGACUCCGCUCUCUUCCCCAUGUUGGAGGAGUCACUCUCCUCCUCCUCAUCUUCUUCUUCUCCCUCCAGAUUGGAUGGAGCCAACGUCUCCUCAGACCUGGUGUCCGGGGGAUCCUUUUACUGNNNNNNNNNNNNNNNNNNNNNNNNNNNNNNNNNNNNNNNNNNNNNNNNNNNNNNNNNNNNNNNNNNNNNNNNNNNNNNNNNNNNNNNNNNNNNNNNNNNNUGAGAGAAUAAUUAAAGAGAAGAAUUCUAUAUAUGUCUUGAAAAUAGGAUCAUGAUGAGCUCAUAUGUUGUAUCAUGAAGACAAGCAAGUUUUAGCCAUUAUGAGAUUCAUGGAGAAACUUGAUAUGGUCAUGCUGAAUUGAGAUAUUGGCAAUCAUUUCUUAAAGCAAUGGAGCCUAACAAGAAAUCAAUAGGGCCUUCAAGGCAUCAAGAUUAAUCAUGGAUCUAAGAUAAAUGUUGACCAAGAUGAAGAUCAAAGAGUUAACUCAAAGUUGGUCAUCACACAAGCGCAAAUGAUGUACAACAUGGGAUCCUGUGGUAUGGUAAGUAAUUGUCAAUUCCAUGUUGUGCACUAACCCAUACUAUGUGUUGUCUAUGUCUAUAAGGGUUAGGUAAUUCUCAUGGGCUCACAUCAAGAGAGAGAUUCCAAAUGUCCAUGAGAUGAAGAUAUCAAGGGUUCAUGACCAUAUUUGACAACCACAAGUUCAAGAUAACCAUUUCUAAGAAUUACAUGCUUGAAGCUUGUGGAUGUUCACAUGAUAGACAAAUGAAGAUGAAUACAAAGCAAGGCUUUCCACAUUGUGUAUGGGAGAGCUACUUGAAGACUUCAUCAAUCACUACUGGAAUCAGAGAAUUUGCCAUCAACCUGUUUUUUGCAGUGUGUUGGCUGAUGACAAAGACCCUCUUUGCCGUCAGCUUCCAGAAAGCUGACGACAAAGAUAAGGCUGAUGGCAAAGGGCAUUUUUGCCAUCAGCCACUGCUUUGCCGUGUGCUUGCUGAUGGCAAAGAAGGGUAUGGCAGACGGCAAAGGGCCCAGACCCCACCCUCCCACUUUGCCGUCUACCAGCUGAUGGCAAAGAGGGGACAUGCAGAUGGCAAAGAACAGGCGUAACGGUGAACACACCCCCGCCCCCCUACACCCCCUCUUUGUCGUCCGCCACGGACAGCAUAGCCUAACUACCCUAACGGUCGCCGUUAGCCCCCUCUCUCUCCUCUCUCCCACCUAACGGCCGGCUACCCCCACCUCGCCACUCUUUGUCUCUCUUAGCCGGCCACCCAUCUCCCUCGCCCUCGCUCCCAGCCUGCACCACCGGCCACCAAGCUCCCGCGUCGGCCACCCCUCUCCCCUCCCUCUCCCCGCGUCGGCCCCGCGCAUCCGGCGCACCUUGCUGUGCCCACCCCGCAGCCGGUGACCCUUCCGGCAAUCGGUGUCACUCCCCACAACCAGCGCUCCUCCCUGCACCCAGCGCCCCUCCCUGCAUCUAGAGCNNNNNNNNNNNNNNNNNNNNNNNNNNNNNNNNNNNNNNNNNNNNNNNNNNNNNNNNNNNNNNNNNNNNNNNNNNNNNNNNNNNNNNNNNNNNNNNNNNNNCGGCUCUGGCCGCCGCGGAUGGCAAGGCACGACCUCGGGGAGGGCCCCUCGAGGUGUCCAGGAGGACGGGGGAGCCGCGGGGGAUCUCUGGAGGGAAGGCCUAUGGCCGGACAGAUGCUGGUUGGCUCGGGUGCAAGGGGGGCGAGGCGGCGCCAUGGCCGUGGAGGGAGGAAUAAGAGAGCUUAGAAGAGGAAAGGGGAGCUCAAGGGGCUCCAGGGAGAGAGGGAGAAUGUGGGAGAGCAAGUGAGGGCUCAGGGGAGAGGAGAUAGGAGAGGGAAGGGCCCAGAGAAAUCAAGAGCUCUCUGGAGCUCUCGGUGCAUGGUCGCCACGCAUCCCUGAGGGGUCUUGGAGGCUAGAUGAUGGCGGGGGAUGGUUUGAACGGUCAAGGGGAGCCUAUGAGACACGCUGGGGCACACUGGCUCGGCUUGGUGUGGCCUGGAGGAAGGAGACAAGGCGCAGAGCGCCCAUACUGCAGGCCAGAGUGGUGGUCACCACGGCAUCCCGUGUCUACAUGGUCCCAAUGGCCAGUCCAACAUGUCUAGCACGUAAGANNNNNNNNNNNNNNNNNNNNNNNNNNNNNNNNNNNNNNNNNNNNNNNNNNNNNNNNNNNNNNNNNNNNNNNNNNNNNNNNNNNNNNNNNNNNNNNNNNNNAUCAUUGCAUUGAGCUUGACCCUACCCCUUGAGGGUCAUGUUAUACCAUGUUGACAAGUAAAGAUAGAGCAUAUUAUCAUGAGCAUAAUGAUGAGUUAAAUCAAGAGUUUAUGAAAACCCCAUCGGGUGCCACUAAUGCCCGAGGGUGAUGAUGAGUUGGUGAUCACUUUUGGUGAAGUGAUGCACCGGGUAUUUUGCGUGUGUGGUUUCGGAAAUGGGAUUAGAUUUCUGAUGUGUCGACCGUCCCAACCUUACCAGUACGACCACGAUACCCCUUUAUGGGACGGGGCUUUGUUGACUACUCUGGUCGGUACUAGCAAAGAGCCACAUUACUAGUGGCGGGAGUGAUCGGUGUCACUCUCGUGAUGGGGUCGUGCCAGGUAGGACGACUAUGCCAUUAUUAUGAGUUCCAGGCACACCGUUGGUCCCUGCAUGGUUGAUACANNNNNNNNNNNNNNNNNNNNNNNNNNNNNNNNNNNNNNNNNNNNNNNNNNNNNNNNNNNNNNNNNNNNNNNNNNNNNNNNNNNNNNNNNNNNNNNNNNNNNNNNNNNNNNNNNNNNNNNNNNNNNNNNNNNNNNNNNNNNNNNNNNNNNNNNNNNNNNNNNNNNNNNNNNNNNNNNNNNNNNNNNNNNNNNNNNNNNNNNNNNNNNNNNNNNNNNNNNNNNNNNNNNNNNNNNNNNNNNNNNNNNNNNNNNNNNNNNNNNNNNNNNNNNNNNNNNNNNNNNNNNNNNNNNNNNNNNNNNNNNNNNNNNNNNNNNNNNNNNNNNNNNNNNNNNNNNNNNNNNNNNNNNNNNNNNNNNNNNNNNNNNNNNNNNNNNUGCUUAAACUACGUCCAGCGUUUCCGCAUAAACCAAGUGUGUGUGUGUGAGUUCGGUGAAUGGUGUUAAUAACCGGAGUUACUUGAGGAAUUGAUAUGACCAAGUUCGGUGACUUGGUAUAUAGGGUGAACCCGGUGUGUUCAACCCUUGUCAGAUAUGUCGAUAUCUGUAACCUGUUCUUCAAGAGUAAUUCUUUAGCUUGAUGCAUAUACAUGAUCAUUCCACCCAGAUGAGUUACACUAAAGAUGCAUGAUAUUGUUAUCCUUCACUUUCAUUGUUCGUAUCAUGGGCUGUUUGCGAGUACAUUCAAAGUACUCAUUGGCUUGCCACUGGUUAUUUCAUUGACNNNNNNNNNNNNNNNNNNNNNNNNNNNNNNNNNNNNNNNNNNNNNNNNNNNNNNNNNNNNNNNNNNNNNNNNNNNNNNNNNNNNNNNNNNNNNNNNNNNNCUUCCUCCUCUUCGUCCUUCCUUUUCUUCUUCUUCUUCUUCUUCUUCUCCUCGUCUUCUUCUUCUUCUUCAUUUCCUUUUUCCUCUUCUUCUUCUUCUUCUUCUUCUUCUUCCUUCUUUUCCUUUUUCCUCUUCUUUAUUCUUCUCCCCUCUCCUCCUCCUCCUCCUCUUCUUCUUCUCCUCCUCCUCCUCCUCCUCUUCUUCUACUUCUUCUUCCCUUAUCUACUUAUUCUUCUUUUAUUGUUCAUAUUUUCUAGUUAUUUUAAUUAUGACCAAGUGACUAAACCUAGCACUAAACAGCAAAAAAUAACAAAAACAGAAUAACCACUAAUUAACUAAGAAAGAAUCAACCACUAACUAACAAAACACAAUCUACCACUAAUUAACAAAAACAGCAAAAAAUAACAAAUAACCUAGCAGUAAUUAACUAAACCUAGCACUAAANNNNNNNNNNNNNNNNNNNNNNNNNNNNNNNNNNNNNNNNNNNNNNNNNNNNNNNNNNNNNNNNNNNNNNNNNNNNNNNNNNNNNNNNNNNNNNNNNNNNNNNNNNNNNNNNNNNNNNNNNNNNNNNNNNNNCUAAACCUAGCACUAAAUCUACUAAUUAACUAAAUCACUACUAAUUAUCUAACCUACCAACUAAACUAUAUAUACCACUAAAUCUAUUAAUUAAAAAAACAUAUUCACCUUGGGUGGGCAGCUGGGGUGGUGGGGGCCGGGGCGGUGGGGGUGCGGGGCGUUGGGGCGCCAGCGAUGGCACGGGCGCCGAAUGCGGGGAAGGGCGCCGGGUGCAGCGAGGGNNNNNNNNNNNNNNNNNNNNNNNNNNNNNNNNNNNNNNNNNNNNNNNNNNNNNNNNNNNNNNNNNNNNNNNNNNNNNNNNNNNNNNNNNNNNNNNNNNNNGCUGGCGAUCGCCUCGCCGUCCCUUUCGGCGCAUGCAUCCCCGCACAAAUGUCACCCGCACGGCGCCCCCCGCUGCCCCNCAGACGCAGGCGCGCCGUUUCCCAGCGGCUCCACGUCACCCUUCUGCGGCCCUUUUUCGCUUUGCUUGGUGCAGUCCGGGACGUGCGCCGAAGGAUUUCGUGAGAGCAAGAAUCCAUUUCCGUCGUCACGCUCGGGCACAUAGCGCGCCGCUCUUCUAAUCUAAUAAAAGCAUCCGGUUUCCUCGUCUUAGAAAAAGAGAAAUCUAUCCAUCCAUCUAUCUGCCGCUGCCGGUAGCCACCGCCCGCUCCCUGCCCGCGUCUCUCGUCUUGUGUGUAUAUAUAAAUGCUCAGGGGCUCCCUGAUCCCCAAUUGUCCCAGGGCGGCCCCUCUCCCCCAACUCCAUCCUUAAACCCCCCAUAAGCCUUUUCUCUUUCCUUUCACUCUUCUAUCUACUCUUUGCACUUUCUCCGACUCCGGGAACCACACACGGCGAGGCGAGGAGGCGUCGGAGCUCGCUGCCGUGGCGGCGCAACUCCGCCGGUGGAGUCGAGUCGAGUCUGGGUCUCCCUAUAUCAAACUGCCUCUGCAGGUAAGACCAGCCCUUUCGCUUGAUGCAGGCAUGCAGUUAGUCUCUUAGUUUGCUAUACGUUUGCCUCGAUCUGUUAAUUACUUCUCCCCCCGUGCCAGUUAGCUAGCUACCGAACGAUCGCUAGCUGAUACAGCUAGUCAUACGGAUUACGGAGACAUCUUCUUCUUCCUCUUGCUUGGCUUAACUUGGUAUGGCGCCGGCAGACUUUAAGAGCAUAGCUGCACACCAGCCAUGGCGGUCUUGUCACCGUCCGUUCUUUGAGAGAGAGAGAGGGAGGGGAAACGGAGGAGCAGGCGGUGGCGUGUGUAUGGCGCGAGGUACAGACGCGUAGACGGGGGGGGAGCGGGCGAGGGCUCUCCCUACAGCUGGCUCCUGGGUGGACAUCUAGCUACGUCGGCGACCGGAUUAAUUAGCCACGACCCGACCCCGACCCCGACCAGACGAGGCCUUAAUUAAGCGCCAGGGUGGUUGAUUAGGCGCCGGAUAUAUACGCACACACACGAACAUAAACAAGCACCCCGGCCCGUGAUUGCGUCGCGACGAGGCAAGUACGUACUCAGCACUCAGCAGCAUUCAUCACGGCCGGCCGGUAGACCAGUGACAAAACGUACUCUUAUGGAGUACAAACACGCAGUAAUGCUAAUUCCGAAAGAAAAAGAAAAAGGCAACAGUGGGUGCAGUACUGUGCUACACCAUGGCAUGGAGACACGAGGGAAGGGAAAGCCCUACCGCUCGAGCGCGUGCGUGCAUGCCAUGCCAUGCCAUGCUAGUUGACAAAUUCGUCAAUCAUGGUUUCUGUUACCAGCAUCGCAUCAUCGACGGGACAAAGCGCCUUGUCCUUUCUUCUUUCCCAGCUUCCUUCCACACUUCAUCCACCUGCUCGCUCCUCCCUUUUCCUCAUCCCAUCUCAUCUCAUCUCCCACAAGUAAAGAAAAAGUGUGUACCAAGCCAUGCAUGCAUCCAUACAAAAGCCCAUAACAUCUUUACAGCAAAAAGUGAAACCAAAGCUAGCCAGCCGGUGAAAUGACAGAAACCAAAGUAAUUUCCCUAGUGUAAACAGUAGGACUACACUACUCCUAGAGUUGCAUCGCUGCUUUUCCAAAUGGGAUGAUCAAGGCAUGCAGGUGCGGCGCCCUAGCAAGCAGCUAAAUUUGACAGGGUCCAAACAAAGCCCGUUGCUCCUGUACUUAGUCAAUGGGCCUGUAGCCCGAUUGAAUCAUCCCCGGAAUGGUGCACAAAUGGAAGGUAGCUGCGGGGUACACCGAUGUCACUGCACGCUGGCCACCCUGAACUAUACAUUAGCUGGCACCUUGUUGUCUUCCUUCCUUCCCAACCGAAGGAUGGGGCCCCCGGACUGGCCGGCCGGGACGUGAUGACGGAGUGUACUCCUAUGCUGGCCACCUAUGUGGUGGUGCUCAUGCUAGUUGAUCGUCACCAGCCAGAGGCAGCCACACGCGCAAGGACGUCGUCGAUCACCUUUGUUUCUACCGUCGGAUCGAUCGAUGGAGAUUGAUCAUUUAAGUUCGUUGCCUACCGUGCAUGUACAAAUAUUGUGCUGUAAAGUGCAAGCUCUCAUAGUAUGUACUCCCUCCGUUCCUAAAUACAAGUCUUUUAAGAGAUUUCACUAAAUGACUACAUACAUACGAAGCAAAAUAAAUUAAUCUAUACUUAAAAUUAUGUCUAUAUACAUCCGUAUGAGGUCUGGUAGUGAAAACUCUAAAAUGACUUAUAUUUAGGAACAGAGGGAGUAAUACACAUGUUUUACAAUUAUUAUUUUGCGAGCGUACAUUGGUACUCCCUAUGUUCGGGUUUAUAAGACACAUUUCUUUCUUAAAAAUGAUCACUAAUUUGAUAUUCAGUGUCAUAAAUUAUAAUUUCGAAUCUGGUUUUAGAGCUAUACUUUUUGUGGACAUAUAUAUAGCCAGUUUUUAUUUAUUGAAAUAAUGGUCAAGUUUUUAUAUGUAUGAGUCUUACAAACCCGAACGGAGUGAGUAGUUACAUUGAAAUAAAUUGAGAAACUAUAGGUAAAAUGCAACGAUUCACUGCGCAGGUGCAUCUGUGUCUAGGCGAGUAGGCAUGAAUUGCAGAAUCAUUUAAAAUAGUAAAAAAAUAUGAAAUGUUUUGGCUUUUAAGAUGCUCGAAUGCAUCAUGUGUUUGCAAAGUUCGUGAUGUUUGAACAUUCAAGGUGGUUGUGGCAACAAAAUAUAAAAUUUGGUCGUGAAAGGAACUUCAAAAAUAUACAUUGUUUGGGCCCGUUUCGGUCUUAUUUUUUCCUUGAACUCCUUGAAUGUCCACACACCCCGAAAAUUUGCAUGCUCCUUACACACUCACACAUCAUCGAUGCAAAAAAAAAUACUAGUCUUUUUAUUAUCUUAUUUAUUUACCAUUCAUCAGGUGUAGAUGAUCUUGGGCUCAGACCUGAAUUACCGUUAGUUUACCAUUAAUACUCGGGCUUCAGUUCAUUUUUAACACACGGUGGACCCAACAGUUCUUAGGACUAUUUCUAUCAAGAUGAACAUCAUAUUAAAAAAAAUGAGAUUCAUGGGCACUAGCACCGAAGACAUUUUUAUAGAAGAAAUUAACUCAGUGAGAUCGCGGAAAUUUAAUUUCCUCUCGACGGGAGUAGAACCCCGAUCUGCAAGGUAACACCACUGCGUCCUUGCCACUGAACAUAAUAUUGAGUUUCAUGCAUGAGACAUAUUCCCUCCGUUCCAUAAUAUAAGAGCGUUUUUAACACUACACUAAUAUCAAAAAUGUUCUUAUAUAAUGGGACGGAGGGAGUAAUUAUAACUGUGUAAUGUGCAUAAUAUUCUUCGUAACACAGUACACAUGCGUCUGUAACCAAGUGCUCAUGAUAUCCCUGCAAGUGUCCUUGCAAGUGUUUCGGACCCGCACCGCCGCACGUUAUCUGGUGCUGAUAGAUAAGGAUGAAACUAGAUUAUUAAUUAGCUUUGACCCGGCCUGCUUCCUGAUAACGUUGGUUAGCUCAACUGGGUAGAGAAGACCUCUUAAUCUCGUGAUAAGGUUAAAGUAUAGACUGCGAAUAGGAGUACAACUUUUCUUUGCCCUACCCCUCUGUAACUCAAUUUAGUGGUCAUUCUGCCUGACGAAGAAGAAACCUUCAGAUAAGGGCCAAAGAAGAAGCUUCAGAUAAGGGACAAGUACCCAACUGGCGGCAUUAGAAGCGGACAAAGUUGUCAAUUGAUGAAAGAUUGCACGCGGCCGCUUGGGAAAUGCAAGUUGGCAGCCAAGGAAUACUAGGCCAGCACUCGUACCAAAAUUUGGAGGGCAGUUGAGUACCAAUCCAGAGAUUCCAUUUUCCCUGGUACAGUUUGGAUUGUUUAGUUUCCAUAGAACAAAAAGUUUCUGUCUUUCGGCCGGAGAAAAGAAGGAUUCUUGACGCUCAUGAUACCUUUGACCGCCCCUUGUCAUGCCGUUCCAUUACUGUUAAUUGCGUAGCAGUUGAGUAGGAGCUCAUAAAAAAACUAAAGCUAGGUUUUGUUUGUCUGAGACUGAAACCUGGAUAGAAUAAGGGAUGGUGAUUUCCAUGAAACCGACCUCUGAACCAACGAGUACAGUUGUAAAAGUCAGCUUUUACUCCGGACCGAAGUCAUACAGAAACGCUCCUGGUUUUCAGCAGGAAAAAAGGGGGCGGACGCAUAGCCAGCAGCAGUAGCCCGAGAGGAAGAUGAUGAUGACUCAAGUGUCCAAUCACAGCAAGAGGAACCACACCGACAGCUACUUCAGCGGGGGGGGGGGGCAGGCCGUCGCCACCGCCGCCACCACCACCAGCGGCUCGGAGGAGUUCGGGGGCAUGGGGUCCAAGAAGCCCAGGAACG
RNAcentral lists this long non-coding RNA (120980 nucleotides) under Hordeum vulgare. RNAcentral describes it as "long non-coding RNA (HVUL_LNC005072)". Lineage: Eukaryota; Viridiplantae; Streptophyta; Magnoliopsida; Poales; Poaceae. The record is from RNAcentral.